GGGGAGCUGCGGUAAGGCCGGAUCCGGCGGCAGGGCCAGCGAGGUCGGGGAUGGCGCUACAGAUUGUCGAACCUGGCAUCUCGCCUCCGCCACCAAUUCUGCCUCGUGGCCGCCGGUGCCGGGGAGGAGAGAACCGGAAGGGAAGGCGUGGUUCAGGAAGAGAAACGGCAGAGAGGAGGAAGCGAGAGAGUCGGGACUAGGGAGGAGAAACGAGGCAGAUGGCGGCGGGGGCUGGAUGCUGGGGAGACGAGAGGGUGCGUCUAGGGUUAGGACGGUGUUUAUAGCCAGGAGCGGGCGGGAUACGAAAAAAUUGGAAAGGAGUGGAGGGAAGACGCGGCGGGAUAGCCAAAAUUAUAUAUUUGGUGGAAAUUCCUGUACAGGUUACACGUUUUGUUUUUUAUUUUAAGAUUUUAAAUAAAAUGUUUAUUUCGAACCAAUGUGAACUAAGCAGUAUCCACGAGGAUUUUUAUUUUAAACAAUUAUAUAGUUACAUUCAUAGUCGCACGUGUUGUCUUUCAUUCUUCUCUCGUAUACAAUUGUGAUCGGAAAGAUAAUUAGUACUUUUGAAUACUAACACCAGAUCCGAUAAUCGUGGAUGGAUGCGGACGGGCGAUUCCCUCCCUUCUCCGCGCUCCUUCCAGUGGUGGACAUAGGAUUUUUGUUUAGGGUGAGGCGACUAAAUUUUUUUUAGGUUCAGUACUGUGAAUUAUCAAUCAAUGUAAGGCAACAUCUAAUGAUCUCAAUUCUCAAUUCCGACAAAAUCAAUCAAUGUAAAGCAACAUCUAAUAAUCUCAAUUCUCAAUUCCCACAAAGCACAUCUUAAGUUAGGCUUGAAAGCUUCAGAAUGAACAAGAUUGGAACUUUGGAAGUGUCCUGCUAUGCCCGAUGACGGCGUGGCCGCCUUGGAACACUCCUUUUCAGUGCUGCACCUACUGCUUGCCUUCUCCUCGCGUCCUGCUCAGCUCUACAGGUGCGGCAGCGCCUCUCGCCUGGCCGAAACUUUGAUUUCAUGGGGAAUUGGACAGCAGGGAAUUGGGGAUUUGGGAGUUGUAGUCAUAAAGGCACAGCAGUAGGGAGAGACGAAGCGUUGCGGCGCUACUCGGGGGUGCGUACGAUGCCCUUGCGAAGACGGAACGCCCGUGCAGUUAGUAGCGUACAAUUCGGCCUGUUGGUUGUUGGGCUGCAGCUUUUGAACCGAGCAAUUGGGUUUUUCUAUUUUUUCCUUUUUGUUAACAAUAAUUUGUGAACAUGUGCCGGGUUCUUAGGGUGGUCCACGCCCCACCAUGCCACCAUGCUGGCUCCGCCACUGGCUCCUCCUCUCGCCACCGCACGGGACGCUGCGAUGGUGCCGGUGCCAGCGAGAGCGAGGUCGAGGGGGCGCAUGGAGGCGGCUCCAACGAGGAGGGCCAUCCUCCUGGGCUUCGAGGACGGCCAUGGGAGCCUGUUGUUUUGCCUUUGCAUUGGUGCUCCUCACGGCUGUGAUGAUCCAGGCCAAGCUAACUAAGGCGGCAAGGAGGUGGGAGCUGGGCUCCUUAUGGUGGUGAUUCAUUUGGCGGCGAUGCAGGUGGUCCUGAUCCGCACUAUUACAGUGGGGAUGGUGGUGGUGCUGUUGCCUAUGGUCGUGGUACACGAGGCUGAGUGCCAUAUUUUUUUGCUGGAUGGUGGUGGAAGCAUCGUGCUUCGACGGGUUUGCAGAUUGUUCUCCGUGACUUGUCGUGCUGCGAUGGCUGAUCUGGGGUCUCAGCUUUUGGCCUGGGGUCGUGAUGUGAUGAUGGUACUGAUAGUGUCGUACCAGUGGCCCACGGGGUCCCACUGAUACUGGACGCGUGGGUCGCCUCUGAAGGGGCCACAUCAGGAAGGACUCCCGGGAAGUACCGAGCCCACGAAGCCUGCCUCAAAGGGACGGCCCCCAGUGAAGAAAAAACUAGGAGCCAAGUACGGAGCGCUCCCGGGGACCCCAACCCCGGGAAGUCAUAGGAAGGCCACUCGGCAACUAGCGGAUGCGCUAGCCGGGAGGGUGCACCUCGGCAACCCGCGCUCGGGCAUGCAAGCGGGACCCGCAGAACAGUGAAGACAGGACAAGACUGCGGGCGCACUGCAUUUAAUGCACCGACAGGAGUCUUAUCAGCAGGCCUAGUCUUGUUUAGCAAGGCUAGAACGGUCGCCCUAAGAGCUACUUUUUCUACUGUAUACAGUAGGAUGGGCGUUGCAUGGCGUCCAGCGUGGAUGAACAAAUUUGUAUUUCGUGUGGGCGUGACACGCGUCUAGCUAACGUGUCACGCUGCACACCGCGACACCUGUGGUAUCCCCUUGCAUAUAAAAGGAGGACCAAUGCCACCGAAAAAGGGUUCCGACUCAAGUAAUUAGAACACAUCGUAGUAUUCACCUAAGUAGCCAGUCCGGGAACCCCCCGAGCGAUCUGUACACUCUUAAACUUGUGAAUAUAACAAAAAGCAGGACGUAGGGUGUUACACCUCCGGGUGGCCCGAACCUGGGUAAAACUCUCGCAUUUACUCUUCGUUUCUAUCGCCUCGCCCUCCACCGAACCGAAAAGGGGGUGCUCAGCACCCCUGGUGCCGGAGACCGUGCUCCGACAUCUGGCGGGCCAGGUAGGGGGCGUGCAGAGAGCUUCGGGUGAUCGCCGGUGUCAUCGUCAUCAACACCGGCUCGUUCGCCUACGGCAUCUUCAACAACUAGCUCGCCAUGCCACCCAAGAAGGCAGACGAGCCCCGGGUCGACUUGCCCGACACACUCGCCAUGCGCACUCGGUCCCAUGACGCCGCACACGCGUCACAGGUGCAGGGUGACCAGGGGUCCCCUCCACGGCAGCAGCAGCAAUCGCAGCUGCCACCUCCACCUCCUCGGCCGUCGGCAGAUAACCGACCGAGGGGGCCUGCGGCUCCCAGCGCUAGAGCCGGUCGCGCGAGCGGCCACAAUGCCGCCUGCGCCGGCCAGCGAGACCACUCGCGGGCCGAAGAUGCGCAGCGACAGCUGCGCCACGAACACAGCGCGUCACGUGCGACACUGACGGAGUCUCGUCCCACUCAUCCGAGGGCACCGGGUGACAGGCGGAGGGCAGCCGGUCCGAGAAUCAGCAGCCUCCCGCCCAGACCCCGGCGGAAGCCAUCAUAGCCGAGCGUGUCAUGGUGCGCUAUGAGCCACCGCAAGGCACACCGGCGCAUGAAGCAUGGAGUGCGGAGCUGGACGCGCUCCUUGCACUCGCCGCCCAGCAGCCGCAAGGCGAGGGCGCCUCAGCUUGUUCAGGGCCGGGGACAGAACCCGGGACGCGGAGAUGCGCCCCGUGUUUCUGGACACGGCGAGCACCUUCCCCCGCGGGGAGGGCAAAAAGGUGAGGAUCCCGUAGGAUCCUCGGGUUCGUCACCGACCGCCACAUGGGGUAACGCGGGAGGCGUCCUGAACGCCCGCCAACAGGAAGACCUCCGCCAGCGCUUGGAGCGCCGGCGCCGGCGUGAAGCAGAACGCCAACGCCCGGAGGAGCAGGAGAACGCUCCCAUGGGCCCCGGUGACGGCUGCGCCGUGUUCAUUCUCAAGCUGUGCCGGGUGACAUGGCCCCGCAAGUUCUGAGCACCGACGCUUGGAACGUACGACAAGACCGUGAACCCCAAGGAUUUCCUCCUGACCUAAGCGUUGGGGAUGCAUGCCAUUGGCCCGACGACAAGGUCAGGGCCAACUGGUUCCCGAUGGUCCUCAAAGGAUCAGCGAGGACCUGGUUGCUCAACCUGCCUGCCGGGUACAUAGCCUCCUCGGCUGACCUGCGCGAGCAAUUUAUGAACGCGUUCCAGGGCGGCUACAAGCGCCCGGGAACCAUGGCGGAGCUGCACACGGUCGUGCAGAAGCCGGGGGAGACGUUGCGGGACUUCACCAACAGGUUCUCCAACCUCUCCUACUCCAUCCGUGAGGCGGAAGCGGCCGCCAUCAUCAACACGUACGCCAUCAACGUCCGUGAUCCGAAGAUGCGUGAGAAGCUUAACACGCACCGGAUCCGGACCACCAGGGAUCUCUACGCUCUCGCGCACAAAUUUGCGAUGGCCGAGGAAGGGCGUUUGGCACCUGAGCUUGCCGCCAAAGCGGCGGCAAACCCACCGGAGGGCUACGGGAAAAAGGGCUCCCGAAAGCGCGGUGGGAAGCAGGUACGCGCCGCGGAGCCGGGGGCUCCCCCGAGGCCCACCAAGAAGGCGGCGUCGGCAGGAGCAUCGGGCAGCAAGCCAGCAGCCGCACACUGGCUAGUUGACUCCAAUCUGGGAAGGCCCUUCCGGGUAGUGCAGGUGACCAGACCGGGGGCUGUCCGGCUGGAAACCGAAGAAGGCUUGCCGGUGCCCAAUAGUUGGAACAUUGCGCACCGGCGCAAGUUCUACCCGUGAAACGGUGGCGCCUUACCCACGGGUGACGCUGCGGCAGCGUACCUCUUUAAGCUAGUGUAGCCAGGAAAGGUCCGAUUGUAAACCGCUAGCACAAGGUUGAAUAAAGAUAAGAGUUACAUUGGUAAAUAUUGUGUUUUGCUGCUUAUAAAUGCUUCUGUCUCCUGCUCUAGGUGCACAGAAUUGUCUCAUCAUCCUUGGCUGUGAGCAGGGGGUUGCCGAACCCCGAAAACCAAAUCUCGUUGCCGGGAUGUCCCGGAACGAGGCCCAGCAGUUGCCGGACCCGUCCGCAACUUGCUACGAGCCAGCGAGGCACCAUGGAAAUGUAAAGAUGCUCACAGCCAGGAUUGAGGUCGACUCUUCUGUGCCUGGGGGCUGGGAGGCAGGAGGUUAUCCAGUUUAUACUGUUUUUCGUACAUUUCGAAAAAAAUUGUUAUGUUCCUUAGGCACUGCAGGAAUCUGACAUGCAGGAUAAAGAUAGGGAUCAGACACGCGGGGGUACACGUGGAGUACUCACGGGUCGUGUCGUCUAGCAGGUAGCCACUGGCGCAUGGCGACCGCUUCAAGGCUUUUACCUCAGGAGGGUGUCGUCACGUGUGCCGCUGUAGCUCGGCGCGCGCGGCGGCAGGAUUCUUCGCCAUGCCUAUAAAAGGGCAUGGUGGCCACGAAGCAACUCAGAGCAAAGCCAAGGAGAUGGCUACAAAGGCGAAGGAGGCCGCAGAGACACGGUGGUGGUGCAUGCCAUCAGUGCCCAGUGCCGAUGGGUGCACUGCCACCUUGUCCUUGCUGCAUCCCUCCAACAGUCGUUUCCAAGGCGAGGGUUGCCGCGGAGACGUUGUGGUGGUGCAUGCCAUCAGUGCUCAACGCCGAUGUGUGCACUGCCCCAACGCCCUUGCCGCAUCCCUCCAUCAGGCGUGCCAAGUGCAGAAUCGAUACGUUCGACAAGUGGACGGGAAGCUAAGUAUCUCACUUUGGGUCCUUAGUUUUCCUCUCUCAGUAACGCUGGCUUGCUGGGGUGGGUUCGGUCCCCGUGUUGCACAAGAUUAUCAGCGGAGUUGGGCUCCUUCUCCCGCCGUGCCGACGCCGCUGCCGCGUCCUCCGCAGCCUUGGUCUGCUCCCCCAGCUUGGUGCGCAGCCCCUGGAGCUGGGAGAGGUAGCUACAGAGCAGCUCGCUCUUCUAGUUGAGGCAAGCUUGGGCCGUAGCGAGCACCUCCUCGUGCUCCUUCUUGGCCUUCUCCUGCACCGCGGCCAGCGAGUCCAGGGUUGCUGGUGCUCAGUGCGCUGGGCCUCCAGUUGCCGGUGGAGCUCUGCCUCGGGGACGACCGGUGCUGCGUCUUCAUCCCUGGCCUGCAGGGCCAGGCGCGUCUUCUCCCGCAGCCGGGAGAGCUCCUGCCGCUCCCUCUCGACAGCCUGCCGCACCUCGCUGAGCUGGCCCUUCGCGAGCUCGUGGCGCUCCCUCACCUGGUUGAAGGAGGUGACGAAGGCCAGUUGCUGCUCCUUGAUGGCGUCAAGGAACUGGUGCCCCUGGUCAUAGAUGCUUGGGUCCCAGGUGAUUGGGUCCCAAGUCGGCCCUGCAAAGAUGCCGAAGUCUGGGCCGGAGGUAGCAGCGGACGACGACGAGGCCCCUGCCGCCACUGUUUGGCUGGGAGGGGCGUCGUCCACUUGCGGCGGAGCCUCCUGUUGCUCCCCUGCCGCAGCCUCCUCCACACCCGUACCCACGGGUUGCGGGACUGGUGGAGGUGCCGCGCCCCCGACAGGAGGCGCCUCCUGCUGGGAGACCGCGGGGUCCGCAUCAUCGGCCUGCACGGCCCGGGACACGCUGCCAAGCUCCGCCUCGGUCGCGACGAGGGGCGCCGCCACCGUUGUGUCCGGCGCGGUGGAGCUGGGCGCGGGUGCCUCUUCCGGCUCCUCUCUCGUCCCCGCAUCUUCGACGUCGGAGCCGAGAUCGACCACCGCAUCGCCGGCUCUCGUCGUGGGCGCAGUCGGGUCUGCGGCAAAGAAAAGAAUUAGAAUCUAAAAAUAAACUAAGUUACCCGGUGAUGAACGCAAGGAAGCUCUGAACGAGUACCUUGCAGGGCCGCCGAGCUUGCGGGAGGAGCCUCCUCCUCCUCCGUCCCAGCCUCUUUCGCCGGGGUGCCCGCCACGGGUUGGACUUUGCCUGCGAAUCAACGAAGCGGCACGGUUACGGAUCAGUGGGCAGAGGAAACAUAAACAAUGGAACAAGAAGAGGGAUUGGUACCUGUUGUCGGCUCCUCCUCCACUGGGAUUUGGUCGGCGGCAGGCGCGUUGGCAGCGCCGCCAGCCCCCGCGUUGCCCCGGUCGGCGCUGGCACUGGCCCGGGUGCGCGGCUUCUUGCUCGGCGCGGCGGGUGGCGAGUCAGCCCUCCCCCUCUUGCCGGCUCCCGUCGGGGUGCUGUCCUUCGAGGGGUUGAGCUUGAACUCGUAGCCCUGAAAGAGGCCCCGCUUGGGCGGGGCCGUGGCCGCCCGUGGGGUUGCCGCACCCCCGGUCGCCGCCACGGCGCUUGCGGUCACUGCGGAGGUGGCCACUGCUGCGGGCGCUCUUGAUCUUCGCAGGAUCAGGGGUGCAUCUUCCUCGUCCUCCUCCUCCUCCGCUGCAGGGAGGACCGCUCUGGUCCCGGCAAUUUGACCCGCCUCGUCGCUGGAAGACUUGAGGUCGGGCCAGUUGAGCUCCGACUCUUCCUCACUCUCCUCGACCACCCUCUUCCCACGGGUUGCGGGUGGAAGGGGUCGCGGGGUCCGAGCGGGGGAGUUGGACAUCAGCCCCCACUCGUCGCAGGGUGGGUAGCCGCUGAUAAUCUUGUGCAAACCCAGGACACCAGCAUGGAGGGAGGGAGCCCCUGGCGGUAGCUCUAUGAAGGGGGCGUCUUCGCCGGUGAUCCCCUUCACCCACGCCCGGAUUGCUUCCGGGGCCACGCCCCGUGCUGGAGACGGAUGGUGUCCCCGGGCCCCGUGUACAUCCACGCGGGACGGGAGCGCAGCUACAGCGACGCGAUACGCCGGCUGAUGUAGGUGCACGCCACGUCAAGGUUGGUGAGCCCUGCUAGCCGCAGGGCCUUGAUUCUCUCGACGAUGGGGAGGAGUUCGGCGUCGCGGCUGUAGCGGUUCCGCCAGGUGUCGUUGGGCACUGGCAGCUCGGUAGGCGUGUCGAUGAACUCCUCGGGUUCCUCCACACGAACCCGGCACCAGUCCGUGUGCCACUCCUUCUCGAUCUUCUUCUCCGACCGGACGAUGAACUCCGAUUUCAUCCGGUUACGGGCGCGGAAGACCACCCCCGACGACAUCGCCCCCGUCUGCUCGAUGCGCGGGUAGAAGUAGUGCCGGAAUAAUGCCACCGACAGCAUCACUCCGACGAACCCCUCGCAGAGGAACUGGAAGACGGCGAGGAGGAAGAGGGAGGUGCGGUGGAGUUGCGUCACCCGAAGCUGAUACGCCUCCAUGAGCGUGUGGAGGAACAAGGAGAACGGAGGCACCAGCCCGGCGAGGAUGAAGCGCGCGAACACCCGGAAGUCGUUCUCCUGGUGCUAGGCACCGGCGGGGAAGAUGAGAGUCUCCCCGUACUCGUUGAACCGCGAGGCGACGGCGUGCCGGACCUUGUCCGGCCCCUUUUCUGGUCUUUCUCCGAGGCGGGCUUCUUGGGAGCCGUCUCGCUCUUGCGGGCUGCGGGCUUCUUGGAGCCUUUCCCUUUCUUGGGAGCGGUGGGCGCCAUGGGGAACGCGAGCGGAAACUAGCAGGAUUCAAGGGCGCAAGGGAGCGUGAAGAUGGAGAAGAAAGGCUGGGGGGCUAAGUGUUUUCUCCUCAGCGCAGCGGUGGGGUCUUAUAACACCCCGGCGCUAAGCAGCGGUCACAUCCACACCCUACGGGUGCGCUGGGGAUAACUACACUUCAAGAGGAUAGCGCAGGGCGUGGCCUUAAUCACCCGUGUUUAAGGGGGAGGUUAGGGCGGAAAUCUCGCGCCCACUAGUCUGCCAGUAACGGCAGAAUCCUUGAAGCAGCGCAUAGACGAGAACCCGAGGCGGCUCGGGACCCACGCGUCGGUUAAGGGCGUAGCCCGGCAACCGACCAGGGAAAAGUCCACCCGGGAACAGGCGUUGCCGGCCCACGCCCGAGGGCUACUGUCGCACCAGUGGCACCCGGGGUACCACCGCUGCAUGACGCGUGGGCCACCUCGCUUGCUCCUCGGGAGGAUCGCACCCCGAGCAGCACCCCGCGAGCUGCCCGGCAAGUCACCAGCACGGCAGGGCUAGCCAGGCUGCGGGGGUUGCCCUGGAGGGCAGCAAGAGAAAUCCCGCCUGGGCGCUUCCCGGGAAGCUUACUUGCCAGGAAGGGCGUUCCCGGGCACAAGCGCCCGUUACAGGAGCGGGACCGAGUGGGCAGGACAGCGACGCCACGUGGCCGCUCGGCGGGCUCCCCGUGCGCAGGGUUCGUCAGGACAAGGAGUGAAGCACACUCAAGCAUUAAAUGCACCGACAGAAAAGGGAUUCCCCGUCCAGUCAGCCUAUAGUGACUGGCCCGGUGUAAAUUUUAGGCACGUAGGACCCUAGUUGCAGGGCUACCCAUCCUGCAUGCAAGCCAACGCGGCAGGGCCGAGCUGCCCUGGCUCCUUGUUCGCCAUUUCUCACCCAUGCACCGAGGCACCUAUGGUAUCCCCUUCGGUAUAAAAGGAGGACCCCCGCCAAAGGUCAAAGGGGGGAUGGACUCUCAGUUCACUACUAAUUCUAGCCAAUAGUAGCAAGUAGCACUUAGCUAAGAAGAGAGAGAGCACCCGGGGACUCCCCCCGGCAACUUGUAAACCCUUCCUCAUCGGUAAAUAGCAAACUCAGAAGCAGGACGUUGGGUUUUACACCUCAGGGUGGCCCGAACCUGGGUAAAAACGAUCUUGUGUUCAUCGUGUCCCAGUGCUUGACAUUGGCCUCGCCGGCGAUCGCCGGAGCGAUCCCCGUCGCCCACUGCCGAACCUAAAAGGGGAUGCCCGUGCAUCCCCGGUGUCUGAGCCCCGUGCUACGACACUUGGAAACAUUCGUGAUGAGGCCACUCGCAUUUCCGAAUUGCUCCAGAAUCACAGAGAUGGUCGCAAGCUCCUGCUUGAAAGGUUUGGCGAAGAUGCCAACGUCAUCCGCGUACAGUGAGAUCCUGCAGCGUACGGCCGGGGCCCCGACCCAUUGUAGCACACCGCUCUCCUCCGCCCGGCACAGGAUGAUCUGGAGGGGAUCAAUCGCUAAAAUGAAGAGCAUGGGGGAGAGGGGAUCCCCUUGGUGCAAACCCCACUUAUACCGGAAGGGGGUUCCCGGGCAGCCAUUGAGGAGGACCCACGAAGAGGACGAAGCGAAAGACAUACAAAUCCAAUUCCGCCAGCGCGGGCCAAAGCCAAGUUGUUCCAGCACUUCCAGAAUGUAAGCCCAGUUGACAGAAUCAAAGGCCUUUGAGAUGUCAAGCUCGAGGAAUAGACUUGGCAUGUUAGAGGAGUGAAGCACCUUGAUUGAAUUUUGGACGAAGAGAAAGUUAUCAUGGAUGCACCAUUUUUUAAUGAAUGCACUUUGACAGUUGGACACUAACAAUCCCAGCUCCGGGGCAAAUCUCAAAGCCAACAGCUUGGAGGAAAUCUUGGACAUGCUGUGUAUCAAGCUGAUGGGACGGUAAUCGCCAACCCGAGCGGCAUCAGGCUUCUUUGCAAGAGAAUAAUGUUUGCCGAGUUGAGCAGGUGCAUGCAGUCUCCUCGCAGCUCCGCCAUUUGGAGGAUGGCCGCCACCACAUCACUCUUAAUGGUCUCCCAGCAGGACUUGAAGAAGGCACCAAUGAAGCCAUCCGGGCCGGGGGCUUUGACAGAGGGCAUGGCGAAGACUGCCUCCUUAAUCUCAGAUUCGGAGAAAUCGGCAUCAAGAGCAGACAGGUCAGCCGGUUGGUAGCCAAGCGCAGUCCAGUCAAGAGUCUCAUUUCUGACGUGCGCCGCACCAAGAUGGUUCUGGAAGUGGGAAUGAAGCUCCGUUUCUUUGUCAGCCUGAGUGAUGGCCAUCCCUUGCGGCGUUUGGAGAUGCUGAAUGAAGUUCUUCCUUCGCCUAUCAUUCACCCGGAUGAGGAAAAGUUUGGUGUUGGCAUCCCCUGUCUUGAUCCAAGUAAGCCUGGAGCGUUGCCGCAAUUUGACCUUUUGAACGGAGAGAUGACCCAAGUAGCUGUUCUUGAGGUGCCGUCUCAGCCCCCGUUCCUCCACCGAAAGCGGUCGCUCCUCCUCGGCGAUGUCGAUGCGCCAAAUAACCUCCUUGAUAAUGGCCAAUUCAUAGUCCAAAAAACCAAAACGCCCCUUCUGCCACUUCUUAAGAGCCUUCGCCGCGCGAUUGAGCUUUAUAUGGAUCCUGCGGAGGGCGUCUUGGGCCACAACAUGCUUGUUCCACGCACCUGCCACCGUGUCCUGAAAGCCAGGCAUCUGCAGCCAAAACUCUUCGAAUUUGAAAGACGGCCGAUGCUAUCGGGUCGGCUCCCCCUGGAGGAAUAGGGGAAUACGUGUUAAAAUCUGUAGUAAAAAAAGAGGGAGGAGUCUGCUAAUAUAUGGCCGGGGAAAAACUAAUCAAUCGUACCUGGAUCAAGCACCGAUGCCGAAUGAAUCCCUCCCUGACAAAACGGCCAGGAAAAAUUUCCUUAGCGCCCAUCGUAGAGCCUGCGUUGGAUUAUGAGGGGAUGCGGCGGAACCGACGGAGACAGGGAACGAUGGGGGCAGUCAGAGAGAGUCACGAUGCUUCGGGCCUUUUACGUAUCUGAUAGAAGUGCUUCAAACUUCUGAAUAGGUAUUGUGCAAUAGAGAUCCUCAACCUCACUAAAUUCAUCAAAAUCUUCCUGAAUUUGUAAAAAGAAAUUGAUAGUCAGAACAAAAGAUCUACUCCCACCAAUCCAUAUUAAUCGCCUCAACUUUGGACAAAUAUGGAGACAAUUAGGCUGUGUUUGGACACAAAGUAUUUUUCAAACCAUGGUAUUGCAAAAACACAGUAUUAUUUGCCCUGGCUAAAGAAUACUGCAGUUUCAGAAAACUACGGUUCUUCUCAGUUUUGCCAAAACUACCAAGGCGUUUGGCAGGUUGUAUUUACCAUCGUUUUCUUUAGUUAACAUUUUGAUCUAGCUGUGUUGACCGCAAAGCAUCAGGUGGAGCACAACAGCUGCGGCUGCUGGCUGCCAGACGAGCUCCAGUGUGCGGCUGCCCCUCGUAGUCCCCGGCGGCGCCGAACAACGACAAAGACAACGACUGCAUCGCCUGCGGCGGCGCCGUGCCGCCGGCAACCAAGGAAGCCAGAUCCGUCGGCAGAAGGCGCUUGAGGAUGGUCCUCUCCGGCGUCAUCAUCACCAGCGACUCCACGUACGGCAGUCACGGCAGAGCGAGGUGAGGACGAAACAUCCAGUCCCUGACGACGGCGGAAGCGAGGACGGCGGUCGCAUCGUCGAGCAGCACACGGCGGGGCCGCGCGAGGGAAGCCGAGAUCUGGUACCACGGCCUGCAGCUUCCGCAACCCGAACGAUGGCUGCACCGUGACGGUGCCCAGGUCCACGCUCCAGUCGCCAUCAAUGAACACCCCCUACAGCAGCGCCGCCACCGCCUGGGAGAUCGAGAUAGGCAAUCAGAGGGGGGUGAAUGAUUGCGCGGAAGCAAAUUAAAACUUUUCCUGAAAGUUCAAAUCCUAAAUUACCUUUCUGUCCGUGAUAGUAAAACAGCCUUAACUUUUUAUUGGAUGAAUCAAGAAAUACGUAUGAGUAUGCAAAAGAACGGUAUUGAAAUUAUCUAACCAACCCAACAAGAAUCAGCUCAAUCGGACGUACCAAUCAAAAGAUAUGAUCAAAAGAGUAACAGCUGACAGAAAGUUACGAGGAUUAAUCUAAAACCAAUUUCGAGGAAUAUUAAGAAAGAUGAAGUAAUCGCGAUCUUUCCUUGAUCUCGUGAUAAACCUGCAGCAAAGUAUUAUGAACUCAUGAUGAACCUGCAGCAAAGUGUUAGAAAGAUCUAGCACGAACAAUCCAUGAAGAUCUGAGAAGAACAGAGAUGACACCGCCAACGAUUCUCUUUAUUGCGACGAUGUCGAUCGAUUACAAAGAUGCAAUCAUGCAUCCAAGAACUCUCCAAGAUAUGAUCUACAUCCAAAGCUCUGAGUUCCCUCACGUCCUUACUAAAACCCUAACUAGUCCGCCCUCUAUUUAUAAGGGAAAAUUCACGACUCUAAACCGAAUCCGAAUCCAACACGAACUCCUCUAUCCCGGUCGGUAUUCUGCCCAUGAGGCCCGCAUACGACCUCGGAUUGAGAUUACUCCAAAAGCAAAGUUGUUCGUCUCGACGACGCGCACAACUUUCAUGUGGACACUUUUCCAUCAGACACCAUCUUGAUGAUGCUACUGUUUAAUUUUUAAACAGCUCUCAUCCAGCCAUGGCUGGACCUACAUGUCUUCACGUCGAUGCCACUCCAUGCCAUCAACUCUUAUUGUGAUGUCUUCAAAACUCGACAAUCACGUGUCGAAUAUCUCCAAUACCGUACAUCUCCGGUAUAAACAACGUACGACAAACCGAUGCCCUCCCGGAUCAUCGUAGCCUUCACUUCCAUUGUUCCUUCGCACGAGCGUCCCGCAUGACCUUGAUCCCUCGACCUCAGCUUCUCCCAAGCUUCGUCCCUCGAUCCCGUCAUCGACCACGUUCCUCUAGCUCCGACAACACCUGAAAGCGAAUAUACAAAUAAUCAGUACGAGCACAAGUCCACGACUUGACUCAGGGUAAGUUCCACACAACUCACACCAUGUUUCACAUAAGAACUAAUGGAUCAACACACCACUAGCAAAGCAUUAAGUCCAAACAAGAUACAUGUCAUCACAUAAAUAUUCAUAUUAUCCAAAGUAUCCACAGCAAUGUUUCAUCUAAAACACUUGCAGAUGUUACACAUCACCUAUGAUUUCACACCGCCGCACCGCCAAUCCCCUCACAAACCAGCACCGCCGAUCUCUCUCUCUCUCUCAGGCUCGUCGAUCCCCUCACGAACCAAGCACAAGCAUCGAAUUGGAACCCGCAUCAGCUGGAAGAGAAAUUUGGGAUUGGAGGCGAAGAAGAGAAAUUUGAUUCCUCCAUCUCACCGAUGGAGACAACGAUAGGCGGCGGCUUGAGGGACCGAGAGAGGCGGACCAUUUUUAUCUCCGUUGGACUGUUUUCCUUUCUCCGUCUCGGCCGAGGGACACGAGCAGCGGCGGCGGCAGUGGCUUGAGGAAGAAAGUUGCGAGCGAGGCAGGGGUGGGGGCAGCUUUCUCGUUUCUCAGUAAAAAAAAUAAAAUAAAGAGGUCGGGGGCUCUUUAUUUUAUAGAGAGAAAAUACUGCAGUUUUGGGGAUUCCAUGGUAUUAAUACUACUGUUUUUUGUUGUAUCCAAACACCUCAAAAUAUUUGAAACCAGAGUAAUUUUAAAAAAUGUGGUAUUCUCAUAAUACUCUAAAAGUACUGAGGUACCAAACAGGGCCUUAAUGUAAUAUUUUCACAAUUAAUAUGGAUCGAAUGGAGUACACGUUAUCACAUAAUCUUCUAACAGGAAGACAACACUGCACCUGGUUACGUUCAACAUAAUCUUCUAUGAAAUCUUUAACAUCAUCGACUUGCUCAUGUCUCAACUCAUCCUUAUCCAGUAGUCUCAAGAUUGACUCCAGUAUUUUUAUGUGAGUUUUAUGAUGCGUAAUAGAUUUCUUUAAAUGUACCUGAUAAUGCAUAAUUACUUCCUCUAUACUUAGGCCUUCCACCACAGUGUAGGUGAAGCAAACUCCAAAAGGUUGCACCGGUGCUUGUUUUGGCAUUUGGCUACAAUGGCAUGCACAUCCUUUUUUUUAUCUACUGGGACCCACAUUACUAAAAAGUAACAGUUAAUUUAUUCAACUAUAUACUCUUUAUUCCUUUCUCAUCCCAAUGACAUGUGAGGUCCCCCAACCAUUUCACAAGUUUGUAUCGGUUCAUAUACAUCAACCGGUGCAAAAAAUCUUGGAGUUUGCUUCCCCUAACUUUUGGUCCUCCAAUGUGAUGAACCGGUGCAUGAGAGAAAAAGUAAAGUUUGCACCGAUACAUUGGAGAAGGCCUUAGAGAUUGUCGCGCAGCUCUUACAGUUUAACUUCAAAAAAUUAUGUAAAACCAGCUGAUUAUACCGAUGGAGGAUGUCUUUGUUUGUGUUGCAAUAUAUUUGAAAUGUUGCACCCAUGCACAACAAAGAAAGCGAAUAGGAACAGCAAAAACAAUCGCAAACCACACUGUAAUGACAAGAUGAAAUAAAAAAAAAUAUAACUAAAGUAAUCAGGUAUGCAUGCAACAUGCAAGUGAGACAUUCAGAGUAAUCAGAUCAAGAUAUUAGGGAUCCAGAUUCUGAAUAUUCUAUCAUCAAUUGUCGUGAUGAUGGGAAUAGUUACGAGGCAAAUCUGCAAAACGCCCAAGUCUUUUGGAACAAACUCUAGAUUGAAGGUAUUCAAGCAAACAAUAAUGUAACACGUACAUGUUUCAAUUAAAUAUGUCUUUGCUUAGUCAUGUUUAAGCAAAAGAAGCAGACAUGAAAGACAUAAACACACAAUACUAAGCAGUGCAGCUCCCAACAUACUACCUGUUAAGCCAACCUCUUUUAAAACAGCUCUUCAGCUUUGGCCUUCUCUCUGUAAUCCUGGGUGAAAUAAGAAAUGAUGCUGAGAUUCACAAUUAACUGAAAGGAAAAAAAUCUUACCUAUUAUUUAACCCACAAUCUAAUGCGCAGACGGGCCAAGUGUUGUCUUAGCGUACGGCGUGCUCCGAGAUUCGUGCCCCUUCGUACUCUCUCCUCCUCCCGAUUCCUCUUGUCGGCGGCGUGGGGCUCGCGGAGCUGCGGCCGCGAAAGGCAGCGGGGGCGGGGGCGGGGGCGGCCUCUAAAAGCGGCGGCGGCGGCGCGCGGGGCGACGGCCAAGAAGAGCGGCAGCGUGGGGGCGCGCGGGGCGGCGGUCGCCAAGGGCAGCUGCAGGGAAGCGGCGGCGCGCGGGGCAGCGGCCGCGAAGGGCCCCUGGCGCAGCUGGGCCUGCGUCGCCCUCGGACCCUUGCGCGCCACCCGGCUGUCGUUCUCCCGGGCGCCCUCUGAACGGCGCCACCUCACCGCCACAGGCCCACUACGGCUUCUCCCUCGCCUCCAGCGUCGCAUAUGCUGGUGCGCGCACGCAACAGGGCGUGCAUCGCCUAUGGUAGCGUGAGGUACUGCUGCAGCGGAGAGUACAACAUGCCGGGCGGUGAGCGGAUCGACGAGCUACUCGGAGGCGUUCAAGAGCAUCUGCCGGACGCCUACCGCUAUGCCUACGACGAUUGCCACGUCACCUAAUGUGAUUUUGCUACUCCCCCGUCCAACAAAAGAUGUCUUAAGUUUGUCAAAAUUUUGCUACUCCCCCCGUCCAACAAAAGAUGUCUUAAGUUUGUCAAAAUUUUAAUGUACAUAGACAUGACUUAGUGUAUAGAUGCAUUCAAAUUUGGUCAAAGUUGAGACAUCCUUCGUUGUACGGAGAGAGUACAUGUUUUGAUUCGAGUGUUUUGUUCCAUGAAAUGUGUUUACCCGUGUGUUUGGCCAUUGACGCGAGUAUUUGUUAGCAUGGUAAGUAGAUUCGGCUAAUCUGGCUAAUCUGGUAAGUAUCAUAAUUAACUUGAUAAAUAGACAUAACUAACUUGAUAAUUAUCUCCAAUUAACUUGGUAAGGAUCCCAAUUAACCCGGUAAGCAUCCCAAUUAACAUGGUAAAUAAGCACGGUUAAUCAGAUAAGUAUACCUAAUUAAUCUGAUAAGUAAACACUGUCAACGUGACAAGUAUGUGUGGAUAUGCACGUGCGGAUAAUCGAUCGUGGUAUAGUCAUGUCUAGAAAUAAUUGUUGUUUAGAAGGAAUAAGUCUAACCAACGUGGGCCAGAAGUCAAAUGGAUUGAUUUUACAUACCACAUCAAUACAUUUAUGUUCUGUUGUCGAUCAUGCUAAUUAGAGAGAUGCACACGGUAAAGGAGAAGCAUGGUGCUCAUUAUAGCGGCUCCGCUACCACUUAACGAGGCAUGACUAGAAUUGAUGUGUGUGCGCUUUUGGUCAUGGAUGCGAUGGACCUUCGUCCUGUGAAAUACACAUAUUUUCCCUCUCGGUUCUUUCUUUGUCGACCAGAUUAAAAAUAGGGAUUUAAAAUCGAUGGACUAAUUAAUAACCCGGCAAAUAUGAGAAUUGUACUUUUGUCCUACGUUUAUAGGUCCUAGUAUGUAGACGUAAAUAAUCUGGUAAGUGUGUACAAUUAACCUGGUAAGAGGAAACAAUUUACCUGGUCAAUAUGCACAUUUUAACUUGGUAAGCGGGAACAAUUAAUAUGGCAAACAUGUGCAUCUAAUCUGGUAAGUAAGAACAAUUAACCUGAUAAGCAUGUGUGGUUAAUCUGAUAAGCAUGCACAUUUAAUCCGGUAAAUAGGAACAAAUAACCUGAUAAGUAGGAACAACUAACCUGACAAGUAGGGACCUGACGAGUAAGCACAUUAACCGGUAAGUAGGAACAUUUAAUUUAAUCUGAUAAGUAGAAACAUUUGACCUGCAGUUAACAUGAUAAACAAUUAAUCUGGGUUUUAUUGUAUGUGUGCUGAUCCUAUGUGAGGAGGUGAUGCGCGAUCCAGGAUUGUAAAUAGUUGUCAAAUACUUAUAUCUUGGUUGUUUUUUGCUAUGUAAUUUUUGGCAUAGAAAAUCUAGGGGUUGAUGUGUGGGGAUGUUAUUUUUCUGCUGCUGAACGUGCUGUUUUGAGAAAAAAGAUGGUCUCUGAUCGAUAUGUUUUUUUUAGACAAUCUCUGAUCGAUAUGUAGGGAAGGUUGACAGGUCUCUGCCUGCCCAGCGCGAUUUCCGGCUCCAUCCCGCGCACCGGCCACCGGGUGGCGCUCGCGAUCGCCCGCUCGCGCGCUUAACCGGUUGCGCUCCGCCUUAACGGGCGCCACACGUUAAAAUACGGUGCACACGUCGCCCAAUAGUUCGGUCCAUUAUUUAAUUUACGGUUCGCGUUUCGUCCAUCCGUCCGUCACUCGUACGUCGUCUAACCCCACGUGCAAUUAACCAACCGAGAUCCCCGAACAGCCUCGUUCCCAUCCCAGCACGAUUACCUCCAACGAUCCCGCAAUUACCUCCCCACCCACUAUGGGUGGCCAACGGGCCGGUCCGGCCCCUGCUAAACGGGCCUAGCCGGAGCCCAGCCCAAAAACUCCUCCUCCAAGCCCAUGCGCAGCACCAAGCCCGGACGGCCCGGCCCGUUAAGCUUGACCGGGCUAGCAAGGUCUCUCACGCCAAAUGUACAAAAAUAAAAAAACCUUAGAUUUGGGCCAAAACUGCUUGAGAUGAUAGGCCAAAUGUAAAAAUAAGUUAGCUUAGACCAGAUUUUUGAGAGUUGAUGGAUCAAAUGAAGGAAAUCUAAAAAAUAAAAAAGAUAAUCGGGCCGUGCUAGGCAGGCCUUGGUCCGGCCAGAUUAAUUCUCAUCCUUUCCUCUCCUUUUGGCCCAGUUCGACUACCAACAUCAACAUCUUGGCCCAGCCACAGGCCUGCCUCCUCCCCUCCUUCCGCAGGCCUAUGACAUUCUGGAUCGAGAGCCAUCGACUCAUCGAGGCCAAAUUUGAGCUCAAAACAAAAAUAUAAAUCCCAAUUUUUCUUAGGGAACAUUAGCUUAAACCCAUCCGAACCUAGGCUUGCAUUAUCAUUCAUCAUGGCUAAUCUUGUCUAACGAGAAGAGGAAGAUAAGGAUUUGAGCAUGAGAAGAAAGGAAAGAACUAGACAUAGAUUCUCUUUGUUUUUUUAGAGGGAUUCUCUCUGUUUUUGUAUGACACUCUAGUGCUACGUUUUAAUAUAUAAUGGAGAGAUGUACACCCGUCGAUGCAACGUUUCUAAGAAAGAUUGACACUUCCAUUAACAACUGUGUUUUUAUACUCUUCACUGCCCUUGGAUUAUUUUUUUUCAACAAUGCAACCCAGCGGGUGCAUCAUCAGAUUAAGAAGGAAAAGCCAUAAAGCCAGUUACAACACCGCGAAGUGGUUACAACGCCACCAAGUGGCCAAAACACGAAAAGGAACUAAGUAGCAUCGAGCAACCCACUCGCGAAGGCGGCCCCGAGCGAUAGCCUGCUCCUAAAUAGCCCGGCACUCUCCCACCUCGCCACCUCCUCACACACAAUCACCGCACUAGGCCCCGUGAUGCCGGCCCACCACUCUUGGAUGUUGGAAUCAAUGCCAGGCCUCCAGUCUUGGCAAUCCCACGCCACAAGAACCACCUCCCAAACCUGUCUCGCCACGACACAACCCAGCAGGAGGUGAGAAAGGGUCUCCGGCUCCUGGGAACAAAGAGGACACUGAGAAGGGUGAGGGAGCCCCCUCCUCUGUAGCCGAUCAGCCGUUUAACAACGAUCCUUCGCCACCAACCAAGCAAAGAACUGACACUUGCCUGGUGCCCUGUUCUUCCAGACCUGGGCCGCCAAAGGGUCAGGCGUUAGGCCAGCAAACUGAUGUCUGUAGGCCGAACGCGCCAAAUAGACGCCGUCGUCGGACCAGUUCCACAGCGCCCUUGGACUUGUUCAUUUGCCAGAACCAGCGGAUGUCAUGCUCUCUUGGGUAGUGGCUUCUUUUUCGCCUGCCUGCUAUACCCGCCACCACUGCAACCCUUUAUUAGCAUCCACCAGCUGAGACAAGCAGUGAGAGAGGGAACGAGGAGAUGGGCAGCUCAUCAGGGCUUGUCGACUGGAGGGGAGGCCGAUUACCAGCAAGAAACAUGGAGGACUGCGAGCUUCAAUCUUUAUCCACGGUAAGGAACACUGUCCGGACGACUUAAUUCUUUUAAUAUCGAGUUCCUUCUUUGCUUUGCUCACUCUGUGUUUGCCCGCCAUCCGACUCCCUCCGGCCCAUCCUAUUAAGUGCCUGAAUUUGUCCAAAUAUGCAUGUACUGUAUUUUAUAUACCUCAAACAUGUCUAGACACAUAAAAUAUUUCAACACUUAAUAUAGGAUGGAGAGAAUAUGCUUUUAAAGCGUACGUCAAGCUAUUUGACUUGCUGAGUCAAUGGGUCAUGUAAGAUAGAUAUGUUUUAUUUUAUGGACUGUGCUAAGUAAGGGCGCGCGUACGGUUCUCCGAGAAUCACGGUGAAUCAUACACUCCGAAACAAAAACACCAGGACACUAUUAUCUCACAACUGCGUACACAAACAAAAUCAAGAGCAUGUUGUCUAGAGUUUGCAUGCAUGCUAGCUUUUGCAAAAAUAAAUUUUAAAAUAUUAUAACUCUUAAACCGUCUAUUCAAUUUACGAUCCGUUUUCACGGUUAGCUUUGUUUCGACGAGAUCUUUGAAACUAGAUCCCAUGUUAGUAUGUUUUGAAAACUUUUUGUCGACCUUAUAAGUUACCACCCACGAAUAUAUCAAGUUGCCAUCCAGUUAGUAAUAAGUUACCAUGUUGUAACUUCGUACGAAAUAUGAUGGUAACUUUGCAUUAAAGUUAUCAUUCAGUAAUAUACGAAACUGCCGUCUGCUAGUAAUAAAAUUAACAUUGAUUAAUAUACGAAUUGCCACCUUAUUAGUAAUAAAUUACCAUCCAAUGAUAUAAGAAACUAUCACUUUAAUAGCAAUAAAAUAUCAUAUGGAAAUUUCUUACAUAUUAUUGUAGUAAAUUGUGUAUUAACUCAUGAUAACAAAAGAGACUGAAAAAAGUUCAUCGAAUGAUUAAUACACUACCGAUAAUCCGCAAAGAAAAUACACUAAUGAUAAGCCAUGCGAUGUGAGCAACGAACACAUUCAGGUGUGUAACAGACUGAUAUAUGUGCAUGCAUGCAUAUACUUUUGUCAAAAUUUAACACUCUCAAAUGUUUUAAUUUCUAAACCGUGUAUACACAAGACCUUCAAAACUAGAUCUUGCAUUGGAAUGUUUCGAUAAUGUUUUUUAUGUUUCAAAGUUACCACCCAAUGAUAAAUGAAAUUACCAACCUCGCGAGUAACAAGUUGUCAUAUGAAAUCGUCAUACUAAACAGGAUGGUAACUUGUGAGUUAAAGUUACCAUCCGAUAAUAUAUGAAGUUGCCACCUUUUUCGUAACAAGUUACCAUGUGACAACCUAAUAAAAUAGGGUGGUAACUUGUGAACUGAAGUUACCAUCUUGUAAUAUAUGAGUUUACCAAUGUUUGUCAACAGAGUUGACACAUGGCAAAUUCUUUUUGGUAGGACGGCAACUCGUGCAUUAUCCCUUGGUAACAAAGAGUCCGGAUAUUUUUUUAUCAAAACCUACCGAAGUAAGAUCUAGAUUUGAAGCACUUGUCGAUACGAAGUCAAUGGUGAAAACAGAUUAUGAAUCGGGUAGACGAUUUGAGCUUAAAAAUGUUUUGAAUUUCCAAAAUCAAUUAGUACAAAAACGUUCAUGCAUGUUUGUCUGCUUUGCAUGUUGUCCUACCGAACUCCAUGCUAGAACACUACCCACCGCUACUCUUCGCGUGCAUGAACAAAGCUGAUGGUGACAUUUCCUUCGCUAAAAUCGUACGCACGUACAUACUAAUCUCCGAACGGUCUUACUCCUGAUUUAGGUUUAUUUUAACAACACUUCCUAAGCAUAGUGCAUAGAUGCACAAUUGACUGACAUACAACAACAGAUUUGGACUUUUCUUGUGCCACCUAACCUACCCCCCCCCCCCCCCUCCCGUUUUUUUUCAAUUUAGCAUGAAUUUCCAUAAAUAAAAUAUCCACCAUAAGCUUAAUCACAACCUGUUUUUUUCCUGCUCUACUGCACUGCAGCUCUGGUGCUACUCAGCAACGCUGCCAACAUAGCCAACAUCAUGAACCUGGUGAGGUACCUCCGUGGCACCAUGCACAUGGGGGUCGCCGAGGCCUCAACGACGGCGAGCAAUUUUUUCGUCGCGCUGCAGAUGUUCUCAGUCCGCGCCGCGUUCCUCACCGACUCCUGCAUCAAGCGCGUCUGCGCCGUCCUCAUCUUCGGGCCCAUAGAGAUUCUGGUAACAUAGGAAGACAUGCCUUUACGUUAGUUUAAUUAAUGACAACAAAUUCAGUGAAAAUUAACUUGCAUUCAGUGUAAACUUAAAAACUAUCAUCGUGGUCCAUUGAAUUAAGAACACAUGGCUCAGAUCAAAGGUGAAAAUUCUACCAACUACUUAAAUACUCCUUCCGUUCCAUAUUAAGCGACAUUCUAUUACAUGUAUCUAGACGCUUUUUAGACAUAGAUACAUCCAUAUUUGACAAAUUUGAGUCAUUUAACAUGAGACGGAGAGAGUAGAUUUUUGCACAUAAUCCUUUAUCAUUGAGUGUGAGACUUGCACCUUCGAUCCGAUCCGUUCGUUUUUCAUCUAAUGACCAGUAAAAAUAGUACUAUAUACAAAUUUGCAUUGAACGGAAGUUUUCACCGUAUACGAGACCAUCUUAUCUCUGAAAGGAAUGGAAUAUUCCCGGUGGCUUAUCGUGUACACUUAAGUUGGAGUUUUCAUCAAGGUGCCACUCAGCGAGAAAUUAGACUUUGUAACGCUGAGAUGGAAAGGGGGGCAUAUAUUCAGGCUUGAUCAUAUAUAGGUCCUAGUUUUGAAAACCGGACCGGUGACUGAACCACCGAGGCUAUCGGUUCAGGUUGAUGCAAAAUUCAGACUUGUCAAUAUGAAUAAUAAUUCACAUAAUAAAGUAGCGCAAGUAGGAUUUGUAUUUAUCAAUCGCUUUGUGCUUUUAUUUUUAGAUUCACAGGCUUUUCGCCUGGUUCAAUUUAUCAAUGAAACCAUGUUCACAGGAGUAGCGCAAGUAGGAUCAUUACAGAACUGAAAGCCUACAUGGUCUAACCAGCCUGUAGAAGUAAAAGAUAGCACAGCUUACAAGCUGAAAAAUUUCUGGCAACGGGAACAGAUAAAAGCCACCUAACCAGAGAAAGCAAUAUGGCGCAGCGGUGUCCUCAUGUCCGAUGCCUGAGGCGUCCCAGGGCCCAACAAAGUAGUUCUGGGGAUUUCUCUCGCUUUGGUGUCCAUCAACAUGAUGCAGCGAUCCAGGAUCUCUAUGUUCUUCUUGGGGCAAAGAGGUUGCCAACGCUUUAAUAUACUAAGCAGCCUGCAACUUGGUCAACAAAAAAAAAACUCAGCAGCCUGCAAGUCAUGUUUGAAUCUAAAUUUUAAAAAAUCAUGGAUCUUGAACUUCCGUCGGAUAAAGUAAUGAUGAUUCAAAUGAGCAAACGUACCGUAAGAAGAGUCUGAAUGUCUGAUGAAGACGGUGUUAAAUCUGCAGGGCUAUAUCCUGCUAACAAUCCAAGCACACGUCCCAUCGCUGCACCCACCGCCGUGCCGCCGGGACCACCAGCGCCGCAACCUGCGAGCCAGUCCAUGGGUCCAACCUGAGCCUGCUCCUCCUGGGCCUCUACCUGAUCCCUAUCGGCAAUGGCGCCGCACGGGCCUGCCUGCCGGCUCUGGGCGGCGACCAGUUCGACACGGCCGACCCUGCGGAGCAGCGGCAGGAGACGAGCUUCUUCAACUGGUACACCUUUGCCGUCUCCUCCGGCGGCUUCCUCGGCCUCGUACUCAUCGUCUGGGUCGAGAACAAGCAAGGAUGGGAUAUCGGCUUCGCCGUCUGCGCUCUCUGCGUGCUCCUGGGGAUGCUCAUCUGGAUCGCCGGGUUCCCCUUUUACAGGAAUCAGCUUCCCGGUGGAAGCGCCAUGACAAGAAUGCUUCAGGUAAUCUAUAUGCUUUACUUAUUUACCCAGGCUACAAAUUUUGCGAAGAAUUGAGUAAGUUGUUUUCAACAGGUUCUGGUGGUGGCAUUCAAGAAAAGAAAUGUUGAGUUACCCAAGGACACAAGUGAACUGAAACAGAUGAACCAAGAUGACCGCAAUAAUGGGCUUGAAGAGCUGGAAAGAACAUCGGGCUUUCAGUAAGUAGAACAACGGGCUAAAAUUGGAGUGUUAUGUUAUUACUAUAUUGCAGGAGAUCGAUAAAGCUUUGUGUGAAUUUCCUUGCUUCAUUCAGGUGUCUUGAGAAAUCUGCCAUAGACACCGGAGAGAUGGGGCCCUGGUCGCUGUGCAUGGUGACCGAGGUGGAGGAGACCAAGAUCGUGCUUCGCAUGGUGCCCAUCUUCCUCAGCGCCAUCCUCGGCUACAUCCCGGUGCCGCUGAUCCUCAACUUCACCGUGCAGCAAGGGAACACCAUGCUCUUCCUCAUCCCGACCGUCUUCACCAGAUGGUCAUCCUGGUCCUCUACGACCGCUUCAUCGUCCCUUUCCUGCGCAGGAUCACCGGGUACGUUGGCGGCGUCACGCACCUACAGCGCAUCGGCAUCGGGUUCCUCUCGGCCACCCUCGCCACUGGCAUCGCCGCCCUGGUCGAGACCAAGAGGAAGAGGGUCGCAGAGGAGAACGGUCUCAUGGACGCUGCCACGGGGAUCCCUAUCUCUGUUUUCUGGCUCACCGUGCAGUUCUUCAUCCUCGGGGUCGUCGACGUAACCUCCUUCGUGGGGCUUCUCGAGUUCUUCUACAGCGAGGCGUCGACGGGGAUGAAGUCCGUAGGGAGCUCCAUCUUCUACUGCAUCCUUGAGGUGUCGGCUUGGCUGGGGAGCUUGCUCAUCCAGGUACCGAACCAGGUCACGAGGCGCGGCGACGGGGCGGAGGCGGCGACAGGGUGGCUGGAUGGGACUAACUUGAACAUGGGCAAGCUUGAUAGGUUCUACUGGCUGCUUGCUGUUCUUGAGCUGGUGGCGUUCUUCAUUUACAUGUUCUUCGCAAGGAGGUACGAGUAUAGGAAUAACCAGAGGGCUGUGGACAAUACAGGAGAUAUCAAGGCUCCAUUGGCACCCGAAGGUGCUGUGGGUGAUCUGAUAAUCUAGAUGUGCUAGUCAUCCACCCUUUCUUUGACGAGCUUUUACGUUAUUCCAUCCUGUACUAUUGUAAUAUUUAGUUAUGGAAUGAGUGAUAUAUUCAUAUUUAUUGCUUCUGGUGGAUUUAUGUUUCUGCACACCCAAUAUGUGAACACUAUUGCUGGAUGUUGUGGUAUUAUCUUGCCGUGAAAAAACAUUAUUCCAAUGUUUUUAUCAAGAUAGAUCAAACUAGGAAUUCUUUUUUGUUUGGCUUAUUUAUUUUUGGUAUAAAAAUAUUUCUACUUUCAUUGAUGAUAUGCUAUUUAUUCUAACCAAAAGGAAUAUACUUGUGAAAUUUAUAUGAGGUUCGAUGAUAUUCCUUUUUUGCUUGGGUCCGUCUAUAGCCCAGUUGUCUGAAAUUUUCGCUUUCCAGCCAGCCAUCCACUGCCUAUCCUAAGGCUAAAAAUACUCUAGUUUCUUGGACGGUACUAUUGUAAAUUUUCUUUGCUAACCGUUUGUUCCGGGCCUUUUCUAUUGUGUACUGGGCUGUACAAAUUUUUAUUGGACUAUACCUAUUCUGGAUUAGAAUGGGUUAAAGGAUUAUAAAAAGAACUUGACUAUAGAAGAGAAGACUAUAGGUAUAGUUCCUUUUUGGAACAGAUUAUGGUAAUCUAAAACACACAUAAAAAUUUGUAAAUUGCAACUGAUUAAGUAUAGAAUUGCACUGCCAGAGAUUUUGAAAGCACUAAUCAACUUUCAAAUUUUGGGUAUAACCCUACAGGUGCAAUUCAAAUUAAAAAUCAGCAACUGCAACAAAAAAAAUACACACCUGCUAACCAUGCAAUUGCAUAUAGAUGCAACUAGGAUUGCAAAAUGUAAACAUUAUGCACUUAAAAGUAAAAGAUAGUGCAACUUGAAUGAAACUUAAUUAAUUGAAACUGAUUAAGUCUAGAAUUGCACUCCGAGAGAUUUUGAGCACUGCAUCAACUUUCAAAAUUUGGGUAUAAACCUACAUGUGCAAUUCAAAUUAUUAAAAACUGCAACUGCAUAUGGAUGGAACUAGGAAUGCAAAUGUAAACGUCAUGCAAUUAAAAGUAAAAUAUAGAGCAAUUUGAAUGAAAAUUUUAUCUUGUCCGUUGGAAUUCGUUGGAACCAAUAAAUGUUUCAGCUUGUUUCAUUUCUUGGAAAAAAAUGACAGCAAUGCUUUGACAAUUCUAUCAACCAAAAUGGUAAACCACCUACUGAAUUAUAAGGUGCAUGACCAAAAAGGCAAACAACCUACUGAAUUAUAAGGUGCAUUUCGGAUCUGUAUGCUAUUAGAUCUAGCAACACAGCUUGGUACAAACACAGAAAAGAACAUGUCCGCAGCAAAGAAAAGGAGCGGUGCAUCCUGUAAAUUACUUAAUUACUUAAUUAACGUAUUGUUACAUCCUGUACUUAAUUAACGUAUUUUUCUUUUAAGUUGUUCUUAAAUUACUUAUUAUUGUUACAUCCUGUACUAUUGUAAUAUUUAGUCAGGGAAUGAGUGAUAUAUUCAUAUUUAUUGCUUCCAGUCGAUUUAUCUGUUUCCGUAGACCCAAUAUGUGAACAUUAUUCAAAAAGAAAAAGGCUGGGGGCGGUGGGCAGAAUGUAGAUCCGCCUUGGGCAAAGAGAAAGGACAAGGUGGUAUAAAAGUGGGAUCCUGCAUAUGACCCACUUUCAAAGGCAGUAUGCUUGUGCUAUGCCACGACAUACUGCUAGAUUAAACCAUGUUCCACCUUCAAUCCCGCAUGUUCCACCUGCGUGAAGGCAUUAUGUUUAUAAAUCCAUACACACCGCAUACAUGUGCGUGCUGACGUACUAAUACUCCCUCUGAAUAUACAGGCUGUUACUGAGCAAAACCUUUAACAGAAUAAAAACAAAAAAUUGAAGACAAUAUUAACAAGAUGUACAUGAAUUUUGGCUUCUCUUAACUAUUGAUCUAGGACAUAAAAUGCAUUCGUGAAGACAGCGUACUACAUUUAGAAAGUGAAUGCAUGGUACCUGCAGCAGGGAGUAAGUAUACGAUGAUGGAGAGGAGCAACGUGAGCUUUGAAGAUUCUGGUUCAUUGAAUAGAUGUCUUAUUCUUCAUUUUGUCAAAUCAUAGCUAUGAGCUUGCACAUGAUGUUCCUCUUUUGGUUUAGUUUUUCCCACAGGAAUGAGUCAUAAGAAACAAUUGGUAGUUCCAGAAGAGCACUAUUUUCAACAAACAAACUGCAGUCAAGGAAUGGCAGUGCUGUGAAAAACAACACUACUUUGCCCAGCUGUCUUCUUGAUUCCAGCCUCAUGCAUCAUCUGGCCCAUUCUUAUAGCAGCAUACCAGUUCCCAUCUUCUAGAUAAAUAUUCCUAAUAGCCACAUACCGAUCGGAUUGCUGAGGACCAAGAGCCACUAGUUUCCGCUCAAUCUCAGCAACAAGCUCUACAUUUCCAUGGAGCUUGCAAGCACCAAGAAGUGCACCCCAUACAGAAGCAUCAGGGGGAAAUGGCAUCCUCUCUAUAAUCUCAAUGGCCUCAAUGAAACGGCCAGCACGUCCUAAGAGGUCCACAACACAUCCAUAAUGGCUCAUCACCGGAGUCACCUUGUAUUCAGUGACCAUCGCCUCAAACCAGUAUAACCCAAUCUCCACCAAUCCUGCUCUAGCACAACCUGUCAGUAUAGAAAGAAAUGUAAUCUGAUUCGGCAAGAACCCUCCAACAAUCAUCAUGUUAAACUUAACCAACGUUUCAGUUUCCUUCCCAUGGUUAGCCAAUGCAGACAGCAGUGCAUUCCACGUACAUACCUCCUUCUCCAGUACGGCCUGAAAAGCUCUCUUACAACAGUCCAUCUUCCCGUACUUUCCAUAAGUGUCAACCAGUGCCGUGCCCAAGAAAGCUGUGAGGUCAACCUGAUGCCGAACAACAUAAGCAUGCACAGCCAUCCCCACCACAAGCCCCUCAGCGCCAUCCAAGUUAGCACAAGCAGAGAGCACGCUGACCAACGUAGCCUCCCCGAGCCAUCCCUUAUUGUGCACCAACAAUCCCCUAAAAGCCUCCACAGCAUCCCAGUGGCACCCAUUCCUCGAUAAACCAGAGAUUAGCGUGGUCCACGACACCACAUCCCUCACCGCCAUCCGCUCAAAGAAGUCUCUAGCCGUGGCCAGAUCCCUGGCAAGGAACAGCACGUCAAGCAUGGCAUUACAGGAGGCCAGAUCGGGACUCCUCAUUUCAUCGAACACCUUGCCUGCGUCACACGGGAGAUCGCCAGCUCGGCCAUAGGAUCUGACGAGCGAGCAGGCGACGAAGCGGUCGGCCGCGAGGCCCCGGCGGAGGCACUGCGCGUGGAGGGCCGUGGUGGUUGCGCCGGAGGCGGAGGCGGACCUGAGGAGGGAAGGGAACGUGUGGCCGUUGGGGUGCGCGCCGGCGGCGAGCAUGGCUGAGAAGAGGCGGAGCGGGGCGCCUGGCGGAGAAGAUGUGGAGGAGAGGCGGAGGUGGGCGUGGAUGAGGCAGUUGUAUGGAAAGGCGGCGGCGGGGGCGUGGGAGGCGGAGAACGCGCCGGAGGUGAGGAGGAGGGCGUGGACCUGGAGGAGUCGGCGAGGACAGGAGAAGUGGUUCUGGAGGAGGUGCUCGAGGCGGGCGCAGGAGUACGGGGAGCCCGUCCACAUAUGGUAGCGGGAAGCCGACGCCGGCAGCGUGGAGGGUGGAGGGCGGUGGCGAUGGAGGACGGGGAAGCCGGCGGCAAAUGCAUGGGUUUGGAGUUUGGAUGCACGUCUUUUUUUUUUGACAGCUGGAUGCACGUCAAUUCUCUUCAAGAAAGAUGUCUCAAAUAUACCGCCAAGGUCCCGGGGCACCAAUUUCACCCUAUACCCGUGCAUGGUUGGCCCGACCCGAAACACGACGUCCCGGGCCAGGCCCGGACUUCACUUUCCAAUCCCGAACCCAGUCCGAAAGUCCGAAAUAACUAAAAACGGUAUAUUUUUAAGGAAAAAUAAGUAUAAAAAAUCAUUUAUUUAUUCCGAAAAUAACUAUUUUAAUGCUAAAAUGGUCAAUUUUUUCGGGCUUCGGGCCGGGCCGGGUUCGGGCUUGAGGUUUUCCCGUCGAGCUUUAUGAAGCCUGGCCGAAACCCGGCCCGGCCCGAGGCUUGCCCAGGUAUAUUUCACCCUCAACUUGAAUGUAGUACUCCUUCCGUUUCAUAAAGGUUGGCACGGUUGGAAUUAUAUAUAAUUUUCACUCUACUCUUAGCAAAACCAGAUCAAUCUCUCACUAAGCAGUAUUAUGUCCUUAAUAGGCUAAUAUAAGGAGGUUUUGCCAAAUUGCUUCCGAGAAGAGAAUGAACUAGACCAAGUGUAAAGUAUAGAAACUAGUUGUACCGUGUCAGACUGAAAAUGCAUGGUUCAAAGUCGUGCCAACCUUUAUGAAACGGAACAAGUACUCGUAUAAUUUUCACCAUACUCUUAGCAAAACUAGAUCAAUCUCUCACUUAGCAGUAUUAUGUCCUUAGUAUGCUAAUUUGAGGCGGUUUUGCCAAAUUGCUCUUGAGAAGAGAAUGAACUAGGCCAAGUGUAAAGUAUAGAAACAAGUUGUACCGUGUCAGACUGAAAAUGCAUGGUUCAAAGCCGUGCCAACUUUUAUGAAACGGAACAAGUACUCGUAUAAUUUCACCCUACUCUUAGCAAAAACCAGAUCAAUCUCUCACUUAGCAGUAUUAUGUCCUUAAUAGGCUAAUUUAAGGCGGUUUUGCCAAAUUGCUCUCGAGAAGAGAAUGAACUAGACCAAGUGUAAAGUAUAGAAACGUGUUGUACCGUGUCAGACUGAAAAUGCAUGUUAGAAUGCAGUACCAUGUUAACCUUUAUAGUUAACAUAACAAGCUUUACCCGCAAAAAAAAAAUGCAAGCUUGUUUAACUCUGAGAUAUUAUUGGUUCUCCUCUUGUUCGCAGAUGGUUGGGUUAAUAGUUUGACAUGCUUUUUGUACUUAUAGAUUAUGCAAUGGAUCCUCUCGAUACCCUUAUAGUCAAAUUUCAUUUCAAUGUAACAAUUGUUCGUUCAGACAGUGCAUUGGAGUAUGUUAAUAGCAUGGAGGACAUUUCAGAAAUUGAGUGAUUGGCUUUCAUAUAUGAUGAUGAAUCCUUACUGGAUGGAUUUAUUUCAAGUUGCUACUCCAUUGACAUGUACAAUAAUAUAUAUGAUCAUUGUUUGGAACCUAUGGAAGAAGAGAGUUGGACAACUGCAAAUAAUGUUCUUAUCAAUUCUUAUUAGUUUUGUCAUGCAUGUCACGGGAUUUUCAGGUGGAUCCAAGCCGUACAGGAAAGGCUAUAGCUCAUAAUUAUGAACCUGCUCCGAUUGUACCAAAUAAACAGAUAUUCGGAGCUACAAGCCUGAAGAUUGUUGGCACUCCGUCCACAAGUCCCGCUCACAGCCUGCUCCCGUUGUUCGAACCAAGCAAAAGAAAGCACAAAGAGUGAAGUCUAGCUCAAGCUCCGAGCAAAGCCCUCGGCCUGCAUGUAAUAUUGUUAUGGCAAACCAGCAAAUUAAUAAUUGCACAAUUGUGAAUCUAAGCUGCCAAGCUUAGCUUCACAUUUACCUUUGCAUUGUGUUUUCAGCCUAGCUGCGUAUAAGUCUGCAAAGAGUGCAAAAGAAGGGCCAAAAAACUACAAGAGAGUUUGAGUAAAUAUCAAGGAACCCAUAUAUAGUAUAAAAAAUGGUAUAAAAAAACCUAAACUCUUGAAAAAUUUAUCACGUAACCACAACCUAUAUGCUAUAUGUUGCAGGAAGCCCAUCCCAUAAUUCCGCAAUCUAUCUUCUUAACCGAAGAACUGACCGUUGGGUCCCGUAGGUCAGUGUCUGUAACUAAGUUAAUCUCAGUGUUUUGCUUGCCCAGCCGGGUUUGAUCGGUUCGACCUGAUUUGGAUUCGGCCCACCGUAUGAUGUCACACUCAAACGAACUGCUGGUUCGACCUAGUCAUUUCGCCUUAUCUCACCGAGCCUGACUAGGCAAGUUCGGAGGCAGCGGUGGCGGCGGCGACUGUUCGUCUGCAUCAACUUGUGAUGGCAUGGACUGGAGCGGCUGCCUCUCUGGUUUGGAGAGACUUGUGAUGGCAUGGCCAGAAGCCUAGAAGGUUUGAUUUGACUAAUGGCGUGUUUGAUUUUGUGCAAAAAUGUAAUAUGCCAAUUUUGUUGGUCAUUGACCAAGAUUUGACAUUAAUUUGGAUGGUUGUCAACUAUUUGGCAAGUCAAUGUUUUUAGCUAACUCUAGUUCAACGUUUUGGCUAAAUUUGGCCAGCUCAUGAGCUAGCAAAACCAGGACCAACUAUUUGGUUAGCAAAAAAUUUGUCAAGGCAAGUUUGGACUCAAAACAAACAUAUAAAUUCCAAUUUUUCUUAUGGAGCAUCGGCUCAAACCCAUCCAGGCCUAGACUUGCAUUAUCAUUCAUAGGUAAUCUCGUCUGAAGAGAAGAGGAAGCUAAGGUUUGAGAAGAAGAAAGGAAAUAAUUAGACAGAAGAGACACAAGAUCGAAGUUGACACGGAAGCUUGUAUAUUUGAAUGACGUAUUUUUUAUUCAUUUUUGUAUGACACGCUUUUGUUACGUUUUAAAAAUAUAAUGGAAAUUACAUCAGUCGAUGCAGAGGGCUCACACCAGGGAUAUCUUUCUUUCUAGAAAAGAUUGACACUUCCAUGAAUAAUAGCUGUUAAUAGGACUGUGGAUGUAUUUAAUUUUCUUUUUCUAUUCUCAUUCGAACAACAGUGUUUUUAUGCUGGUUGGUGGCGCUUCAGGGGUUCUCUUCGCCUCUGCAUCGAAACGAUGCAUACCGUCAAUUUUAUUGCAAAGUUAUAUCAUCUUAGUGGCUUCUUUUUCGUCUACCUGCUAUGCCCGCCACCACUGCACCCCUUUAUUAGCAUCCACCAAACAGAGCAGGGGUUUCAUCGGCAGGAACCUGGAGUAUAGCUACAAGCAGUGAGGCUGUGAGAGAGGGCAGGGAGACGGGGGGAGCUAGGAGGGGAGAUGGGAAGCUCAUCAGGGCUCGUCGACUGGAGGGGCAGGCCUGGAGGAGUAAGAGCUUCAAUCUUCAUUCACGGUAUGGAACACUCUGAGCAUGACUUGGUUCCAUUGAUUGAGUUCCUCCAUUGCUUUGCUCACUUAAGCUGUGCUUGUCCGGCCAGCCGACGAGUCAAAAAUGAUAUGCUUCUAAACUGUACGUUGAGUUAUUGACUUGCUGAGUCCAUGAGUCAUGUAAGAUAGAUCAUGUUUUAUUUUAAGAACGCUUCCUAAGCACAGUACAUAUGGAUGCACAAAAUUGACUGACAUGCAUGAAAACACUCGAUUUGGACUUUUGUUGCACACUUUUCUUAUGCUAGCUAACCUACACUCCCUUGUCUCUGUCAAUUAAUUAGCGUGAAUUUCCACAAACAAAAUACACACCAUAAGCUUAAUCACAACUUUUCUUUUUUUUUCGCUGUACUGCACUGCAGCUCUGGUGCUCCUUAGCAACGCUGCCAACAUAGCCAACAUCAUGAACUUGGUGAGCUACCUCCACGGCACGAUGCACAUGGGCGUCGCGGAGGCCUCAACGACGGCGAGCAACUUCAUGGCCGCGCUGCAGAUGUUCUCCAUCCCUGCGGCCUUCCUUGCCGACUCCUACAUCAAGCGCUUCUACACCGUCCUCAUCUUUGGGCCCAUAGAGAUCCUGGUAACAUAUAAUAUUUCCAGUCAUAUAUCCUUAGGAAGAUGCGUCUUUACGUUAGCUCUUAAUCAUCUUUGCAACGUGAGCAUCGUUUGAAAGGAAUUGAAUCUUGAGAAAAUUACUUAAAACCAUCACAAUGGAGGCAACUGUCUAUGAAAUUUUGCAAAUUGUCACCACUUUUGAGGCAAGCAGUACUCCCGCGCACUGAUUCGCUGGUUGAUCACAUUUUGACGGAAAAACUGACAGUGAGGCCCGCAUGUCUGGUCCAAUAUGGCAGUGGACUUUUCCUCUGCCACGAGGUCGUCAACGCUCUGCGUCCGGUUCCCCUACCCCAACAAAUGCUACACCACCGGCAGCCAAUUCCCCUGCCCGCGUUGCCUUGGACUCCGGCAGCUCCCCGUCGGCAGCCCGCUCCCGGUCGCCCUUGAGGAGGCCCUGACAGGUGACUUGCCGCGCUACGCGUCGCUGUGCAAGCCGAGGAAGAUCGUCAUGCUGCCUCUGGCGAAGGCACAAGGCGUAGGAGGCAACAUCCCCCAAAUCAGGGAGGGCGUCGGCGUCAAGGAGACGCGGUGGCGGGCGCGGCCGGCGGUGGCGGCCGAGAGCCCGUGGGGGAGAGCCAUGCGGUGCCCAGCAGCGAUGCUGCUCCUGCCGGUGGUGACGAGAGCGCGGGGCGUGGGCGGUGCGGGCAGAGGCCGAGCUGCGGGGCGGGCAAGAGGUCGGAGCGGGUUGCCGACAGGGAGCUCGCGUAGCGGCGGAGGAGCAACACUGCGGGACCUAGGACCUAGGGGCGAGGACAACGGGAGAUGGCGCGUUGGCGCCUCUGACCGGAGGUAGGGAAGACGAGCUCGAACAGGUCAAAGCUCCUUGCCCGCCGCCAAGACAAUGACCUCCACCGCCGGCGGGAACCACCCCCCCCCCCCCCCGCCUCGUCGGAGUCAGCUGUCCUCCUCCUCCCACGGCGGACUCCCGCCAUGAAGCGCGCAAGGACAGGAUCGACCUCGCUGAAGCCGGCAGUUCCGCCAUGAGCUCCUCCGCCGGAUCCAAGUCGGGGUCGGGUCUAGCCACGGUGGAUGCCUAGGCCAACAUGGAGCCAGCGUGGACCUGACAUGCGGGCCCCGCUGUCAGUUUUUCCGUUAAAAUGCGAUCAAUCAGCGAAUCAGUGCGCGGGAGUACUGCUUGCUUCAAAAGUGGUGGCAAUUUGCAAAAAAAAAGUAGUUUUCCUAGACAGUUGCCCCAAUUGUGGUGGUUUUAAGUAAUUUUUUCUUGAAUCUUUCCUGGUGGCUAGCUUAUCGUGUACAUUUUUUUAAAAGCGGUCUUGAUCUACGUGCACUUGAAUUGGUGUUUUCAUCAAGGUACUACUCAGCGAGAAAUUAGACUUUCGGCCUCGAAGGGAAAGGUGGAAUAUAUAGUUGCCAUCGCGUAUGUCCGUAUGCAGGAGCUGAUGUUGACAGAUUGACAAAUGGGAGGCGACGUUCGUGGGAGGGAGGGGCCCAGGGGAACAGAUGAAAUAGGUGGGACGUAAUGUGGGAGAGUGGAUAAUGUAGGAGUACUACUACUCCAGUGCCUUGCUUCUUUUUUUUUGACAAAGAACUCCAGUGCCUUGCUUGUGUGAAACAAAACAUCAAAGAUGUUUUCUAAAAGCCUUGGGGUUGCUUCUGCUUUUGAUCGCAACAUUUCAGCUGAACGCGCUAGUUUCACUUUCAAGUUGGUUCCAGUCACAUCGCUUUACCAAUAGACAGGCAGAACACUCAUAAUUGAUUGAUCAUUAGGUUACAAAUAUCCUUGAUUUUUUUUUUUUGAGAAUACAAAUAUCCUUGAUGGAUGAAUAAGAAAAAAUAGUGUGAAAAGCCGUGAUAGCUAAAAACAACUUAUAGCAAUUACCGUUUUGACAUGAGAAUAGUGUUUGGAUGGUUGUUUUCAGCCCAGCCCAAUCGAUCGUCUCACUGCUUCUACCCGUAAUAAAAAUACAAACAGCCCAAAAGCUCUCAAUUCAAGCAACGUGCUGAAAGGAGCCCCGCAGGCCGCACCCGCUCCUCCUUCCCGCUCUGCUCCGGCGUUGGCCACCAUACUCUCGGAAGUAGCGCAAGCAGGAUUGUGCUUUUAUUUUUAGAUUCACAGGCGUUUCGCCCGGUUCAAUUUGACAACGAAACCAUGUUCACAGAAGUAGCGCAAGUAGGAUUGUUACAGAACUGAAAGCCUGAAUGGUCUAACCUGCAUGUAGAAGUAAAGGACAGCAAGCUUACAAGCUGAAAAAUUUCUGGCAACCAGAACAGGUACAAGCCACCUAAGCAGAGAAAGCAAUAUAGCGCAGCAGUGUCCUCAUGUCCGAUGCGUGAGGCGUCCCAGGGCCCGACAAAGUAGUUCUUCUCUUCUUCAAAGACAGAGCCUGGGGACUUCUCUCGCUUUGGUGUCCAUCAACGUGAUGCAGCGAUCCAGGAAUCUGUGGGCCAGUACAUUUAGAGAAGCCGUUUCCGGAGAAGCUCAGGCUAAUCUAAAAAUAAGAGUAAAUUUCGAACCACAGGUUUUGAGGCAGUUUUCUCACGGAGCACUGGUAGAUGCUAAUCUGUCCACAGAAUCACAAUUUUUGUGUCUAAUUGUCUCAGUCCACCCAAAACACGGAUUUAACCCCGUUUGACACUAUUUCUUACAGGUGGGGCCCGCACGUCAGGCGUCACAUCUUUUUCAUGAGACCCCUCGUCUUCUUCUUUUUUUCCUCAUUGCUCUUCUUCUUCUACGGUUCUGUGAAAUUUACUUUAAAAAAGACUGGCUUGUAUGUUUUUAUUGGGGCAAAUAGGUUGCCAGUGCUUUAAUAAACUCAGCAGCCUGCAAGUGAUGUUUGAAUCUAAAUUUGAAAAUUAUGGAUCUUGAACAUCCGUUGGAUAACAUAAUGAUGAUGCAAAUGAGCAAACGUACCGUAACGCAAGUCUGAAUGUCUGAUGACGAUGGCGUCAAAUCUGCAGGGCUUAUAUCCUGCUAGCAGUCCAAGCGCAUGUCCCAUCCCUGCACCCACCGCCAUGCAGCCAGACCAGCGGCGCCGCCACCUGCGAGCCCGUCCAUGGGUCCAACCUGAGCCUGCUCCUCCUGGGCCUCUACCUGAUCCCCAUCGGCGACGGCGCCGUACGUUCGUGCCUGCCUGCCGGCUCUGGGCGGCGACCAGUUUGACACGGCCGACCCUGCAGAGAAGCGGCAGGAGACGAGCUUCUUCAACUGUUAUACCUUCGCUGUCUCCUCCGGCGGCUUCCUCGGGCUCGUGCUCAUCGUCUGGGUCGAGGACGCUGCCACGGGGAUCCCUAUCUCUGUUUUCUGGCUCACCGUGCAGUUCUUCAUCCUCGGGGUCGUCGACGUAACCUCCUUCGUGGGGCUUCUCGAGUUCUUCUACAGCGAGGCGUCGACGGGGAUGAAGUCCGUAGGGAGCUCCAUCUUCUACUGCAUCCUUGAGGUGUCGGCUUGGCUGGGGAGCUUGCUCAUCCAGGUACCGAACCAGGUCACGAGGCGCGGCGACGGGGCGGAGGCGGCGACAGGGUGGCUGGAUGGGACUAACUUGAACAUGGGCAAGCUUGAUAGGUUCUACUGGCUGCUUGCUGUUCUUGAGCUGGUGGCGUUCUUCAUUUACAUGUUCUUCGCAAGGAGGUACGAGUAUAGGAAUAACCAGAGGGCUGUGGACAAUACAGGAGAUAUCAAGGCUCCAUUGGCACCCGAAGGUGCUGUGGGUGAUCUGAUAAUCUAGAUGUGCUAGUCAUCUACCCUUUCUUUGACGAGCUUUUACGUUAUUCCAUCCUGUACUAUUGUAAUAUUUAGUUAUGGAAUGAGUGAUAUAUUCAUAUUUAUUGCUUCUGGUGGAUUAAUAUGUUUCUGCACACUCAAUAUGUGAACACUAUUGCUGGAUAUUGUACUAUUAUCUUGCUGUGAAAAAACAUUAUUCCAAUGUAUUUAUCAAGAUCGAUCAAACAAGGAUUUUUUUUUUUGUUUGGCUUAUUUAUUUUUGGUACAAAAAUAUUUCUACUUUCAUGGAUGAUAUGCUAUUUAUGUAACCAAAAGAGUAAAAUAGACCACUAGCCCAUGAACUCGGCAAAAAUGAACACUUUAGUCGAAGAACUCGAAAAACGCACACUUAAACUUCUAAAUUAGGACUACUGUGUCACUUUUGUCCAAAAAACGGUUCGGCGAGACUUAAACACGCCACAUGGCCGCCUCGUCGGUUUUGGCCGAGACCACGGGUUUUAAUCCCUCUUUCGCAUGGUGUUUUUUGAAAAAUCACCAUCCAGCCACGGCGUUGCUGGUGAUUUUGGCCGCCAAUUUGGGAAUUUUGAGAUGCAUUUUAACUGGACGGGUGAUUUUGCAAAAAAAAAACACCCUGCGAAAGAGGGAUUAGAAGUAUCGAUCCUAGUCUUAGCCGACGUGGCGGCCACAUGGCAGGUUUUAACCCCGCCGAACCGUUUUUGGACUAAAGUGACACAGUAAUCCCAGUUUAUGAAUUUAUGUGUGCGUUUUGCGAGUUCGUGGACUAAAAUAUUCAUUUUUGCCGAGUUCAUGGACCAGUCAUGUAUUUUACUCUAACCAAAAAGAAUAUACUUGUGAAAUUUAUACGAGCUCGACGAUAUUCUUUUUUGCUUGGGUCCGUCCAUAGCCCAGUUGUCUGAAAUUUUCGCUUUCCAGCCAGCCAUCCAUUGCCUAUCCUAAGGCUAAAAACACUCUAGUUUCUUUGACGGUACUUUCUUCAGUAAAUUUUGUUCGUGCUUUUCUUCGCUAACCAUUUGUUCUGGGCCUUUUCUAUUGUGUACUGGGCUGUACAAAUUUUUAUUGGACUAUACCUAUUGUGGAUUAGAAUGGGUUAAGGAAUUAUAAAAAGAACUUGACUAUCGAAGAGAAGACUAUAGGUACCGUUCCUGUUUUGGAACAGAUUAUGGUAAUCUAAAACACACAUCAAAAAAAUCCAAAUUUGUAAAUUGCAACUGAUUAAGUCUAGAAUUGCACUGCCAGAGAUUUUGAAAGCACUAAUCAACUUUCAAAUUUUGGGUAGGGUAUAACCCUACAGGUGGAAUUCAAACUAAAAAUCUGCAAUUGCAAAUAAAAAAAAGGCACCUGCUAAACAUGCAAUUGCAUAUAGAUGCAACUAGGAUUGCAACAUGUAAACAUCAUGCCAUUAAAAGGUCGGAAGCACGGAUACGGCAAGAAUCCGGCGUAUCAGGGGUCGGUACGCCCGGACACGCAGAUAUGCCCGGACACACGAAAAUACGUGUCCGAUACGUAUCUGCCAUUUUCCGAAUAAAAAAAAUAAAAAAAAUCAGGAUACGGGAAGGACACCGGGCGGACACGAGGCGGGACAAGGGAGUGACCUAAUUAGCCCGCAUCUAAGCCAUCCUCUUCCCCACGCGCUCACUUCCCCACCCACUCCCGUCCCGCCUGUGCCGGGCGCCGCCACUGCCGCCACGACGGUGCCCCCGCCGGGUCCAUUGCCGGCACCGGCCGCCGCCGCCGCCACCACCUCUGCUGCUCCCAUCCCCCGCCGCCGCCGCCGCCUCUGCUGCUGCUGCCUGCGUUGCGGCCGUCCCUCACCCUGCUGCUCCCAUCCCCCGCCGCCGCCGCCGCCUCUCCUGCUGCUGCCUGCGUUGUGCCGUCCCCCACCCUGCUGCUCCCAUCCCCCGCCCUGCUCCACCAUUUAUGUCCAUCAAAAUCUUCGUCUUAUUUCAAGGAAAUCUUCUGAGUACACAAGUGGCCCAAGCAGAUUUUGGGACAUUGGAGGAGACACCCAUGAGGUGUUUGGUGGUGGUGCGGAUUUCUUCAAGAAGCCGUACUCUCACUAGAUGAACCAGAGUUAGAGGCAUUGAUAGUUGAUGUCCAAGCAUUUGAUGUUUCAUCUAGAGGGACAGAGAUGGACAAAUGAUGGUUGUUGAAUUCAAACUUGUCAUGCGAGCUUGCCAUGAUAUCUCUUAAUUUGUCAUGGCAUGCAUCUACUAUCUAGCUAUCUAGUAUGCACUACGUCCAUAGUACCUUAUUAUUUGUUAUGUAACAUGAUUGUGAACUUGUGGUGUUUCUGAACUGAUUGUGUGUUUCUGAACUUAUGGAUUAUAAAAUUAGGCAACUUAUUUAUAUUAUUUCUAUUAAUAAUAUAUAUACAAACGUAUCUCGGUAUCCGGGUUUUUGGAAAACCGCGGAAUCGCGGUAUCCGUAUCCGUAUCCGUAUGGCCGUAUCCGUGCAACCUAGAUUAAAAGUAAAAGAUAGUGCAAUUUGAAUGAAACUUAAUUAAAUCUAGAAUUGCACCGCGGGAGAUUGUGAGCACUGCAUUAACUUUCAAAAUUUGGGUAUAAACCUACAUGUGCAAUUCAAAUUAUUAAAAACUGUAAUUGCAUAUGGAUGGAACUAGGAUUGCAAAUGUAAACGUCAUGCAAUUAAAAGUAAAAUAUAGAGCAAUUUGAGUGAAAUUUUUAUCUUGCCUGUUGGAAUUCCUUGGAACCAAUAAAUAUUUGUGCUUGUUUCAUUUCUUGGACAAAAAAUACAGCAAUGCUUUGACAAUUCUAUCGACCAAAAAGGUUAACAACCUACUGAAUUAUGAGGUGCAUGACCAAAAAGGUAAACAACCUACUGAAUUAUACGGUGCAUUUCGGAUCUGUAUGCUAUUCGAUCUAGCAACACAGCUUGGUAGAAACACAGAAAAGAACAUGUCUGCAGCAAAAGAAAAGGAGCGAUAACCAAUAGGAGAAAAAAAGGCAAAGAAAAGCUCUAGCAAUCCUGCUCUAGCACAACCUGUCAGUAUAGCAAGAAAUGUAAUCUGAUUCGGCAAGAACCCUCCAACAAUCAUCAUGUUAAACUUAACCAACGCUUCAGUUUCCUUCCCAUGUUUAGCCAAUGCAGACAGCAGUGCAUUCCACGUGCAUACCUCCUUCUCAAGUACGGCCUGAAAAGCUCUCCUGCAACAGUCCAUCUUCCUGUACUUUCCAUAAAUGUCAAUCAGUGCCGUGCCCAAGAAUACUGUGAGGUCAACCUCAUGCCGAAAAACAUAAGCAUGCAUAGCCAUCCCCACCACAAGCCCCUCAGCGGCAUCCAAGUUAGCACAAGCAGAGAGCACGCUGACCAACGUAGCCUCACCGAGCCAUCCCUUGUUGUGCACCAACAAUCCCCUAAACGCCUCCACAGCAUCCCAGUGGCACCCAUUCCUCGAUAACCCCGAGAUUAAUGUGGUCCGCGACACCACAUCCCUCAUCACCAUCCGCUCAAAGAAAUGUCUAGCCGUGUCCAGAUCCCCGGCGAGGCACACCACGUCAAGCAUGGCAUUAGAGGAGGCCAGAUCGGGACUCCCCAUUUCAUCGAACACCUUGCCUGCGUCACGCGGGAGACCGCCAGCUCGGCCAUAGGAUCUGACGAGCGAGCAGGCGACAAAGCGGUCGGCCGCGAGGCCCCGGCAGAGGCACUGCGCGGGGAAGACGGCGAUGGAGGACGGGGAAGCCGGCGGCGGCAAAUGCAUGCGUUUAGAAUUUGGAUGCAUCGCGCAUGUCUAUUCUCUGCAUUCUGCAAGAAAGAAGUAAAAUUCCCCUCAAAUGUAUCCCCAAGGCACCAAUUUCACUCUAAACUUGAAUCUACUCUUGGCAAACAAGAUCAAUCUCUCACAAGUAUCAUUAUUCUACUAUCUAUCUACUAUAUACUUAUAAAGUCAUCAACAUAUUCAUCCGAACGUACACCCCACUAAACGUACACGGAAUACUAAUGAUCCAACAAUCAGACUCAUUAAACAUGAAUUAGUUGCUAACGGUGUGCCUUAGCCACGACGCUGUCACGCCUGAAAUUCCACCGCGGAGAAUCUUUCAGUCCUGCUGUCUUCUGUUCACGAAACGUUUUUCCCAAAAAAAUUCCCUCGCCGCCAGCCUCGUACGCCGUCUUCUCCUCCUUCCCUUCCCCUGCACGCGCCGCCGCCUGGCCCGACUCGGAGACCAGCCGCCUCCGAAGAAUCUCGAAGCCUCCUCAUCGCUCCAUCCAGGCACGCGACCAGGCGUCCCGCUCGAGCCGCAGCCGCUGCCGCCGAGAUCGGGAUCCCCGCGACCACGCUGUAGCCCGCGCGUCGCCGCAGCCCCCCCUCUUUGCCCUUCCUCUCAGCUCCCGCACCUCUAGCGCCGCCGCGACCACGCUGCAGCCCGCGCCUCACGAGCCCCGCGACCAGCCCGCCCUGCCCUCCCGCCUCCUCCUGCAGUCCUGCGCCACCGCCGUUGCCCAGCCCCUCCAGUGGCCUCGGUCCAGCAGUUAGUUCAUUCAGGUUUUCAAUUUCACGAUGGUAAUUUUCUUUAGUAUUGAUUUGUGUGUACCAUUCUAUCUCCUUGUCAUGGUGAUUGGAUAUAACUGCAUGUUGUCCGGCGCUAUCGACUCUGACAUUUUUAGUUUGGUAUCACCCAUGCGCGCCUAGGCAAGCACGGAAAUACAAGUUUUUUUGUAGUCACUGUGGGGCACUUGCCUGUUAUAUCAUACUAGCUUAUGGUCUUCAUGUGAAGCACUUCGUUAUUUCAUUUGUUUAGUUGCCAUAACAUUAUUAUAUCAAUACAGUACUCUGAAGCAAUGAUUAUUCCUUGUAUGUUUAGUCAAUAUAUUAACCUGUGUUUGUAUUUUGUCACAGGCACCACCGGGAUUGUUGAUUACACAAACUGUGAUGAUAUGAAAUAUGUUGUGAGUCAAUAUAUUAAUCUGUUUUAGUGUAUAUUCUCGCAUUUGCUUGUCUAUUUGCAUGAAGCCUUUUCUGAUUGGAUAGCCUACAAUACCUACAUAUUACAUUUAAUAGCAAUCUAUUACUAUGAAGUUUUAUAACUUACUGCUUUAGUUUUCUUAGUUAGUUCUAUUUCUACGUUUCCCAUGUUUUAAUAACAUCGUUUUGGCUGUUGACCACCAUUCGCAGAUAAAGAAACUGGAUGACACUGAAUUUAACUUUUCUAAAGGUUAUCUAGGGGUAAGCCUGGUUACUUGAAUAUGGUUCAACCGUUGGAACCUGGUUUCUGUGGUUAAGCACCUUCUUUGCAGGUGAAGGAAUAUGAUGCUAAACGUGGGCGCUCCUACUCACGUAGCUGAAGCCCAAGUCGUAGCCGCAGCAAAAGCAGGAGCCCAAGGUUUACCCUGUUAUGCCAUUUCAGCGUAUUGACUUCAGUAAUCAUGGUUAGUUUGUUGAUCGUGUCCACAAACACCUUUGAUAAUGUUGCCAUGUGAUACUAUCUGUGUUUGGGGAUUUCCUUCUCAAUCACUCACUUUAUGUUACAAACGAUAUGAACUGCUUAGCCUCUUGUGUUUUUUGAAGACUCGAUUGUCUCUUCGUUUUAUCUGGGAUUGUGCGGCGAUCUUGGGGAUUGUGCAUUAGGAUAUUGGGGAUGGAAUUUGCUCAAUUUGGUACAAUUCUGUUGGUUGUAUGAGGUUUCAUUUAUUAAGAGCUUCUAUGGAAAGAUGCAAUCAUCCAAUUUUUUUAACCUAAUGUACUGUAACUGAUUGCCAUCAGAGCUUGGGCAUAGCGUAUUGUUUGGAAUUCUGGACAAUAAAGAGCAUUAAGGAUUAUGAUGGUACAGUGGCUAGGAAUGUGCUUGGAGUUCAAUGCUUGAGGAAUGGUUUUUCUUCCUACAUUGGGCACUCUUAACCUACGUUGCAUGGAUACGGCCCAUACCAGCCGUAUCUGCGGCCCAGAACGGGGAUACGGCAAAAAACGCCAGGGAUACGUGUGUCCAUGGUUUGUCCCGUUUUUGUGAAUUAAAAAAAGAUUAAAAGAAAAACAAAACUGCUGGGAUCGCACCUGAAGAGCGCCUGGGAUAACACAUGUCCAAGAAAAACAUCACACGGCCCACGGCCCUUCAGGACGCACGACCUCGCAGUUACAGAACAAGUUCUUCGCGCACGCGGCAGCGCCUCGCUACAUCCCGCCUCCAUCGCAAAGCUCUUCAAUCAUUCAAGUCCAUUGAUGCAGCGCCCAUGGACCUCAAUUUUCUCUCUGUAUAACAUUGUAUACUUGUAUUUUUAAUUUUUUAUACAUAUACUCGUCAUAUCCCCGUAACUGUAUUUUUAGAAAAUGCCGUUUUCCCGUAUCCCCGGAUCCGUAUCCCCGUAUUCGUAUCCCCGUACCAUACCAUGUAACAUAGCUCUUAACAUGGCCUUUUGUAGCUUGCAUGCACUGACUGCAUUCAACACCGAUUUUUUGCAUUUCUGCAUGAUUUGAACUUAUAUAACUGAGUGCUUCAGUUUUCCUUGAGCUCUUUUUGCUUCGAUUCGGUUAGUCCAAUGCUGGGCGAAGCAUGAAGGCUUUUGGACUCAAGCUGUUAAUGGUGCAUUUUGGAUAUUGAAUUCGGUUGUUUGUGGAACUUUUGCAGAUCACCAGCAAGAUCCAAAUCCCCAAUUUGUAUUUAUCCCUGUACAGUUCCUUUUAAUUUAUAAAAUGUGCUGGGCCUCCAUUACAGUUUCCGGUAAAAAAAAAGAAAUAAUUAGAAGAGUUCUUUUAUGGCCGUGACUGAGCAUGCAUAUUCUUUGAGCUUAGACAUGAAUUAUCGAUGUUGCUGGUCUUUCUCAUGUGUGGAGUUGUAUAUCUGCAUGCUGGAGAUGACUUUGUAAGUGGCAGGUUAAUAUUUUUGGCGCAGUAACCAUGGUUUUUAAGGCGGUAAGGCGAGGCGAGGCGCCCCGACCCCUUUUCAACUUUUAAGCGUCUAAAGCGUAGCAAAGGCGACGCCUUAGACCUGUUAGAGCUACUAUAGUAGCAUAAUAUAUUGGCUAUUGAGUAGAAAUACAUAUCUUGAAAUUGUUGAGCAAACAUAGUAACAACAUGGUGACGUGCAUUGCACGUGCAAGCUCACUAGUGUCCUUAAUAAGCACUUAAGGCGUUUUUGUCAAAUUGCUCCCGAGAAGAGAAUGAAAUGAGAAUGAAAUUAGACCAGGUGUACAGUAUAGAAACCAGUUGUACUCUGUCACACUGAAAAUGCAUGUGUAGUACCAUGUUAAGAUUUCUUAUAUAAACUCAAAUCAAUUAUUUCCGGACGGAGGGAGUACAAGCUUUACCCACAAAAAAAAAGACAUAUACAAGCUUGUUUAACUACCAGAUAUUAUUGGUUCACCUCUCUUGUUUGCAGAUGGUUGUGUUAUUAGCUUGACAUCUUUUUUGUACUUAUAGAUUAUGCAAUGGAUCCUCUCGAUACCCUUACAGUCAAAUUUCAUUUCAAUGGAACAAUUGUUCGUUCAGACAAGGCAUUGGAGUAUGUUAAUAGCAUGGAGGACAUUUCAGAAAUGACAUGGGAUUCUGUUUGUUAUGAGUAGCUGCUAGCAAUUGCUGGGGACUUGAGCUUGGUUUGUGGAGAUGCAUUUCAAACGUAGUGGCGAAUACAAGGUUUAUUGUUGCUCCCUGGCAAGGAAUUGAGUGAUGGAUUGGCUUUCAUAUAUGAUGAUGAAUCCUUAUUGUGGAUGGAUUUAUUGCAAGUUGCUACUCCAUUGAGAUAUGUACAAUUAAUAAGAUAUAUGAUCAUUUUUUGGAAGCUAUGGAAGGAGAAGAGAGUUGGACAACUGCAAAUAAUGUUCUUAUCGAUUCUUAUUAGUUUUGUCAUGUCACGGGAUUAUGAGGUGGAUCCAAGCCGUACAGGAAAUGCUAGGAGCUCACAAUUAUUAACCUGCUCCGAUUGUACCAAAACAGAUAUUCAGAGCCGCAUGCCUGAAGAUUGAUGGCACACCGUCGAUCAAGACUCGCUCACAGCCUGCUAUCCAGUUGUUCGAACCAAGCAAAAGAAAGCACAAAGAGUGAAGUCUAGCUCAUGCCUCAAGCUCCGAGCAAAGCCCUCGGCCUGCAUGUAUUAUUGUUAUGGCAAACCAGCAAAUAAUUGCACAAUUGUGAAUCCAAGCUGCCAAGCUUGCCUUCACAUUUACCUUUGCAUAGUGUUUUCAGCCUACAGCUGCGUAUAAGUCUGCAAAGAGUUCAAAAGAAUGGCCAAAAAAGUACAAGAGAGUUUGAGUAAAUAUCAAGGAACCCCUAUAUAAUAAAAAAAUUGGAUUAAAAAACCACAACUCUUGAAAAAUUUAUCACGUAACCACAACCUAUAUGUUGCAGGAAGCCCAUCCCAUAAUUCCCCAGACGGAUUUGAUAGGUUCGACCCGGUUUGGAUUCGGCCCGCCAUAUGACGUCACUCAAACGAACUGCUGAUUCAACCUAGUCAUUUCGCUUUAUCUCACCAGCCUGACUAGGCAAGUCCGGAGGCAGCGGUAGCGGGGGUGACUAUUCGUCCGCAUCAACUUGUGAUGGCAUGGACCGGAGCGACUGCCUCUCCAGUUUGGAGAGACUUGUGAUGGCAUGGCCAGAAGCCUAGAAGGUUUGAUUUGACUAAUGUCGUGUUUGAUUUGGUGCUAAAAUGUAUUAUGCAAAUUUUUUUAAUCAUUGACAUUAAUUUGGAUGGUUGCCAACUAUUUGGCAAGUCAAUGUUUUUUAGCCAACUUUAAGUCAAUAAUUUGGCUAAAGUUGGCCGGCUCAUGGGUUAGCAAAACCAUGACCAACUAUUUAAUUAGCCAAAUUUUUGUCAAGGCAAGCUUCGACUAAGAACAAACAUAUAAAUCUCAAAUUUUCUUAUGGAGCAUCGGCUCAAACCCAUCCGGACUUAGGCUUGCAUUAUCAUUCAUAGGUAAUCUCGUCUAAAGAGAAGAGGAAGAUAAGGUUUGAGAAGAAAAAAGGAAAUAAUUAGACAGAAGAGACACAAGAUUGAAGUUGACUCCGUAUAUUUGAAUGACAUAUUUUUUAUUUUUUUUGUUUUUGUAUGACACACACUUGUGCUAUGUUUAAAAAAUAUAAUGGAUAUGUGCAUUAGUCGAUGGAGAUGGCUCACACCAGGGAUAUCUUUCUCUUCUAAAAAAGAUUGACACUUCCAUGAACAAUAGCUGUUAAUAGGACUGUGGAUGUAUUUAAUUUUGUUUUACUAUUCUCAUUCGAACAACAGUGUUUUUAUGCUGGUUGGUGGCGCUUCACUGCCCUCGGACUUGUUCAUUUGCCAGAACCAGUGGGUCAUGCUCUCUUGGGUAGUGGCUUCUUUUUCGUCUGCCUGCUAUGCCCGCCACCGCUGCACCCCCUUUAUUAGCAUCCACCAGCUGAGACAACUCAACAAACAGAGCAGGGGUUUCAUCGGCAGGAACCUGCAAGCAGUGAGAGAGGAAGACGGAGGGAAGGAGGAGAUGGGCAGCUCAUCGGGGCUCGUCGACUGGAGGGGGAGGCCGAUUAACAGCAAGAAGCAUGGAGGAGUAAGAGCUUCAAUCUUUAUCCACGGUAAGUAACACUCUCUGGAUGACUUGAUUCUUUUGAUCGAGUUCCGAUCCUUUGCUUUGCUCACUUAAGCUGUCUUCGCCCAGCCCACUAGUCAACAAUGAUACACUUAUCCUCACAAAAAUUUAAAACAGUGAUACGCUUCAACUGUGUAUGUUGAGUUGUUGACUUGCUGAGCUAUAGGUUAGGAUGCAAAUAGAAUCUGCUUAUAUCCCGUUUCUAAAUCAUUCUCCAAAUACAAUGUUUAAUCUUGGCUUGUGGACUUUGAGAUUGACAUAAAAGCCAGAUCCUACUUACAUCUCUAUAAGAUAUGUUUUAGUGUGAGAACACUUCGUAAGUAUACUUGGUAAAUAAGUACAUAGAUGCACAUUUGACUGACAUACAUGAAAACAACCGAUUUGGAUUUUUGUUGCACCCUUUUUCUUGUGCUAGAUAGCUACACUCUCACCUCACUCCCUCUUGUUUCAAUUAGGUGAAUCCCAACAAAUAAAAAUAAUAUACCCACCAUAAAAGCUUAAUCUUUUCUGCUGUGCUUCACUGCAGCUCUGGUGCUGCUUAGCAACGCUGCCAACAUAGCCAACAUCAUGAACCUGGUGACCUACCUCCGUGGCACCAUGCACAUGGGGGUUGCGGAGGCCUCAACGACGGCGAGCAACUUCUUCGCCGCGCUGCAGAUGUUCUCCAUCCCCGCCGCCUUCCUCGCCGACUCCUACAUCAAGCGCGUCUACGCCGUCCUCAUCUUUGGACCUAUAGAGAUCCUGGUAACAUAUCACCAUUCCAUAUUAUAAGGAAGAUGUGUUUUCAUGUUAUGUUAAUUAGCUAGUUAAUUAUCUUUGUAACGGGCAUUUCUUGAAAGGAAUGGAAUCUCCCUGGUGGGUAGCCCCAUAGAGUUGCUGCUUUCAUCAAACUACUCAACCAAAAAUUAGACUUUGUUGGGCUUGAAUGGGAAAGGUGGCCUAGGUGCCAUCGCGUACGUCAGCAGGGGCGACGCUGACGGGUUGACCAAUUGCAGGGGUAGUAGGUGGGACAUAGUGUGGGAGUUGAUAAUGUAGGAGUACUGCUCUGCUACUCCACUGCCUUGCUGUGUGAAACAAAACACUCAAAGAUGUUCUCUAGAAGCCUUGGGGGUGCUGCUGCUUUUGAUCGCAACAUUUCAGCUCAACGCUCUAGUUUCACUUUCAAGUUGGUUCCAGUCACAUCACUUUACCAAUAGACAGGCUUGAUCACUCAUAAUUGAUUGCUCAUUAGGUUACAAAUAUCCUUGAUGGAUGAAUAAGACAAGAUAUUGUUGAAAGCCGUGAAAGCUAAAAACAACUUAGAGCAAGCAAUUACCAUUUGGAUGGUCGUUUUCUACCCCUAAUAAAAACACAAACAACCCAAGUGCUUUCAAUUCAAGCAACCCCUCCUGUAAGGCUGUAAAUAUGCACUUCUCCUCCUAAUCGAAUGGCAAACGACUGCCUUUUCUUCAAAAAAAAAAAAAAAUCAAGCAACCUGAUGAAAGGACCCCCGCAGCCGCUCCUUCCCGCUCUGCUCCGUCGUCGGCCACCAUACUCUAGACGCCACUGUCUUCCGCUUUGUGCUUUUAUUUUUAGAUUCACAGGCUUUUCGCCCGGUUCAAUUUAACAAUGAAACCAUGUUCACAGGAAUAGCGCAAGUAGGAUUAUCACAGAACUGAAAGCCUACAUGGUCUAACCAGCCUGUAGAAGUAAAGGACAGCACAGCUUACAAGCUGAAAAAUUUCUGGCAACCAGAACAGGUAAAGGCACCUAAGCAGAGAAACCAAUAUGGAUGCAGCCUGGGGAUUUCUCUCGCUUUGGCGUCCAUCAACAUGAUGCAGAGAUCCAGGAAUCUGUAUGUUCUUCUUGGGGGCAAAGAGGUUGCCAACGCUUGAAUAAACUCAGCAGCCUGCAAGUUAUGUUUGAAUCUAAAUUUGAAAAUCAUGGAUCUUGAACUUCCGUUGGAUAACGCAAUGAUGAUGCAAAUGAGCAAACGUACCGUAAAGCAAGUCUGAAUGUCUGAUGAAGAUGGCUUUAAAUCUGCAGGGCUAUAUCCUGCUAGCAGUCCAAGCGCACAUCCCAAUGCUGCACCCGCCGCCGUGCAGCCAGACCGGCGCCACCGCCACCUGCGAGCCAGUCCAUGGGUCUAACCUGAGCCUGCUCCUCCUGGGCCUCUACCUGAUCCCCAUCGGUGACGGCGCCGCACGGGCCUGCCUGCCGGCGCUGGGCGGCGACCAGUUCGACACGGCCGACCCCGCGGAGCAGAGGCAGGAGACAAGCUUCUUCAACUGGUACACCUUCGCCGUCUCCUCCGGCGGCUUCCUCGGGCUUGUGCUCAUCGUCUGGGUCCAGAACAGGCAAGGAUGGGACAUCGGUUUCGCCCUCUGUGCUCUCUGCGUCCUGCUCGGGAUGCUCAUCUGGAUUGCCGGGUUCCCAUUCUACCGCAAUCAGCUCCCUGGUGGAAGUGCCAUCACCAGAAUGCUUCAGGUAUGUAUGCUUGUUUAUCAAGCCAGACUAGAAAUUUUGCGAAGAAUUGAGUAAGUUGUUUUCAACAGGUUCUCGUGGUGGCAUUCAAGAAAAGGAAUGUUGAGUUACCCAAGGACACAAGUGAACUGAAACAGAUGAACCAAGAUGACAGCAAUAAUGGGCUUGAAAAGCUGGAAAGAACAGUGGGCUUUCAGUAAGUAGAAAAAUCUAAGAAUUCUACAGCCCCACUAAAAUUGGAGUACCUUAAUUUCUGCUCUGUGAAUUUCCUUUCAGGUGCCUUGAGAAAUCUGCCAUAGACACUGGAGAGACGGGGCCAUGGUCGCUGUGCACGGUGACCCAGGUGGAGGAGACCAAGAUCGUGCUCCGCAUGGUGCCCAUAUUCCUCAGUGCCAUCCUCGGCUACAUCCCAGUGCCACUGAUCCUCAACUUCACAGUGCAGCAAGGGAACACCAUGGACACCAAGCUCGGCGCCAUCCACAUCUCCCCUGCCACGCUCUUCCUCAUCCCAACUGUCUUCCAGAUGGUCAUCCUGGUCCUCUACGACCGCUUCAUCGUCCCUUUCCUGCGCAGGAUCACCGGAUACGUUGGUGGCGUCACGCACCUCCAGCGCAUCGGCAUCGGGUUCCUCUCGGCCACCCUCGCCACCGGCGUCGCCGCCCUUGUUGAGACCAAGAGGAAGAGGGUCGCAGAGGAGAAUGGUCUCAUGGACGCUGCCACAGGGAUCCCUAUCUCUGUCUUCUGGUUGACCGUGCAGUUCUUCCUCCUCGGGGUCGUUGACGUCACCUCCUUCGUGGGGCUUCUCGAGUUCUUCUACAGCGAGGCGUCGACGGGGAUGAAGUCCGUAGGGAGCUCCAUCUUCUACUGCAUCCUUGGGGUGUCAGCUUGGCUGGGGAGCUUGCUCAUCCAGGUGACGAACCAGGUCACGAGGCGUGGCGGCAGCGGGGCGGCGGCGGCGGCAACAGGGUGGCUGGAUGGGACGAACUUGAACAUGGGCAAGCUUGAUAGGUUCUAUUGGCUGCUUGCUGUUCUGGAGCUGGUGGCAUUCUUCAUUUACAUGUUCUUCGCGUGGAGGUAUGAGUAUAGGAAUAACCAAAGGGUUGUGGACAAUACAGGAGAUACCAAGGCUCCAUUGGCACCCGAAGGCGCUGCCGGUGAUCUGAUCAUCUAGAUGUGUGCUACUCUUAUUGACCCUUUCUUUGACGAGGCUUUUACGUUGUUCUUAAAUUACUUAAGUAACGUAUUACAUCCUGUACUAUUGUAAUAUUUGGUUAGGGAAUGAGUGCUCUAUUCAAAUUUAUUGCUUCUGGUCGAUUUAUAUGUUUCUGUAGACCCAAUAUGUGAACAUUAUUGUUUGAUAUUGUGGUAUUUUCUUGCCCUGAAGAAACAUUAUUCCAAUGUUUUUAUCAAGAUCGAUCAAACUAAGAAUUCACGUUUUGUUUUGCGUAUUUAUUUCUAAUGUAAAAAUAUAGCUAUUUACGUAACCAAAAAGAAUAUUCUUGUGAAAUUUAUAUGAGGUCGACAAUAUUCCUUUUUUGCUUGGGUCCAUCUAUAGCCCAGUUGCCUGAGAUUUUCAGAAAUUUCAGUCACUUUCCAGCCAGCCAUCCAUCGCCUAUCCUAAGGCUAAAAAACCCUCCGAUGAAGGCCAAUAAAACAUUCCUAAAGAAUAUGAAAAGGAGUAAGCAUUUAUACACUAUUCAGAUUAUAUUUAGCAUUGUAGGUAUCAAAGAAAAGGCAACAAACAGAUCAUGGCAAUGUCAAUUGACACACUAGCUACAGGACAAAACAUCAUGCACAUUUUGUAAAAUAGUAAAAUAAUUAUACCCAUGUAAAGACAUCGGAUAAAGUAUGCUCAGAGGGAGCAUGCCUUCGUUGACAAAUUCAUCUUCUUCAUCUUCCUAUCAUUGUCCCAACUUAUCACUUCCUACUCGUUAUAACGAUAAGAAAAAACCAACAAAAUUAAUAGAACCAAGAGCAUGGCAUGUACAUCACACCACAAGCGUAAGAUAUAAUACAACCUAUAACUUCUCAACGAAGCAAGCCAAACACACCUCAAUGAAGCAUGCCAUUAGAAAAUUACUAAAUUUCUACUAAAACUUUCAUUGAAUAUUGGAAUAAAUAAGACUAAAUUAUAGCAAAAACAUUUAAACUACAAAUAAAAAAGUAUAUAAGCCUAUUCUAUGCAAUAUAAGUAAUGAAUAUAUGCAUACACCAUAGCAUGGUAUAUGAACAGUAUAAAAGCACGAAAACAAUUUAAAUAUUCCACUAGAAUAGCACAACAUAAAACAUGGUAAAGAAAUAACAUCUACAUUAACUAGCAUUUCUAUACAGUAAACAUGUUAUUUAUUUCUAAUCAAAUAAAAUCCUUAAAAGCAAAGAAAAACUGCAAAUGCUCAAUGAAUCACCAAUAAUAGUCCUAAUUAAUAUAGUAAAAUAAAUAAACCUGUGACAAAGAAAAUUAACUUGACACACAACUUUUGCACAACAUACGAACUACAUGAAAGAAGAGAUGUACAAAAAGUAUUACAACUAUACAAAUUGUAUUUGAAUUUGACCUAAAUUUACAUCUAUUUAAAUCUAGUUUGAAUUCUACGUAUUAGAUUUGGAACUACAUUCCACCAUAUAGGAGAACAUUUCUAUGUUUGGUUUGGCCUCAUAUGGAGAAGUACGGUAAUUUCGGUCGUCGACGAGAAGAGAGCGUCCAAGCUACGGUGAUCGGAUGGAAGAUCGCCUACUGUUCUAGACUCUCAAAGACGAGUGGCGCAUUGCAUGCGUGGAUUUUAUCGGAACUAGAUUUGGGAUGGUGAUGACAUGGCCAUGUUGGUGAGGGUCGGCAUGGAUUGGCAAACACAUAGCCAACAUGAUAGAUUAGACGAUCAACCAUGUCUAGAACUAGGGGCGAACGCACCGGUACGGCAUGGUGUGGCGGCAGGCACACCUAAAAUUCGGCCUAGAAGUUCAAUAUAUAUAGUGUAUAGCCUCCCUAAUUAGCCUAUUGGGUCUCAUAACCAGGGUGGGCUGGGCCUCUUGACUCCCGGAGUACCCUUCUCGAUCCCAACCUAAUUGAUCGCUAACUUUAAGACUUCCUGACGUUCUCGACUCAUAGGCGGCCGACUUCCCAUCUUUGGUCUUCCGCCGUUCCACGUUCUUGACUCGGCAAUUUCUGAAUUCCCUAACCAUCAACGGGCGUAAUUCGUGUGAUCGCCAAGCAGGCUGCAGCCUGCAGGCCGACAUAUCCUGCAUAUGACACUACAAGUUACUAAUUCAUAAUUUUUCUACGGUUUCAAUGCUUUGCAGAUCAUUUCUAUGUUUCAUGUAGUUUUUUUCUAUUGAGGUAUUUUGAGUGGCAAUACCUUACUUUUGGAUUUUUAUUACUAUACUUAUUGAACACAAAGUAACUCCACAAAGUGUCUGUGUGUGUAUAGAGAGAGAGAGAGAGAAAAAGAGAGAGACAGAGUAUCCUACCAAGUUUUUGCAUAGUUUUAUUGCACAUGACUUUCAGCUGUGUAAACUCUGCCAGACCUCAAAACUUAUCCUGAGUGCACCACUGUCUACAACUUAAAUGAGACAAAAAUAGGCAUACCGACGAAUGGAAUUUGGCCGUGGUUUCAAGCAUCUUCAACAGGGCCCCUAUUUGGACCCCUAUUCAUUUCUUAGGGGCUGGGGCCCAAAAACAUCUUCAACAGGGCCCCUAUCUGGGACCCACCCCCGAAUGGUCCUCAAUGGAGCCGCUGCCCUUGCUGUCGGCCGCUGCAUCCAUGCAGUCCCGUGUCGCUACGCCUCCUCUAUCACGCACAUCGCGCCGCCGCUUCCCACAGCCGGUUCGGAUUCAGAAAGAUAAUGAUCAUACCGUAUCCUAUUUGAUACUGUAUUUUUUUAUCUGGAAUUAAAGCAGUGACUAAUACACAAGGAAUCAAGGGUAGAGGCUUUCCUACUUGGUUGCCAAAUGUUCUACACUCACAAAUCAGGAUCCCUAAUACACAGACAGGCAUUGAAAUCAAAAUAGGAACAACUUACGGGCAAGACCUCUUCUAUUCAUAUGCAACGGUGGCAGCGGCAAGCGCUCGCCGUCGGGCGCGAGCGGGCAUAGAUAGAGGGCAAUGCCGUCGGUCGCGAGUUGGCGACGGAGGCAGCCGCGGCGGCCAGCGCGGCGAAGUCGUCGGGGCCGAGCGAGUGGGAGACGGAGGGAGCGGCCGCCGGCCCUAGGGGUGAGAGGCCGGCGAUGGAGGCGGCGGCCAGCGACCGGCGCCGCCACGCCACGCCACUCCUGGUCCUGGUCGAUCGAUCGAUCGGGAGAGAUGGCCGAUGGGGAAUAGAAACGUCGAGAAGCUGGGCCCUGGGCCUCUUUUUCUAAUGGGCUGAAUAACGGAACGUCAUUUGGUCCAUUUCGAACCAGUAAUUUCGCUCUCUCCUUUGUCACUUCCUUUGUCUUCCUGCUGUAGCUUUGGUCGGCAAUUACGCAUUGGGAAAGUUUGUAACUGGUCUCAAAAGCUCAAAUGAACUUAUCCUUAAUUAUUUAUCUGACAACUUAUACUAGCAAAGUCCAAACAAAAAAUUUACCACACUAGAAUCUAAGCUCGGCGGAAAAAGGGGCUAAUCAUCUUUGAAAAAUAAAAGAAUACUAACCGCGGCACGUGGCCAAUCGGAUGGUUAUGAAGGUUAUUCAGUUCUAAUAAAAAACGAGUAAUUGAGGAGUUAGCAAAAUCCCCAACAUAGGACAUAAGAAAAAUAAAUAAAGUACAAAUUACCUCAUUUAUAUGUUGCAUUUUACGUUAGGUCACAUAUAUAACUUGUGUAACGAUAGUGGAAUUCGGAGCGUGGAAUAAGUCAUACUUUAAAUUAUUUUACUUUGAAAAUAUCUCAUUUAUAUAGCUCCGAAAAACACACAUCAACCACCUGUGAUUAACACAACCGAAGAAACUAAAUAAUAAAAUAGAAUAUAAACAUGAAAACAGGAAAAUCAAGAUAAACAAAAAAAACAAAAACAAAAUCAAAGCAAGGUGCAAAUAAGAAAACAAAAAUAAAAAAUGCAAGAAGAAAGGUCCGAACAUGCAACCUCCAUACAGGCAAACAAAUACCAUCAAGUACCACCACAACAACCAGCCAAUACUGCACAUUCUCAGUUGAUCUUCUAUCUAUUGCGUCGUUUAUUUCAGCACGAAUCUCAACGCCCGAUCGGGCAGACCAGACCAUCAAGUGAGAUAUAACUAUUUCUCAGUCAACUGACAAAAAGCAAAUCCGUAAUAAAAAAAACACUGUCACGGAUGAGUAUUUCUAUACUGGUGUGUAGUUAUGAGCGGAUUUUGCUCUCCGGUGCCAGUACUUCAAAUAAUUUGAAAAUACUACGUAGUUCUGGAAAAAAUUACAUGCACAUGUAUAAAUUUACUACAUACCACAUAUCCUGAUUAAGAAAUAUAAAAAAACCAAGUGUGGAUCUAUAAUAACAUAAUUGUAUCUGUUAUUUUUAUCAAAAAGGGGAAUGCCCCUGCUCUGCAUUGACUGAUGAACACAGUCAAUUUUAUUGCAGUGUUUAAAAAUCAAAGAGCUUACACUUUAGGGGUCAUAAAAAGUGGAGACAAAUACCAGUCUAUAGAAAAUGUAUAGUAUUUAACAAGAAGCAAAACUAAACAUAGUUGAGUCUGGACUGCAAAUGAAUAUUUAUUAAUAAAACUUACAGGUAAACAGUAUACAUUUGUUGUCCGCUGGGGCCGCAGUACAGACAUGGGAAAGAAAGCGCUGGUCGGGGGGGGGGGGGGGGAACUUGGGGCGCCGCACGCUAACUCGUGUGGGCACGGUUGCCCCAUAGUUCGCUCCUUUGUUUAUAGUAUUGCUGAUGUUUAUCGAUAUAUUGGUGGUCCUUUUCGAAAAGAAAAGAAUUGACGCGUAAAAUGCGCUGGCACGCACCUGAGCUUGGUAGAGCGAGCAUCAGGAAAGAGUUUGUUGUUUUUCGCUCUCGGCUUACAUAAUACGGCCUAUACAUUACAUAAUAAUAGUGUCAUGACGGUUUUGGCAGAAGGAUCCGAUGGACCCAAUCUUUACUCCGUACGUACGUUUGCUUCGUCGUCUUCGGUGAAACUUAGCGGAAAAUACUACUCCAUAAAUGAUGUGAUCAAGCAUGAUAAACAUGAUCCAAAUCCACUACACCAAGUCCGAUCAUCACGUGAGAUGGAGUAGCUUCAAUGGUAAACAUCAGCAUGUUGAUCACAUCAUUCAUAUGACUCAUGUUUAACCUUUCGGUUCCUUGUGUUCCGAGGCCAUGUCUGUACAUGCUAGGCUCGUCAAGUUAACCAAAGUAUUCCUGCAUGUGUAAAACUGGCUUACACCCGUUGUAUGCGAACGUAGAGUUUAUAACACCCGAUCAUCACGUGGUGCUUCAAAACGACGAACUUUUGCAACGGUGCAUACUAAGGGAGAACACAUUAUUAUCUUGAUAUUAACAAUGAGGGAUCAUCUUAUAAUGCUACCGUCAACUAAGCAAAAUAAGAUGCAUAAAAGGGAUAAACAUCACAUGCAUAAAUAAUGUGACAUGAUAUGGCCUUCUCUUCGUGUGCCUUUGAUCUCCAUCUCCAAAGCACGGGCAUGAUCUCCAUCAUCACCAGCAUGGCGCCUAGGUCCUCGGGCGUCAUGUAUAGUUGCCUCCACCAACUAUUGCUACUACUAGCGAUAAAGUAAAGCAAUUACAUGGCGAUUAAAUCAUUGACACGAAGGUCAUACAAUAAUUAAUGAGACAACCAUACGGCUCCUGCCGGUUGCCAAACUCAUCGACAUGCAAGUCGUGAAAUAUUACAAAACAUGAUCAUCUCAUACAUCAAAUAUAUUAUAUCAUAUCUUGGCCAUACCACAUCACAUGCCCCUGCAAAAACAAGUUAGACGCUUCUACUUUGUUGUUGCAUGUUUUACGUGGCUUUAGGGGCUGCACUAAAAGAACCGUUCUUACUUACGCAAAAGCCACAACGGUGAUAUACAAAUUGCUUAUUAACCAUAUAGGCCUCCCAUUGCAAAUCAGAUUUCAACUAUAGUGGGAGAGACAGACACCCGCCAGCCGCAUUAUGCAAUACAAGUUGCAUGUUUAUUGCGGAACCGGUCUCUUGUGCGAAGACAAGUAAGGUUGGUCCGAGCCGCUUCAUCCCACUAUCCCGCAAAAUUCGAUAGUGCACAAAAGAGGUAGCAAUAUGAACAUCAACGCCCACAACUAAAUUGUGUUCUACUCGUACAAAACAUCUACGCCUAGAUCUAGCUCUGAUACCACUGUUAGGUUCGUUGCAUAUGAAACAAAAAAUUUCCUACGAGAAGUGCGGAAGAAAACCCAAGAAUAUAUAUACUAGAUGUAUGUAACGAGAGGGAUCAUGAACACCAUACCCUCGUAGACCGCUAAGCGUUACGAUCACGAGAUCGUUGUUGGUGUAGUGGAACUUUCAAUGAGAUCAAUCUCAGUGCCGAACGGACAGCACCUCCUUGGUAUCCACACGUUCAGCUUCACGUUGUCUCCUCCUUCCUCGAUCCAGCAAGCGAGAGGGAGAGGUAGACGAGAUCCCGGCAGCACGACGGCGUGGUGACUAUGGUGAAUAUUCUCACGGGCAGGGCUACGCCGUGCGCGUGAGAAGAGGAGGAGAGGAGGGCUCAGGGGAGAGAGAUCCAACUGAAAGCUUGGGGUGUCUCUCUCCCUUGCCCCCCCUUCUAUUUAUAUAGGGGUAGAGGAGGCGUGGCCGGCCAGGACUAUCCCGUGGCCAGGACUCUCAUGCGGCCAGGACUCUCCCGCGGCCAGGACUCUCCUCCUGGCCGCAUGGGCCCUGUGGGCUAGCCCCUCGGCCCAUUAAGGCCAGGGUGCUCCCUCACAGGCCCAUUUAGCCCAGGGAUAGGUGGGCCUCAAGGUGGAACCCUCCGGAUCCCUCCGGAACCUUCUAGAAGCUUCCCGGUCAAAACCGGGAAAUAUUCCAAACUUUCCAGAACCCUGAAAACAACUUUCCAUAUAUAAAUCUUUAUCUCCGGAACAUUCCGGAGCUCCUCGUUGCGUCUAGGAUCCCAUCCAAGACUCCGAAUCAUAAUUCGAUAUCAUCAUCAUUUAUCUCAUCUAACCCAAGCAACAUGAAACGUUAAGUGUGUGACCCUACGGGUUCGAGAACAUGUGGACAUGAUCAAAUAUCAAUAACCAAUAGCGGGACCUGGAUGUCCAUAAUGGUUCCCACAUAUUCCACGAAGAUCUCAUCGGUUGAACCACUAUGUCGAGGAUUCAAUUAAUCCAGUAUCCAAUUCUCUUUGUCUCGCGAUAUAUUACUUGCCCGAGAUUUGAUCGUCGGUAUCGCCAUACCUAGUUUAAUCUCGUUACCGGCAAGUUCUCUUUACUCGUUCCGUAAUAUAAUACCCCCGCGACUAAACACAUUAGUCGCAUGCUUGCAAGCUCAUUAGGAUGUUAUAUUACCGAGAGGGCCCAGAGAUAUCUCUCCGUCACAAGGAGUGACAAAUCCCAGUCUUGAUCCAUACAACCCAACAAGCACCUUCUGGGAUACCUGAAAAACACCUUUAUGAUCACCCAGUUACGAGAUGACGGUUGAUGCCCACAAAGUAUUCUUCCGGUACUAGGGAGUGGCAUGAUCUCAUGGUCUAAAUAAAUAAUACUUGACAUAAUAAAACAUAAGCAACUUAAACUUAAGUGACACGAUCAAAAGCUAUGUUUAGGUUUGGGUCUGUCCAUCACAUCAUUCUCCUACUGAUAUGAUCUCGUUAUUAAAUGACAACACAUGUCUAUGGUUAGGAAAUCUUAACCAUCUUUAAUCAACGAGCUAAUCUAGUAGAGGCGUAUUAGGGACACGGUAUUUGUUUAUUUAUCCACACAUGUAUUUGAGUUUCCAAUCAAUACAAUUAUAGCAUGGGCAAUAAACAUUUAUCAAGAACAAUGAAAUAUGAUAAUAACAAAUUUAUUAUUGUCUCUAGGGCAUAUUUCCAACACACCCCCCCCCCCCCCCGGCGGCCCUCCGCUCCGUGGCGAGGCGUGGCGGCACGAGCAGAUCCCACCCCGGCGGGCGGCGGCAGCCCUCUGCUCUGUGCCGCGGCCUGGUUCCCGCCCUCGCAAAAAAAAUUCCCUCGCUCCGUGACCUCCGUCCCUCGCCCCGCGUUCUCUAUUUCUCUGCCGAAGUCAAGCGGUCGUGGGUUUGUUUUUGCCUGACCGCUGGAUCUAAAUUGGACGUCAGAUCACAGGGAUAGAGGCGCUUGGGACGUACACGAGUAACUUCACCGAAGCAGGCAGUGAAAUACUGAAAUUAGAGAAGGAUCUCGAUAGAGUGCGUACCAGUGCCUACACGCAUGCCCACACAAGUACUCUUACAACCCUGCAGUCGCUGCCGUGUAACGAUCAGGGAGACAGUGAUGUACGGCGUACCACAACAUAAUUCGUUUAAUUAAUACGUACGUCUGACCGGCCGGACCACAAGCUCGUGGUGACUUGUCAACUGGAGUAUAUCGUCGAUCUAAACUCUAAAGUGUCUCGAUCAGUACCUGCGUUAUUUUCUCAGUCCCGGGUUACAGUAAUCUUGCAUGCAUUUGCGCGCCACAAGGAUGCCUGCGAUCGAGCUCUAAAUGCAUUGAUAUGGUAUAUGUGGAAUGGACCGCAUGGAAAACCCGUACCAGCCAAGCCACCAGCUGAGCUACAGCUUGUUUUUCAGUUGAGACAAAUUAACGCGAUCGCAGGCGGCAUGAUCAGCGCUUAAACUCGAAUUUGGAUACAGUCCAGCCAAGCCGUCCGUAGGUUUAUCUCAUUUGGGAUGCGGAAGCUUAAGUGAUGUGCAGUACGUACGAUACCUCCACACACACACACAAAAAAAAAAACAGACGUGUUGGACCGAUUGAUCAUCCAUGUCCACAGAAACAACAAAGAUCCAGCGGCAGUGCAUGCGUACGUUCGCACCAAGUAUCUCAGUACGUGCAAUCGUGCACGCAUGCACUAGUAGUAUUAUAUUCGAUCUCCUGCCCGGUAAUCAAAGAGUACGUACAGAUGUACGGUAAUCGAACUCUUUAAUGCCUGCGAGCACACACCGAUAUAGUAGAAAAUAGUAUCUUGCUAUAUACUCGAUCUUGCACACACCGUUUGAGUACAGUGUGGAUCGGAAUGGACCGUACAAGAAGCCACCAGCUUGUUUCUUUCUUUUUUUUUGAAGGAACACCAGCUUGUUUCUGAUUUGGGAAGAACGCGUGUGAUCAACACUGGAAUUUAAAAAGAUUCCAGUCUGUAGGUAAACAAACGGAGGGCUCAUAGCCCCUUAAUUUGUUCCUUAAAUUAAAACUUUUGACUAAGCCUUUGAACCAUAAUUAGUCUAUUAAAAUAUAAUUUUUUGAAAUAAAAUUGAUGCUAUUGUAUUCAUAUUUAAGAGUACUUGUUCAUAGUUAUGAUUUGUAUCUUAUAAGUCACACGUCGAUGGAGUAAUACUUGAUCAAACAUUCGGUCAAAGAAAACAAUAUACGUCUUAAUUUAAGGAACGGAGAUCUUAGCCGAAGAGUUUUAAGUCAAACAGCAGCUUGAAUUAUGACGGUCCCAAACGUGUUCUAGCUCAGGGAAAAUGAGAGAGAGGACCAGCCUGUUUUGAGUGGCAGGACUGAGCUAAAAGAUGGGGAAUAAAAGAUCAUUAUCUCUAACACUGUGUUUGGAUGUAUAAGGCCUGAUAUUAGACAUUGGUAUUGGACAAGUACCGAGUACUAUGAUUUGGGUUGUUUGGCUGGUCCAAGUAUUCGAUCCACACAUGGCACAAUUCCGAUGGGUAAGCCUCGACAUCCCUGGGUAUUCGGAACUUUCGGAACUGCUCGACAACACCCGCGUUCAACCCUCGCUCGAAGCAAUUUUCCCUUUUUCCCUGCCUUUUCCGUCCCUCUUCUAGCUCCCGCGCGAGGUUCAAGGCUUCCAGCGGCUGCGGCCCGAGCAGGCAGCAGCAGGGCCCUUCCUCCCUCCUCCUCCUCCUACGGCACCGGCGGUCUUCUCCCGCGACGCCGCAGCCCCGCACCAGACCACCUUGCCCUCCCUUCCCAUCUCUCUCCUCCGCGACCGCCCGUCCCCGCCGCCGCGCCCUCCUCGUCGGCUCGUCGCUCCCGAAGAAGAAGAGGACCGUGCGUACUGCGUAGGUACGGUGGUGCCGCACCAUCUGGAGCGGCGUGCGGCCUAAGGAGCAGCUCCGCCUUCCUCCGACUGGGCACGGCGCCGGCGGCCUCCCGCCCCUCCCUUCCGGCGUUCACCCUCUCAUCUCCCUUCUCUCUGCAGGUUUGCGGGCCAUCUCGACCAAGCUCCUGCCUCCGGCGCAGGUCCUGUUGGAGAUAUGCCCUAGAGGCAACCAUGUGAUGAUGUUAUUUCCUAUGUAUUCAUGAGUUAUUUGUCCUUGAACAUCAUCACUGAUAUGUAUCAAUAAAUACGUGAUUUGUUUGUGAAACUAUGUAUUCUAUGAUGUUGUUCUAAUGGUCCCUGGUCAUUGAGGUUAUGCGGACACAUAACCUAGACUAGCAAUGUGAAUCAGUGUGAUGACUAUGUUUCACAAGUCAUAGCGCAAGGUGUUGCCGACUGAUAGCAUGGACUCGACAAUGAGAUUGUUGAGUCGGACAGACCCGCACUGAGACACAACGAGAUGAUUGUCAUUUGUUAGUCUCAAGUACGAUGUAUAUGCCAGUCCUAGACCUGAGGUCAUCGUAUGAGCUUGGGAUGUGAAUCGGCCUACUUAGGGGUUGCCAAACGCUACUCCGUAACUGGGUGGUUAUAAAGGUAGCUUUCGGGUUCGCUGAGAAGCAUGCUGCGAGUCAUGGUUGAUCAAGAUAGGAUUUGCCCCUCCUGUUCGGAGAGAUAUCUCUGGGCCCUCUCGAGUGAUCAGAUUCGGAAAGCAUGGCCAUGCGACUUGGGUUAAGUGUUAACCCGUUCGGGAAUCUGUAUCACAGGAACGAGAAGAGACUCGAGCUAUCCACAAGGAUGACACGCACUCGCCUUGAGCUCGACACACAUAUCGCGAGGCAAAAGGAAUGUUGCAUAUGACACAUUGUAUGGUUCGUCAAUAUACCUUGUGGUUACUCGGGAGUUGGCACGUGCUGCUAGGCGCCGCUACCAACUAUCGACUUGAGUCGGUGCCAGUGGACGAGCAAGGUGUUACUCGGGCCCGCAGUCCGAGCUCGUAGUCAUGGCCGACUGACCGCGAACCUGAAGGGUCACACGCUUAAGGGGUGGGAACCGAGUUGGAUCGAUCCAACUCGUAUCGGGCUUGGACUCCUAAUGGGCCUCAAGUGUUGAGCCCACUAGGGACGUCUAUAUAAGUGGAGGAGACCAACCCGUCUAGGGUUAACUCCAGUUCAGACGCGAGUUAGACUCGGCCGUCGCACCUCCACGCCCAAAGCCUUGCGAUCGGAUCUAGCAGUCCGCCGCACGGAGUUCCUCCCUGUACGUGUGGAUACCUCGGAGGCGCUGCACCUGCGGCGCUUGGACGAACUGUUCGUGGGAUCGGCGAGGAGGAGCAGGCUGUUCGACUACUCGGCAUCGACGCGCUACAUCGACUCUACUUCCGCUACAGGUCUGCGCGUCUAGUGGUAAUCUCGUGAUCCAUUAUCUACAGCAUUGAUCCGGGCGGAAGCGGUAGAAAAUUUUAUUUUGUGCUAGCGUAGCAUACCGCGUUCCCCAACAGUGGUAUCAGAGCCGAUGCUGUCUGUUUUGGAUUCGAAUUGCGUGCAUAAGUGUUAUGCGGUUAGUAGUAGAUGUGAUCUAUUGCUAUCUUGGUGGUCGAUCUAAGUGUUAGAUCGGUUUUGUACUCAAUCGAUUGGAUCGAUUGUACUCGGGGAUCAUGGAUAUUCGAUUCUGAUAAUCGUGAUGUAGAAGGUCGUGACACAACAUACUCCUACCGGUCGGAUUUCCGCCAUCGGAGUAGACAGUGAAACAUAAAUCCGGAUACAAUUCAUGAGAUCAAUGCGAUUGAUCGAAUCGGAAUAGAAAUCCAUGAAGGAAAUUUCGGAUUGGAUCGGGGGACCGCCGUGCUAUCUAUUCGUAGCGCCUUAGUUGUCGUUGCGAGUUCACAUCAAUUCGGUAGAAUAGGUUUGUACGCUUAACUUGUUUUUGCAGGAUUGAUGUGAAUAGUAUGGCUCAUAUGUAUGUGAUACAUGUGUGUAAUAUUUGCAUGACCUGCGUGUCAUGAGUUUGUCAGCCAGGCUGGAGCCAAGGUGCUGUCUUUAUAAUUGUAUAACGACCUGCGUGUCGACAUUUGAUGUCAUUCUCCAUGUAAAUUCUUUGCUAGAUACUAGGUGUAGUCAUUUAGUAUGAAUUGGAGGACGUGAGCACCAUGGCGGCUUGAUGAACAGGUUCAUGGAGAUGGAGAUCACCAUGAAGAACAGAGCCAUACUAUUUCACAUGUUAAUUUGAUUAUCUGUGAUGGUUAUUGCUUUGUUUACUCCUAUGCAUGUUAUUGUGUUAGAGUAGAAUGAUCCCUCAAAGAAUGUCAAGUUUAUUUACCUCCCCAAUAGCUGCAACACCACAAGACAAGUACAUUUGGUGAUGGGCUCAUGAAAUUGGGGUAUCACCAUUUUUCCUUGUCGUUGGUGAUGUUCGUGUCGGACACUUACAUGCGAAGCUUUGGUUAACUUGACGGGGCUAUCAAAACGGUUUUGGGCCUCGAGGUGAAAGGAGUCGGAGCCGGGGCAAGUGUUGCCUACCGACUAACAAGAGUCGUAUAGAGAUACGAUUGGCAAGAGUUGCCUACCGAGUGAUUCAAUCGGCUAGCAGUGAUGCUAAAGCUCACUAGACGAUUGGUUGAUCUUGGAUCUUGAAUCACUAAUGAUCAAUGGAGGGAUGUUGAUUUUAGUGGGAGUAUAUUUCUAUUAAAUUGUUUAAUAUGAAUUACUCUUCAUGAAUACUUGUCUUAGUGUUUUUGCAUUUUCUGUUGUAGAUCAAUGGCACCACCUCAAUUGUCCAGUUUUGCUUUGAGAUCUGUUCUUGAGAAAGAUAAACUAAAUGGAACUAACUUCACCAACUGGUAUCGGAACCUGAGAAUCGUUCUCAGGCACGAUAAGAAAGAAAGAAAGAACAUGUCAUAGAGAACCCACUUCCAGAGGAGCCGGCUGAUAAUGCCACUGCUGCUGUUAGAAACGCCUAUCAACGCUCAUGUGAUGAGUCGAUUGAGAUCAGCUGUCUGAUGCUUGCCUAUAUGGAGCCCGAACUGCAGCAGCAGUUUGAGAAUGUUGAGGCUUUCGAUAUGAUCGAGACUCUCAAAGGCAUGUUUCAGACUCAGGCUAGGACCGAAAGAUUUAAUGUCUAAAGGUCCUUCCUGGAGACUAAGCUGAAAGAAGGCGAACCCUUGAGCCCACAUGUAAUCAAGUUGGUUGGUUACACGCAAAGCUUGGAGAAGCUGGGCUUUCCGCUGAGCCAAGAGUUGGCCACGGAUACAAUUCUGGCAUCUCUUCCGCCAAGCUAUGCGCAGUUCGUUCAGAACUACCAUAUGCAUGGCAUGGAAAAGAAAGUCACUGAAUUGCAUGGGAUGCUUAAAACAGCAGAGGAGGAUAUCAAGAAAAAUACCAAGCAAGUGUUGCUGGUACAGGGAAAGCCAAAGUUCAAGAAAAAUUCUUGGGCUAAGAAGAAGGCAAAGAAGGGAAAGGCUAAGGAUGUGAUCCCGACCCCUGCCCCUGCUGCGCCUAAGGCUGGACCGGACUCAGAGACCGUAUGCUUUUUCUGCAAAGGCACCGGUCAUUGGAAGAGGAACUGCAGCAAGUACCAGGCCCACGUGGCAAAGAAGGGUGGAAGUGUGACUUCUACUUCAGGUACGGUUGUUGUAUAUGUUAUAGACAUUUAUCUUGCUGAUGCACCUAACAGCUCUUGGGUAUUGGAUACCGGAUCGGUUGUUCACAUUUGCAACUCGAUGCAGGGGCUGGCAAGGACUAGGAGCGUCGCAAGUGGAGAGGUUGACAUAAGGGUUGGCAAUAAAGCAAGAGUUGCAGCGUUGCCCGCCGGGACUAUGCAACUUCAUUUACCUUCUGGAUUUGUUAUGGAAUUAGAUAAUUGUUAUUAUGUUCCUGCUUUAAGUCGAAACAUUAUAUCUGUCUCAAAGUUGUUGAGUCACGGUUAUGAAUUCAAUAUUAAGGGCAAUGGUUGUUCUUUUUAUUUGAAGGAUAUGUUUUACGGCUUUGCACCUGUUGCGAACGGGUUAUUCAUCCUUAGUCUUGAAGGAGAAUCUGUCUAUAACAUUAAUGUCAAGAGGCGCAAGCCUAACGAUCUGAAUCAAACCUAUUUUUGGCAUUGUCGUUUGGGUCACAUAAGUGACAAACGCAUGAAGAAGCUCCAUGGAGAUGGACUUUUAACAUCGUUUGAUUAUGAAUCAUUCGAGACAUGCGAGUCUUGUCUACUAGGCAAGAUGACCAAAUCGCCUUUUGCAAAGAGUUGCGAGAGGGCGACCGACUUGUUGGAACUCAUACAUACUGAUGUGUGUGGACCAAUGAGCACGACAGCUAGAGGAGGUUAUCAAUACUUCAUAACAUUCACUGAUGAUUUGAGUAGAUAUGGAUAUGUCUACUUAAUGAAACAUAAGUCGGAAACCUUUGAAAAGUUCAAGGAGUUCCAGAAUGAAGUAGAGAACCAACGUGGCAAGAAAAUAAAACUUCUACGAUCUGAUCGUGGAGGCGAGUACUUGAGUCACGAGUUCGACGAUCAUCUGAAGAGUUGUGGAAUUGUUCCACAGCUCACACCGCCGGGUACACCACAAAGAAAUGGUGUGUCGGAAAGGCGGAACCGGACCUUGUUGGACAUGGUUCGGUCGAUGAUGAGUCAGUCAGAUCUUCCCUUGUCAUUUUGGGGUUAUGCUCUAGAAACCGCAGCGUUCACACUAAACAGAGUACCAUCCAAGUCCGUAGAUAAGACACCAUAUGAGAUAUGGACUGGAAAGCGUCCCAGUUUGUCUUUUCUAAAGAUUUGGGGCUGUGAUGCAUUUGUCAAACGACUUCAGUCGGACAAGCUCACUCCCAAAUCAGACAAGUGCAUAUUCGUGGGAUAUCCAAGGGAAACCUUAGGAUAUUACUUCUACAACCGGGCAGAGGGCAAAGUGUUUGUCGCUCGAAACGGUGUCUUCCUUGAGAAAGAGUUUCUCAGUCGGGAGGCAAGUGGGAGGUCAGUGCAACUCGAAGAAGUUCGAGAUGAGCCAGUAGGGGAUAACUUGACAGGUGAUGUCAGUGUGACUGAGCCAGUCGUCGUACCCACGGCCAAUACAGCACCGUAUCCACGAAGGUCGGAAAGACUAUGUAAUAUACGCAAUGUGUUGUUGCUAGACAAUGACGAGCCGACUAAUUAUGCAGAAGCGAUGGUGGGUCCAGAGUCCGAGUUAUGGCUUGAGGCCAUGAGAUCCGAAUUAAAGUCCAUGGAUGAAAACCGAGUUUGGAACUUGGUAGAUCCGCCAGAGGGUGUAAAAACCAUUGAGUGCAAAUGGAUAUUUAAAAGAAAAACUGAUAUGGAUGGAAAUGUUCAAAUCCAUAAAGCUCGACUUGUCGCAAAGGGUUUUCGACAAGUUCAAGGAGUUGACUACGACGAGACUUUCUCGCCGGUAGCGAUGCUUAAAUCAGUUCGGAUCAUUCUAGCUAUUGCUGCAUAUUUCGAUUACGAGAUAUGGCAAAUGGAUGUCAAAACGGCUUUCCUUAACGGAAAUUUAACCGAGGACGUGUAUAUGAUACAGCCCGAGGGUUUUGUCGAUCCAAAGAAUGCUGGAAAAAUAUGCAAACUUCAGAAAUCCAUCUAUGGAUUGAAGCAAGCAUCUCGGAGCUGGAACAUUCGUUUUGAUGAAGUAGUCAAAGGGUUUGGCUUCAUCAAAAAUGAAGAAGAACCUUGUGUAUACAAGAAGUUUAGUGCAAACUCAGUCGUAUUUCUAAUCUUAUAUGUGGAUGACAUAUUAUUGAUUGGAAAUGACAUUCCGAUGCUAGAAGCCGCCAAGGACUCAUUGAAGAAAAGUUUUUCAAUGAAGGACUUGGGAGAAGCGGCUUAUAUUUUGGGAAUCAGGAUCUAUAGAGAUAGAUCAAGGAGGCUUAUUGGUUUAAGCCAGAGUACAUAUGUUGACAAAGUGUUGAAGAGGUUCAACAUGAAUGACGCAAAGAAAGGGUUCUUGCCCAUGUCGCAUGGUAUAAGUCUAAGCAAGACUCAGAGUCCUUCGACUUCUGAUGAGCGAAGUCGGAUGAGUGCGAUUCCGUAUGCUUCGGCGGUCGGAUCCAUCAUGUACGCCAUGUUAUGUACUCGACCGGAUGUUUCCUAUGCUCUAAGUGUUACGAGCAGGUAUCAGGCUGACCCCGGUGAGAGUCACUGGACAGCGGUGAAGAAUAUCCUUAAGUACUUGAGAAGGACUAAGGAUAUGUUUUUGGUUUACGGUGGUGAGGAUGAGCUCGUUGUAAAGGGUUACACCGAUGCUAGUUUCCAAACCGACAAGGACGAUUAUCGAUCACAAUCUGGAUACGUGUUCGUCUUGAACGGAGGUGCGGUGAGCUGGAAGAGCUCUAAGCAAGAAACGGUGGCCGACUCUACAACAGAAGCUGAGUAUAUCGCGGCUUCGGAAGCCGCGAAAGAAGGCGUUUGGAUCAGAAAGUUUGUUUCUGAGCUUGGAGUGGUUCAGGGCGCGUCCAAUCCCAUGGACCUCUACUGUGACAACAGUGGUGCUAUCGCACAAGCCAAAGAACCACGACAUCACCAAAAAUCCAAACACAUACUCAGGCGUUACCAUCUCAUACGGGAAUUCGUGGAGAGAGGUGACGUUAAGAUAUGCAAGGUACACACGGAUCUCAAUAUUGCCGAUCCGUUGACAAAGCCUCUCCCGCAACCAAAGCAUGAGGCGCACACACGAGCCAUGGAUAUGCGAUACUUGGAUGAUCGACUCUAGUGCAAGUGGGAGACUGUUGGAGAUAUGCCCUAGAGGCAAUCAUGUGAUGAUGUUAUUUCCUAUGUAUUCAUGAGUUAUUUGUCCUUGAACAUCAUCACUGAUAUGUAUCAAUAAAUACGUGAUUUGUUUGUGAAACUAUGUAUUCUAUGAUGUUGUUCUAAUGGUCCCUGGUCAUUGAGGUUAUGCGGACACAUAACCUAGACUAGCAAUGUGAAUCAGUGUGAUGACUAUGUUUCACAAGUCAUAGCGCAAGGUGUUGCCGACUGAUAGCAUGGACUCGACAAUGAGAUUGUUGAGUCGGACAGACCCGCACUGAGACACAACGAGAUGAUUGUCAUUUGUUAGUCUCAAGUACGAUGUAUAUGCCAGUCCUAGACCUGAGGUCAUCGUAUGAGCUUGGGAUGUGAAUCGGCCUACUUAGGGGUUGCCAAACGCUACUCCGUAACUGGGUGGUUAUAAAGGUAGCUUUCGGGUUUGCUGAGAAGCAUGCUGCGAGUCAUGGUUGAUCAAGAUGGGAUUUGCCCCUCCUGUUCGGAGAGAUAUCUCUGGGCCCUCUCGAGUGAUCAGAUUCGGAAAGCAUGGCCAUGCGACUUGGGUUAAGUGUUAACCCGUUCGGGAAUCUGUAUCACAGGAACGAGAAGAGACUCGAGCUAUCCACAAGGAUGACACGCACUCGCCUUGAGCUCGACACACAUAUCGCGAGGCAAAAGGAAUGUUGCAUAUGACACAUUGUAUGGUUCGUCAAUAUACCUUGUGGUUACUCGGGAGUUGGCACGUGCUGCUAGGCGCCGCUACCAACUAUCGACUUGAGUCGGUGCCAGUGGACGAGCAAGGUGUUACUCGGGCCCGCAGUCCGAGCUCGUAGUCGUGGCCGACUGACCGCGAACCUGAAGGGUCACACGCUUAAGGGGUGGGAACCGAGUUGGAUCGGAUCCAACUCGUAUCGGGCUUGGACUCCUAAUGGGCCUCAAGUGUUGAGCCCACUAGGGACGUCUAUAUAAGUGGAGGAGACCAACCCGUCUAGGGUUAACUCCAGUUCAGACGCGAGUUAGACUCGGCCGUCGCACCUCCACGCCCAAAGCCUUGCGAUCGGAUCUAGCAGUCCGCCGCACGGAGUUCCUCCCUGUACGUGUGGAUACCUCGGAGGCGCUGCACCUGCGGCGCUUGGACGAACUGUUCGUGGGAUCGGCGAGGAGGAGCAGGCUGUUCGACUACUCGGCAUCGACGCGCUACAUCGACUCUACUUCCGCUACGGGUCUGCGCGUCUAGUGGUAAUCUCGUGAUCCAUUAUCUACAGCAUUGAUCCGGGCGGAAGCGGUAGAAAAUUUUAUUUUGUGCUAGCGUAGCAUACCGCGUUCCCGAACAGGUCCAACAUCGUGUGCUGAGCAAGCAAAUUUGGAUUCCGGCCACGAUGAUUAAUUCUUCUCAUCUCACUGUUAGUCUGUUCUUCUGUCUUCUCUCUGACCUGACCACCCUCUAUCUCUCUUUUCUACCUACAAUGUUGUGGCUACAAUGUCAAGAUUACGGCGUUGUGUAUAUUUUCCAAUGUAUUUUUCAUUUUUUAUUGUCAUGUGAUAUAUAUAGUUAUUCAAAUAUAUUUCAAAUGUUAUAUGGAUUUUGAAAUAUGCAUAAAAACAGUAUAUCAAUCAUACUCGGACAACUGCAAUUGAUCGCUUUGACCAUCCAAACAAGAUUUGUCAUUCAAUCUUAAUAUCAAGUUUGGGUUCCGAAUACCGAAUAUCCAAACAAAAGUAUUGGCAUUCAAUGUCAAUAUCAAUAUCCUGUGAUGUUGACAUUGGAGCAAAUGCACAAUGUCAAGCCUCUCAAUAUCUACAUCUAAACAAAGCUAAGAUCUCGAGGAGACGAUGACGAUGAUGAGAUAAGGUGUGCGGUGAUGAUCCAUGCGUCUAGGAGCUAGCAGCUACGUCCUUGCAGAUAUCACAACCAAAUGUUGACCGGAUCCCAAGAUAUUUGCCCAUAUCUUGCGCAAAUGAUAGAAAAACCAAAUGCAAGCGUCGGUCCGUACCGGAUAAUAAAUAAUUUUGUCCGGCACAUCACUUUUAUCAGUUUUAUUUCAACAUAGGGAGUUGCCUCUGUUUAAGCUGAACUUCGGGUCAUUUCUCACGCCGAGAAGGAGAAUGCAGUCCAGAUUCAGUAGUACAAAUCCAUUUGUCUGCUUAAUGUUAGGUUAAAAAAAAUUCAAGAAAGUAAAUACGAAUCGCAUCAUCGGGAUAGCUCAAGCAGUGAUUCGGUCUACUCAAACGGCCUAUAUGCCUGACCGUCAUGUUCUAGACGGGUGGUUGUCCUUCACGAGACUAUUGAAUAAACUUCACUUGAAGAAAAGAGUGAAUUCCAUUUUUUUACCCCCUCUUUGAAACUUUUUGACACAAUCUACCCCAUUUAAGGGAAUUUCCAAAAUUGUACCCCAUUUAACCAAACCUUUGCCACCAAUUACCCUUUUAAUAUUUUCCCCCAAAUCUGACGUUUUCUGACGAGCGGGGCCCACUUUUCAGGCCUACGUGGCGUGCCACGCUGGCCUUCGGGGCCAAACCAGCCCGGUUCAGUUCGUGCGGUUCUGUCCGGUUGGGGUCUGACAUGGGCUUCAGUGGGUUCUGCCCGGUUCUUUCUUUCUCUGUAUCUCGCUCAUAACUCUUUCUCCCUCAUCUCUGUCUGUCUCCCACGGGUUAGGGUUUAGGCUGCGGCGACGGCGGCGGCGACGGAAGCAACCGCGACCUGUCGGCGGAGAAAGCGGCCACCACGGGUGCUAAGCCGGGUUCGACUCGGUGUUUCUCCGGGCCUGCGCUCAGAUGGCGUCGCCGGCGAAACGGAAGGCAGUGGGAGUGGCGAUUCCGAAGCUCCCCGUAUAUUCCGGGAAUUGCGAUUCUUCGUGGAAGGUAUGUUCAUCCGCCUCGUUUCCUUUCCGUUUCCAUCUCCUUAACGUCUUUCAUCUGUGAUUUCAUUGGUGAUUUGGGGAUAUAUUGUGGUCACAAAGAUAGGACUGAUGCGUAUCAUUGGAUUUUGGGGUUUCUCAAAAUUUAUUCCUGCUGGUGCAGCGUUUAAUUUGUGGUGUGGUUAAUGUACUUUUCAUAUCAGGAAAUUGUGGGCUCAAGCAAGUUCUCCCUUGUCAGUGGGUGCCGCUGGAAGGAACAGAGGAGAAGAUGGAUGCAAUCGACAGGAACUGCUCACGUUGGGCACUUUUGGAUGCAAUCCUGGAAGCAUUUUGUGAUGAAAAUGUAUGAAAUGUAUGCACUGUUGUACAUGGGCUGAUAUGUUGUACCAAAUUUUGCCUCAAAUGCAAUGAAAAUAUACGGGCUGAUAUAUAUGGUGAAGUGAAUUUUGUAUGGUUGCCAGAAAACCGAACCGGCACCUGACCUGAACCGGGCCGGUUCGGCCCCGAAGGUCAGCGUGGCACGCCACGUAGGACUGAAAAGUGGGCCCCGCUCGUCAGGAAACGUCAGAUUUGGCGGAAAAUAUUAAAAGGGGUAAUUAGUGGCAAAGGUUUGGUUAAAUGGGAUAUAAUUUUGGAAAUUCUCUUAAAUGGGAUAGAUUGUGUCAAAAAGUUUCAUAGAGCGGGUAAAAAAUGAAAUUCACUCUGAAGAAAAUGGAUGGCACUUUCUCACUAAAACUAGCAAUGAGGAAGAAGCAGGUCUAGCUCAAGGCUCCAGCUAGCUCAAGCCUCUUUGAUUUACAAGAUUGGAAAAAUCGGAGGAAUAGAAGGAAAAAAAUGUAGAAAUGCAAUGUGAUGUUUCACUACCAGGGUCACAGAGCUUAGUGAUGGUGAUUUAUUUUUGUGUCGGGCACCAGAAUGACUGUCAUGAAAAUAAUAAUUGUGACAGGCUACUACUGACACCAAAUUAUUAAUUUUUGUGGCGGGCCUUGACACUACCGACAGAAAAUAAAAUAUAUUGUGGCAGUUGGAAUCCGACACAUUUUCAUGCCGGUUCACCAUUACACAAAACACACAUUUGUGACGGUUAUGAUGUACCCAUCACAAAAAUAACAACGUCCCAAAUAUUGUUUUUAUCACUUUUGUGAACCAAAUACCAUAAGUCUGCUCUACUCUCAAAAUAUCUGAACAUUCAUAGGACUAUAUUUUGUAGACACGAAUUAUAUUUCUGUCGGCUUUUGGUUAUUUCUGAAGGUUUAGCACCGUCACUGUACUCUGUGAUCCUGUUAGUUUGAUUGCCUGAAAUUUUGUUCGAAUAUUGUAGGGAAAGCAAAGGAUUUCUCCCAAGAAAUGUAGUACUCCCUCAACGACAAGAAUUUGGGAUAGGAGGAAGUUCUUAGGAAAAUUUAGUAUAGGAUAUAAUCCUACGAAUCAAAGGACUCAUGUAGGAAAAAUUCCUAAUGAUUCUAUAUCAAAGCGUGCGUCGAUUUUGUGUUUGUUAGUCUCUGACCUAUAUAUGUCGGCUGACGGCAAGGACCCAGCGUCCGACCGAGCCGCGCGGGCAAGAGCCAUCUUGUGUACACUCCAGGUGAGCAGUCGUGCAUCUCAAAAGAAAAGAGACCCGGGACAGUUGUGUUGCCCCGGGUUUGCACUGUUGUACACGGCCGGGUCGUACUUUUUAGAAUGUCUCCGUGUGCAUAUCGAGCGUUUUACUUUCUUUUUUUUAGAAUCUCCUGUAACUUUAUUCAAACUCAAAACAUUACGGGUACAGUGCUUCGGAUCAUGGACAAAAGAAACUACAAAGUAACCCCUAUGAGUAAGAAUUACAAUGAAAUCUUUUGAAAACAUAUUCUCCGUAGCAUCAAUUUUUGCAACACGAAAUACUCUUCAUACUUUAGCAAAAGAACUGCAAUUAGACUGGAGUGGCAACAUCGCCACUCGUAACCCUGCACGAAUUUGAUUAUCUUUAAAGGUUUCAGAAAGCCCCUUGAGUCGUCCAUCUAAAAAGAUGAGAAGCCGUGAGCAUUGAACAUACUUGGGCCGGGGUUGAUCCCACAUGAUCUUCACGAAAACGCCAGAGAAAGACUCCAAAGUCACCAAAGUAUCAUGACACACUGACAAAAACUCAUCAAAUCCGUAUGAACAGCUCUGCGAGGACAUAAACUCAAAAUCCGCGUGAUCGGACACAUCGAAUCCGCGGUGAGUAAAACUUUUUGGCCCCGUGGCACUGCGCAAUAAGGCACCGCCGCAGCAGAGGAAAAACCAGAAUACCUUUAUUCUCGACGGCAUCGCACCCUCCGUCGUAACGUUGCCGAUGAAGAUCACAAGACUCGUAAUAGUAAAAACUUCUAAAAACACCCGGUAAUACCCGAGAUUCCCCCCACCUCGCAGCGCCAAGAUGGCGACAGGAGGUGAGGGGAACCGGUGAAUCCGGACGGUGCUCUACCUCAAAACUCUAAGUUUUCUCCCUCUCCUUCUCCCUGGCGGCGAUAGCGUACCUAACGUUUUACUCCCUCUGAUUCUAAAUUCUUGACUCAACUUUGCCAAAAUAUAAAUGUAUUUAUUAUUAAAAAGCGUCUAGAUACAUGUAAUAUUUCGACAACAAUUUAGGAUCGGAGGGAGUACUUUUUUUCCUUCCUUUCUUUGCCUCCGUGGGCUUCUUUUCUGUUUUUCUUUUUGGGCCGUGUCCCACCUGGCCCAUAUCUUAGCCACUGCCUCACCGAGCCCAACCGCUCGCUAGUCACGCAUGGUGGCCACGUUCCCCCUCUGCUAAAAAAAAACUUCGUGAGAACUGAUCAACUGAAGCACGAACUCCAUUCAAUCCUUUCCUCAAAAAAAAAAAACUCCAUUCAAUCCUCUAGAUUCCCAAUUGAAGCCCGCCAAAGAAAACCCCAUUCGCUCCUGAAUUGGUACCGCGAGUGGGAUGGCGUUGAUUCGCUGUGGAAUACCGGCAGCGGGCGGCGGUUGCUAGUCUGGGGCGAUUCGGCGGGCCUGGAGCAAGAGCCGGCGGAGCAAGGGCGGGCCACGGGUGCAGGAGCAGGAGCCGGCGGGGGUGAGGGCGAGCUGGGUCUGCGGCGAUUCCCGGAGGUUGCUGCUGUGAACGGCGACUCCGGCAGGGAGUUUUUGGCGGCAGGCGGCGGCAGAGAUUUCCGCCGGUUGAGGACGACGGCCCGGAUCGAGGCGUGUCCGAGAUCAGCCCACUUGGGAUCGAUUCCGGGUCGACUGAUUGGGCAUCUGAAAUAGGAACCCGCGGGCCGACCCUGGGCCGGAACCAACGGCGGCGGCGGGCCGGCCCGGUCUCUUCAACGCGCGUGUGUCGGCGGUGCGGGUCAAGUUUAUUUUUUUCUGAAUUACCUCUUUCAUAAUCUCGCAGCUUUUCUUCACGAGCGUAGAUGGCCAAUGGCCGGGCGGACGACAUUGUAGCGAGAGUCGUGUUUUCUUUUGAUUAAAGAUGGCAUUUUCUCCGAUUUCAUUAAAAGAAACAAUAUGUCUGUUAUAUAAAAUAAAUAAGUCCAAUUUUAAGAGCUACACUAAGCAAACAGCAAGAAGGCUACCCCUACAUUAUUCCCCUACACAUUGUUGUGCUCAGCAAACAAGACACUCUUCCUCGUCCAGCGAUACAGAGAAUAUGCAACAGGCCUACAGAUUUUGUCAACGGCCCUAACCUUGAGAUCGACAGAAGACCUCACAUGUGACUUGCCACAGUCUGCGGGAGCAUUUGCGAAGCGGUUCUCAAGUGGCGGGCUUAUGAAAACCAGCCCAAAGAUGAAUAAUAGAGCAGAUGUUAAAAUCACUACCGGAGGAUCAUAAGGUAACUUAUUCUUAAAACAAGCAUCCUUCCUUGUCUUCCAAAGAGUCCAAAGAACGGCUGCAACUCCAACUACCACGAGGUUUUCAACUUUCUUGCCAAACUAAAUCAGCCAACAAUAAAGCAAGUCCUAAAUAGAGACUGGAUCUACAACAACAUUAAAGCUAACUUGUACAGCAUUCCAGACAUAUCUUGCCAAGACAGCAUGAAAAGAACAAGUGGUCGAUGGAUUCUGUCUAGACCAGAAGGCACAUCUCUCUUCCCCCUCCCACCCUUGAGAUUUCAAUACAUCUAUGGUAAGUACACUACCUCUGUAGACCAGCCAAAGGAACACCAUAAUUUUCAGAGGCAUUUCUACUCUCCAGAGAAAGAAGUAUGGAAAUCGAACAUGGGACCGUUCAGUGCUCUGUACAUCGAGCCUACUAAAAAUCUCCCCUGGCAUCAGGUUUCCAAUACAGCUUGUAAUCUCCCCCGGUUAUCAUGUACCGAGUGUCGGUACACGAGGUUUUAUCAGGUUCGACUCUCCACGUGGAGAUAAAGAUCUACAUCUUGUUUGAUUGCAUUGAUCUUGAUUGUAGCGAUUACAAGCUGUGAUUCUUGUGUAGGCUCGGAAUCUAAUUCUAUGAUCUAUUGUCGAUUGUAAUAAGCUAUAAAAUUGUGUGCCUCGGGGCAGCCCCUGAUGGCCUUAUAUACUUGGCCAAUCUAGCUUACAAGUAGAAUUCCUAGCGGGACUCAACAAGAUGCUUGUGAUGGGGUAAUGGAACUAUAUAUUAUGAUCAAGGGCGGAGCUAGAGGAAAAAGCAUCCGAGUGCACUCUUUAAAGUUCAAUACUUCCUGGGACGCCUAGACAGCUUGGCCUGAUGCACACUUCCUAAUAAUCCCUAGUGCACUAGCUAAUUGCAGGGUAUAGUUAGCAUUAGAAAUUUUGUUUGACCCCUGGUGCAUGUGACCUAGGGAGCCAACAAGUAGGUCCGCCCCUGAUUAUGAUAACCCUAAACUGUCUUCAUAUGUUACAUUACACUCUCAAAAGUUGCAAUCAUGUUUUGUCUUUUAUCUAUUUAAAUAAACACUCAAAUCCAUGUUUUGUUUAUCGUCUUUAUGCUCGAGGAUAAGUAUAGACUAAGUUUGGGGGCGUUGAUUAUGUAAAAUGCAUACAUGAACUUUGACGUUUAUAAUGCCAUAUUCCAUCAUAAUUGUAUCGCAUUAUGAGUUAUUACCAUGGUUUUCAAUGAUUUGGGAAACUUCCCAUGAGUUCUCAUUAUUUUGAUAUUUAAUUAUGGAAAGAAGGAAAACCUCUUUUAAGUGUUUUUAACAUUCUAGGAGCUACGGGACUCGAAAAAGGGCACGAUCAGUGGCCACGGUUCAGAAAUUUUGAGAUGCCUCCAGCAAGUCAAAGCAGGCCAUCAGGGUAUCAACAGAAUGCAAAUGGGGCCCCACGGUGCACACCCCCUCCAGGCGCGACGUGCGGCCCACCACGGCCUUCCCUGCCCCUUUUGCCUUCGCUCAUUCGUGUGCAGCUUUGUCUUGACCUAAAACCAUCCAUAUAUACCCCCAAUAAAUUUAAUUCGUGACAUACGGCGACGAAGAGAGGAAACACAAUAACAGAGAUCUACAGGUAAAGACAUGUUUUCCCUCGGAGCUUUUCAUCUCUUAUAAGCAAACACACACACGCCACGAGCUUGACCUCUUGAAGCAUAGAGGAUUGGGCUUUCUCUGAAAAGAGUCACUUUUGUUUACAUUUUACUUGCUUUACUUUACUACACUUUAAAUUCCUCUACUCUAGUAGUUUAUUUCUACAAGUUAAAGAAACCUUGCAUCCGUUAAUUUAUUGGAUCGCAUAAACGGCCGUAUAAGUGGCUUAUAAAUAAUUAGAGAAUAGAUAGUUACCUUCUGCUCCUUGUGGGUUCGACACCAGUACUUAUCAAAAGGUACUACAUUGAUUCCUACACUCGUGUGGGUAUCAAUAUUCUACAUAUACAAAUUUGUGAUUUUAUGCACAAAACACAAAUCAAGUGUAUAUUUUGACGAAAUUACAAAGUGUAAAAUACAUUUAUACUUACACUAGAAAAAGAAUCAAAGCUUCACAAUAUGAUUUUUUUUCAAAUUAUAGGGACCGUGUAGCCAGGAGCCAAAAGUCCAUGUCCGAAGGAAAACUACUUCUCUCUCUACCCAAACGUAUAGAAGAAAACCUUGAGCUUCCAGACAUGGUCGCAUCAUCUCUUCCAUGUCUUCGAAAGCUCUUUAGAGCAUCAUAUCUUCCAUGUCUUCCAACUCUUUGGUCGUCGAGCCAAGUGGAGUUGGGCUGUCUGUUUCGGCGAGAGCAUAUCAGGUGCACCAAGCCCAUUGGUGCACCCGUACGUUGAAGCAACCAGAGCCGCCAUAUGGAAAAUGAAGGGUCCAGAUCAAAACAACGAAGGAAUUCACAUGUUUUAUGUUUAGUCCCUUAAGUUAGUUGUGAAUCAACUCGCGCUCCACUGCUCGUUAGUGUUUCUUGGACUUGGGGGUGGAUUUAAAUAGAACUGAAGGGUGUGAAUGGAAAAGAACACUAUAGAAGAGUGGAGCAUAGGUUGAUUCGCGAUAAACUUAAGGGCCUAGAUGUAAAACGACAAUUGGUUAUGUUUGAUCUAAACUUGGCCCUUGCUUUUCCAUCCAACGGUCCAUGUGGAUUGGACACACAGGGUGCACCAAAUGUCCCAGUGCACCUGAUACGCCCUCCUAUUUCGGCAACUAUACACGUGUCCAAGACUGUCAAGAAACCCGGUCUACUCCCUCAUAAUUGCAUUUAAAUCUAUGAGCUGGCUGAUGACAACUAGCGAAUCAUUGUGCCAUCUGUUGAUUUUUCAAAUCGCUUUGAUCUAUUUGACGAUCUUGGGAACGAUUGUACAAAAGCAAAUGUUCCCCUUGGUAGAAAGAAACGCCUGGUUAAAUUUCCACCAAACCGUCCUCUCUCGGCUAGUACUUAUGCAUUUGUCCUCGAAUUUGGCUUAAAUAGGGUUCUCCAAAUUAUCCGCAACAUCCGUAAGUUUUGUUCUCUCGCAUGCCCUUUCAUGUUUGUGUUGAAAGUUUUGGGAGAGAUGGAUUUAGACUACUUGAAUUCCAGCUUUGUGCAUGAUUUGGUUGUGUUUAUUAUUAUCUUCUCACAUAGAUCUAAUAUGUCCUCUGCGUUUCGUAGGAUCGUGAAGCAGGUUGGGAAGCCCGUUGACGUUGUAGAAAGACAUCAUAUCUUCGUUCUGAGUUCAGAGGUGAGAACUUUGUUCCGAUAUGUUUUUCACGUUAUGUUCUUGUAAUAUAGAUCUGAUGUCGCUUUAGUUCUUUGUUAUAUCAAUACAAGGUAAAUUUGCACUUAUCAAAAGGAAGAUGAACUACCAAGUUCUAGUGCAAACUCUCUUUUGGUCCUUCGUUCAUGCAAAUUUACGUGUUUAAUUUCUCGCCCUUGAUAUGCAACAAUUGGUUGGGAAAGGAUAAAACCUGAUAGAUGAGUCCUUCAAGAGCGCCUAGGAUUCAUGAAUGAAAUUGGUCUAAACGUCUCGUUUUCAUCGACUUAUUCAUUAUUCAUCUAAGGAUAAACAAACUUGUGAUGAUGCUUUGCCAUUGUUUGGUUGAUUGGAUUUGAUCUAUGUAAUAUGGUUCCUAGGUUCUUGUCUGAGUGAAGAUAAUCAAGUGGAAAACUAGACAGUUUACAUCCUGUAACUACUAAAUUGAUUCAAAAUCACCCACAAGAUUGUGUCAUGUAGUAUUUUUGUCAUGCUUGCAGUUACAAUCAUUUGAUUUUUAUGGUGCGGAUCAUUACGUACAUUGUGGUCAACAAUCCUUGUAUGCACACCAGCACACUUGCCCAUGUAAUCAUUUAAGACCAUUGAAUGUGCAAGCUGAAGAUAAAUAUAUUUUGAAUUUGGUGAUAUUUUAUAAAUUUGAUGAACUUUUCCUCCUUGGAAUAGCACACAAGUUGUUUUGAAGUCCUUGCAUAUCAGAAUUCAGAACACAUGGAGUAAACUAGAAAUAAGAUGAGACUGUAAAGUUGUUUUCUUGAGAAAAGCUAAUGCCCAUGAGUUAUGAAAAAGAAAAACUAUUCCAGUGUUUAGCCAUUAUUUAUGCAAAUUCAUAGGUGUUUAAUUAUUUCAUUGAUCAGCGUAUGAUUUAAAAUAUUUUUUAGGUGAGGAUUGAUUGCAAAGAUUAAACCCACAACACACUCCCAAUUAAAUAAAAUUAUUGUGCAUUAUUAUAUUAAUUGUCGCAAUUAAAUACAAUUAGUAUACAUCACUCAUUUUAACCGGCAAUAUCAAUGUGUCAUCAUUGUAUUUAAUAUUUUGGGAGCAAAUAAUUAUUGCACAUUAUUAUAUUAAUUUUCUCAAUUAAAUACAAUUAGUAUACAUCACUCAUUUUAACGGGCAAUAUCAAUGCGUCAUCAAAGAGUGUAAUUAUUUGUCAUCAAGUUGUAUAAUUAAAAUUGUCCCUAUGUCACACAAACAAACAGCAACUACACUCACGUAGAUAAGAAGAAUGCUGUGUGGGGCCAAACAUAGAGGCGCUGCUCGCUGCAACUGACAUCAAGAGCUGCCACGAUGCAGGAGGAAGCCAUACCUUCUAAGGAUCCAAUCAGGUUUCUACGUUAGGAGACAUUCAUGUUUUUCCAUUAGAAGUCCUAGUCUUGGAUUAUAUUAGAAGUCGUGUGUAUUUUCCACAAGCGAAAGAGAAGAUAAAACAUUUUCAUGGACGGCAUUCUCCAAACAAAGAAGAACAACUAGCAAAGUUAAGGAUAACUAGGUGGGAGACUACGUCGUCUUCUAUGCUUAUGCUGGGAGAACACCUCACCGAUCGUCUCUUCUUCCAAUUAUGCAACGUGUAACCAUCUGUCGGCCAUCGUACCGUGAAAGCAAAAAUUAACGAACCAAGUGUGUACAUGACAUAUCACUUGUUGGCGAGAAGACAUUUUCCUCUUGUCAUAUAUCACACCAUUUAUGCAUGGCCAUGAGGACCAACAAAAACUAGACAUGCACACUAACCAAGAUUUGGAUCUUGGAUCAUAGUAUACCAAUACCCAGGAGCCAAUAGCAAAAUGGCACAGCAGCCGCUCUGAAAUCCCUGAUCGCUAGUAGCUUACUGGCCGGCGUGCAGAAACAUACACAUGUGGAUCGCCUGGAUCGCCGGCCUGCACCUGCAGUGUUCCUGCAUGCAGGGAAAUUAUCUUUACCAACAUUCCAAAAUAAAUUAGUGUCAAGAUGAGCAAAUGAACCGCAAAAACACAAAAGGGCGUCAAAAAGGUGCUUGCGAUCAUAGGCGCAGCCAGGCCCCAGGCAACACGGGCCACGGCCUAGGGCGUGGCCAAAAUUUUCAAGCUAAAAAAGAAAAGAAAUUAGGUUUGGCAUGGGGUGUCGUGGCCCACUGGCCCAAGCCAGCUAGCCCAGCCCAGGGCGUGAGCAAUUCAUGACUCCGCCCCUGCUUGCGAUGAAGUUUAAGUCAGAAUAAAGCAGCUAGUAGUGAAGAAUAAAGUGAUGGCUAUGCGCCAAGAUGAGAGACAGAACAAAAAACGAAAAUCAAGAAAAGAAAAUACAUGAACACACAAUUCCAGAGAGAGAGAAAAGCUAAGAAUCCACCAGGCAUCUCUAAUCUUUUCUAGUUUGUUGUGAAUCAACUCGCGCUCCACUGCUCUUUUGUGUUUCUUGGACUGGGGGGGGGGGGGUGGAUUUAAAUAGAACUGAAGGGUGUGAAUGGAAAAGAACAUUAUAGAAGAGUGGAGCGUUGGUUGAUUCACGAUAAACUUAAGGGCCUAGAAGUAAAAUGGCAAAUGGUUAUGUUUGAUCUAAACUUGGCCCUUGUUUUUCCAUCCAACGGUCCACGUGGAUCGGGCGCACCAAAUGGCCCAGUGCACCUGAUACGCCCUCCUAUUUCGGCAACUACACGUGUCCAAGACCUACCAGAAACCCGGUCUACUCACUCAUAAUUGCAUUUAAAUCUAUGAGCUGGCUGAUGACAACUAGCGAAUCAUUGUGCCAUCUGUUGAUUUUUCAAAUCGCUUUGAUCUAUUUGACGAUCUUGGAAACGAUUGUAUAAAAGCAUAUGUUCCCCUUGGUAGAAAGAAACGCCUGGUUAAAUUUCCAGCAAACCGUCCUCUCUCGGCUAGUACUUAUGCAUCUGUCCUCGAACUUGGCGUAAAUUGGGUUCUCCAAAGUAUCCGCAACAUCCGUAAGUUUUGUUCUCUCGCAUGCCCUUUCAUGUUUGUGUUGAUAGUUUAGGGAGAGAUGGAUUUAGACUACUUGAAUUCCAGCUUUGUGCAUGAUUUGGUUGUGUUUAUUACUGUCUUCUCACAUAGAUCUAAUAUGUCCUAUGCGUUUCAUAGGAUCGUGGAGCAGUUUGGCAAGCCCGUUGACGUUGUAGAAAGAUAUCAUAUCUUCGUUCUGAGUUUAGAGGUGAGAACUUUGUUCCGAUAUGUUUUUCCCUUUAUGUUCUUGGAUAAUAUAGAUCUGAUGCCGCUCUAGUUCUUUGUGUCAUCUAGUAUUUUUUUUUCAUGCUUGCGGUUACAAUCAUUUGAUUUUUAUGGUGCGGAUCAUUACGUUCAUUGUGUUCAACUAUUCUUGUAUACACACCAGCACACUUGCCCAUGUAAUCAUUUAGAACCAUUGAACGUCCAAGGCGAAGAUAAAUAUAUUUUGAAUUUGGUGAUAUUUUAUAAAUUGUAUGAACUUUUCCUCCUUCGAAAUCGCACACGAGUUGUUUUGAAGUCCUUGCAUAUCAGCAUUCAGAAACAUGGAGUAAACUAGAAAUAAGAUGAGACUGUAAAGUUGUUUUCUUGAGAAAAGCUAAUGCCCAAUGAGUUAGGAAAAAUAAAAAUUAUUUCAGCGUUUAGCCAUUAUUUAUGCAAAUUAAUAGGUGUUUAAUUAUUUCAUUGAUCAGCGUAUGAUUUAAAAUAUUUUUUAGGUGAGGAUUGAUUGCAAAGAUUAAACCCACACGGCACACUCCCAACUAAUUAAAAUUAUUGUGCAUUAUUAUAUUAAUUUUCACAAUUAAAUACAAUUAGUAUACAUCACUCAUUUUAACUAGCGAUAUCAAUGCGUCAUCAUUGUAUUAAUAUUUAGGGAGCAAAUAAUUAUUGUACAUUAUUAUAUUAAUUUUCUCAAUUAAAUACAAUUAGUAUACAUCACUCAUUUCAAUACGUCAUCAAACAGUGUAAUUGUUUGUCCCUAUGUCACGCACACAAACAGCAACUAUCCUCGCCUAGAUAAGAAGAAUGUUGUGUGGGGCCAAACAUAAAGGCGCCGCUAGCUGCAACUGGCAUGAGGACCAACAAAAACUAGACAUGCACACUAACCAAGAUUUGGGAUCUUGGAUCAUAGUAUACCAAUACCCAGGAGCCAAUUGCAAAUUGGCACAGCAGCCGCUCUGAAAUCCCUGAACGCUAACUCACUGGCCGGCGUGUAGAAACGUACACAUGUCGAUGGCCGGCCUGCACUUGCAGUGUUCCUGCAUGCAGGGAAAUAAUCUUUUGCACUCGUACAAGUCCAGCUUUAUUUGUUGGCAGCAAGUCAAAGAUGUGUCGUGGCCUGCACCGCCGCAGCCAAUCCACAUCGGCACGAUUUACUUGCGCAAUUAUACGUUGAUUUAGUACCUGUUCGAGUAUUAUUUUGUUUCUUUUGAAAUUUCAACCAGCGCAUAUGUAGGAGUAAAUAGUAAACAGUUCCAUGGACUUGUGCUGGGCAGUACUGGCCCAAUCUUGGACGGUGGAGUACUGUACUACGAUGGGCCUGAACCGGACCUGAGUCCAGCAAUGUAUGUACACCAAGUUUGACCAAAGCCCAAUAUUGCUUAAGUCUAUUUUUAGACCACAAGCAUCACCCUAACAGAAAGAUAUGUAUGCACUGUACUGUUGCAAGUCAACAAGCUUUACAUGCAUCACCCUAACAGAAAGGAAUGAAAGAAAAUAAUGUCUUCAAGUCACACACGGGUGCCUAGGUACUGCUGUCUCCUUUUACCAACAUUCCGAAACCCAUAAAAAUUAAUGUCAAGAUGAGCAAAUGAACCGAAAAAACACAAAAGGGCGUCAAAAGGUGCUUGCGAUGAAGUUUAAGUCAGAAUAAAAUAGCUAGUAGUGAAGAAUAAAGUGAUGGCUAUGCGCAAAGAUGAGAGACAAAAUAAAAAAGAAAUUCAAGAAAAAAAAUGCAUGAGCACAUAAACCCAGAGGGAGAGAAAAGCUAAGGAUCCAGGCAUCUCUAAUCCUUUCCCGUUGAGCAAGAGAGAUAUUCUUGGAUGAUCCAGCCUUAUAUUGUUCCCAAAGACCAUAUCUAGGAUGAACAUUCCUCGUGAUCUAGGGGGACAUUCAGUUGAUAGAAAGAAAAAGGAGGGUGUCUUGUUUGCUGUACCUUAAAGAUGAUCAUUCUGUGAGGCACUUUGCAUGUCCAGCAGACCAGCACCACUUCAUAAUAUUCACCACCAAAAGAAGUGAUUAGGACCUUUCUCCCCACAGGGGAAAGGGAAUCUUAUUCCUCCGAGGUGAUCAUUAGUUUAAUCUCAUCAUGUUUGCAUAUGCCCUAAUCCCAAGUGCAGCUGUGUGCAUGCGUGUGUUGUUAAAAAAGACUUUGGCAAUUUUAUUUCUUUCGGAAGAGAAUGUUGUGCCGUUAGAGGGGCAUCACCACGCUAUCACUAGUCACUAGUUUCUAGGCAUUCAGACAGGCAAACAGACAAAGAAAAAAAGUUGCAGGAUCCAAGACUAGUAUUAAGUGGGCCUAAUGACAGUAAUAUCUUUGCACACCCCAAGGUGAUGAUGCAUGGAGUACAGUAGGUGCUAGCUCCAAAUUCAUCAUGAUAGAUGGCCAAAUGAUAAGAAUCUCCGAGAUGGCAUCUUGUGGAUGCAGAGAGUCAGCUAACAGUAGGCCAUGCUUAAUUAGGACAUACAAGUCACUCUAAUCAGGGGUGCUGCCGUGCACAUGCUGGCCCAAAGGGGAAAGUUGUAGACUGAUUAUUCUUUUUCUUUUUCUUUUUUUAAGACGCCCCCUAAUCUGUUCGUUAAUUGCUGGUGUCACUGACAUAUCUGCUGUUAGCCUCCAGAGCAUGCACAUUCCAGUGCUGUUUUUUUUUCCGAAAAAGGCAGGAGCUCUGCCAUGUAAUAUUAGAAGAAAAAAAAUAUAGGUACAAGAAUCAUUUUUUUGCCGAGAAUUCCAGUGCUGUUAUUUUUUAUGCUUGCACAUUUCCAGGAAGCAUCAGAUGAUUGGUUAGUGGUGGUCACGGGGGGUAUCCUUAGGAGAGGGGGUGUGGUGGUCAACUCUUAGGGCACAAUGAUGAUACAGACAAACCCACUAUGCUCUGCUACAACCUGACGACUGAGCCUGAUAAUACUGUUACUUACAACUUUCUUUUAGUACUCCAAUGUAGAAACAUAUGCAUCCAGCUUAAUUCUUUUUUCAUAACCUUAUGCCAAUAUAUAGGAGAACAUGAGUUAGGUUUGGAUAGUUUUUGUUAUGAAUUUUGUAAGUACCCAUUCAUUGGUGAAUUAUGCAGAGUGUUAUACCCAUUGCUGACACUUAUAUACUACAUUCUCUUAGUUAUACUUACUGCCCCAUGAUUUCUUUCUUGCUAAUUCCAUCUUGUAUGCAUGAGGAUUCUUAUUUCUUUUGUGCUUACUGAAUUUGGUUGACAUGCUAUUUCUAAAUGCCACGUCUUUUUCUCUUGAAACAUACAUGUUAUACCUCAAUAGUUUCAGCAAUGUUUUUCUUUUCUUCAAUUUACCAUGAAGUUCUACAAUGAUUGAUAUAUAUGGACUUAAAUUUUCAUGUGGUUGCAAUGUGCUUAAUUUAAUAUGUACUGGCGUUACUUUAAGAGCAUACGCAAAUUAGAUGUUUUUUUCAGUUUUCUUUCACAUCAAGCAUGUAAAACUGGUAGGUAUACUUGUAAAUGUGAAAAUAGUUUCUUCAGUUGUGUUAGUCGAACAUGAUAACUUGCAUUACUAGUUUUAAAAAUCCAACUAUAUAUGUUUUGUGUCAUGUGAAGAAGCUAGUGUUCAAAAUAGAAUACAUUUGUCUAUGUGAAGAGGGAAAAAAAAUUAGAAGCACCAUGCAUAGUAUUAAAGUGAUGCCGUUACAUCCAUCUCGUAGCAGCAGUUAUGACCUGUGAUCAGGGGAAACACUGUCCAUGAAUUGAUGGGGUCGGACUAUAGAAUUUGAUAUUACGCUUGCUUAUGCAUGAGAAUUAAAUACCCAGCACAAGGGGUUUGUGAUGGUAUACAUACUAGAGCCCAUGAGGGGCAUUAAUUCCUAACUCGAUCCAUUCUUCUCAGUUCUUCAGGAAACCUCUAGCUACUCUAGCAUUCUGCCCCCCCCCCCUCUCACCCCUUAAGAUGAGAGAGAAAAGAGGUUUUGGGGUGUUUAAAACAAGCAAAUUGACAGAAAUCACAGGCACAGUGGAGGCAAGGCAUGCCCGUCUUGUUCCCAUCUCUCUCUCUCUUCUGACACACCACAGCCUGCCCCUCUCACUCUCUCUCACCCUCUCCAUGGAGCAAGCUUUUUUACUGAAGCAAUGAAGUCAAGCAAUCAAGUGAUAAGCUUGCAUUCCUGAUAGUGCAAGCAAAGCAAAGCGCUUGAAGACAGCCUCCCUUGUCCUCCUUCCUCUAGCCUUGCCUUCUUCACUUCUCCACCCCCCUUCACAGGCGCCCACAUCUCCUUCCACCAUCUCCAUUCCCUCGUAUACUAUUUUCUUUCUGUUGGCACUUUGUGUGAUGUGCCCUAGGCCCUAUAGGCUAUAGCCCCCUAGUCACUUCACUACAAUGGUGGAAGCUGCAAACACUGGAGGCCUUGCCCCUUCUUUGUCCUCUUGAUUAGCCCUUGACAAACAAACACAAGGUCCGUUUGCUUUUGGUCUCUCUCUCUCUUCCCACUGUGCAUAGCAGUGUAGGGAGAAAAAACCCUCUGGAUGGUCUCUCUCACUGUCUCACACACACACAUAAACACAAAGAAUUAACAUCUGCACAUGAAGCUCCUCCUCCUUUAGUUUCUAGUCCUUGUUGUUGUGCAUUUAGUCCACAAAGAAAAAACUAGCUGGUACUAGUAGUGGUGGUGUAUAUGUAGUCGUAAGAGUAACUAGUAAAACCUCCACAAAGUAAGCACCCCUCCCUCCCUCUCUUUGCCCAAGAAGAGCUCGACUGUUCAUCCUCCCCUUCCUCCAUGCAUCCUUCCACUGGCUAGUUAUAGUGAGUAGCAGCAGCUGUCUUCUCUCUUCUUAAGCAUCUCCUCCCUUCUUCCUUCUUCUAAUCUACUUGUUUGUCUGGGGAGGGGGGCAAGAGUAGCUCAACACAGUAGAGGCUGAUAAGCUAGAUAGAGAUAGCUAGGACUAGGAGGAAUUAAUAGGAUAAUAUUAUAAAAUAUCUGCAUUUUUCUUCCAUGGUCCAAUUGAGCAUGCAAACUAUAGAGUAGCUUAGAUUAAUAAGCUCAUCUCCUCCAUCUUGGAGAGAGUUUGCAAGUGGUUGUAGUAGUAUCUUCUUGAUAAGGUCCCCAAGAUCCCACACCACAGCAUACCAUACAUGCACCUCGGUUUCCUUUUUGUUCUCCACACACACAUACUCUCUCUCUCUCUUUACUUUAUACUUUAGUGCCUUCCUGUUUCGAGUCCCAAGAAACACUGAGAAUUUUGUUAGCGUCCUCGUGAGAGAGCCGAUUGAAUCAGGCCACUGACAAUUUUUCCUCUGUGUAAUUUCUCAUGGUUUCCAUUGUGCCGCUGCAGAGAAGGCAAGCAGAAGCAAGGAUGGAUCUCUCCGGCACCACCCGCGGCGAGCUCCCGAUCCCCAUGAACGCCUCCUACGGUCCUGCCGCUGCCGCUGGCUCCGUCGUAGUCUCCGGCGCCGGCCACUCCCAUGCCGCCGCCGCCCACAACGGGCAGCAGCAGAUGACGGCUCCUCUGAUGCCUGCUGCUGAGGUGGCGAACAACAACGCUGCUGCCGCCAUUGGCAUUGGCGGCAAGAAGCGCUCUGCUGCUGCAAGCGCUGGAGCUGGAGCUGGGAUUCGGGCUGGCAAUGGCGCCGGGGGAGCGCCGCUGGCAAUGGUGAAGUACAGGGAAUGUCUGAAGAACCAUGCCGCGGCGAUUGGGGGAAAUGCUACUGAUGGCUGCGGCGAAUUCAUGCCGAGCGGCGAGGAAGGGUCGCUGGAGGCCUUCAAGUGCUCCGCCUGCGGCUGCCACAGAAACUUCCACCGCAAGGACUUCGACGACGACCUCGCUCUCCACCGCCGUCUGCUCCUCGGGCCCCACCACCUCAUCCCCAGGGGCCCCAUCGUCCCCAGCUCCGGCGCCGGAGACCACUACGGCGUUGGAGGCGGCGCCGCCUACGCCCGCGCCGCCCUGCCCCCGCCGCAGCACCCGCAUCAGAUCGUGAUGCCGCUCAACAUGAUCCACUCCUCGGAGUCGGACGAGAUCAUGGAGGGCGGCCAUGGCAUUGGGGGAGCGGUGCUCUCCCGCUCCCUUGGCCAUGGCGGCGGCGGGGCGUCUUCUUCGCAGCAGAAGCGGUUCCGCACCAAGUUCACCCCGGAGCAGAAGGCGCGGAUGCUGGCGUUCGCGGAGCGCGUGGGGUGGCGGCUGCAGCGGGCCGACGACACCGCCGUGCAGCGCUUCUGCCAGGAGGUCGGCGUCAAGCGCCGGGUGCUCAAGGUGUGGAUGCACAACAACAAACAUAACCUCGCCUCCAACAAGCUCCCCAUCCCCAGCACCCCAAACUCGCCCCAAGCUGAAGCUCAAGCUCAGGAUCAAGACCAGCCUCCAAUGGCGCCCGCGCCGGUGAAUUCCAUGCCGCCGCCGCCGGAGCAGGAGCCCGGGCAGGACGAUCAGCAGCUCGACCUCGAGUGAUCGAUCAGAUUGGCAGUGGUUCUUGGUGAUUCUGCUAGCUAGCCAUAGCAAAAAACCCAGCAUUUGCGUUUAUUUUUACUGUUCUAUCGGACCGAUCGGAUUUUAUUAAUUUGCGGGGAGGGAGGACGAAGAACCCAAAGAAACUAGGCCCGUGGUUAUUAUUAUUAUCGUCGUCGUCUUUUUUUUAAUCUUGGCAUAAGGUAGGGGAGGACAUAACUGAGCUGCUCUGCUCAACUUCCGGUUAUUAUUAAAAAAAAAUUCCUGGACUUGCAUUUUUUUUGCCCUGCCAUUUUUCCCUGACUUUUAAGUCUAGCUCUAGCAGCGGCUGAUGUGCCUGGCUGAGCAUUUGUCUUGUCAUGGAUCAGAGGGUUUUAUUGAAUUAAUUCUGACUUUUUUAAUAUUUCUCCCUUGGUAUUAUUAUAUCUGUGUGGUUUCUUAGAUUAAUCUGUGCUCUGGUGUGGUAUUAUAGUUAUAUGUGAUUUGAGGAAUUUUAUUUAGAUAUAUAAUGUGAUGGGAGAUGAUGCACAAAAACAAAGAGAGAGCAUGAGCUGGGAUGCAAAUCUCUGCUCAUGUCUUGUGUCUUUCAUGCCCACUGUUGAUGACAUGAUGCGCAUGCACGGUGCACCCCUUUGCUUAAUCUGCAGUUGCUGUCGGUGCUCUUACUGUGGCCUGCCCUGCACUGCAUGCCUGAUCUCAUCUCAUCAGUUUUAUUUACAUCCAUCUCUCAACUCACCAAGAAAUUUAAAAAAAAAGAGGGAAGGGUUUCAGAGGAGAUAGGUGCAGCAGGCAAACAAAAACGGUGAGAAUUAAUACCCCUGUUUGUCCCAUUUCUCUCUUUGGGGGCAGAUAAUGCUCAUUAGUCCUUUGCCCCUGCAGCACAGCACAGCACAGCUACAGGCUUGGCCCCAAGCAGUCAAUCGGGGCAUUGGGGCCGUGUAGGUGUGCAGGGGGGCAGGGGAGCAUGUGGCAAACGAAUCUGAAGGUAGUUUGGAACUUUGGAUUGCCUUGUGGUGUAGUUGGAAUUGCAACAAGGGAGAGGAGCAAGCAAUGCAUUGCUAGCCUGCUAGGUGGCUGUGGCUGUGGCUGGUCCCCCGAUUUGUCCUCCGGCAGGAGAUUUCUUGCUACGGCUUCUCUUGAUUGUUUUACCCUCAAUUGAUCCCUACUACUUCCUAUGAUAAAUGGCUCCGCCUGCCUGGCUGCCUGUGAGGAUCAAGAUUUCAAGUACUACCGAUCUGCUGGUCUUAAGUACAGGUUUUGGUACUGCAAAUGAUGUGAAAUUGGAUUUCUGUUAGUAGUACCUGCUUGAUCCUUUACUAAUGUCUCUCUGUAAGUGUGAUUCAAGUACUGAUUUGUUUUAAGAUGAGAUUCAAGUACUGCUGAUUUGGCGGUCUCACCCUCAAGUAGAUGUGUGAUUGGUUUUUUGUACCGGCUUGAUAAUAAUAGAUGUAUGCUUGCUGGGACAAGCUUUUUUAAGGAGAUCAAGUGCUGCUGAGACGAAACUAAUUGCCGUGCCAAUGUUUUAUUGUCCCUCUGUGCGUCGUGUACUUUCUUUGCCGACCUGUAAUGGUGGCAGGAGCGUUUUAUGUCACUAACGCUGCGGGCAUUUACCCUGAAAUGACAAGCUGCUGCCUGGUUUAAGUGAUUUGCGGUGUCCUGGCCCAUGGGAGUAACGCUGCUCACUCCGAUCCUAAAUUGUUUUCGAAAUAUUACAUGUAUCUAAACGUUUUUUAAAAAUAGAUACAUCGAUAUUCGGACAAAUUUGAGUCAAGAAUUUAGGAUCGUCCCUUUGGAUUAAAUGCUUCUUUGUACAAAUAUUCUAAGAUAAAUGCUAAUCGUUUUUAUGAAAACCUUGCAGUAAAAAUGACACCGUGCAUCGAUUGUUCCAGAGAGGUCAGGAAUCUUUUCACAUUUUCGGAAAAAAAAAAUGCCGCCGUGAACCCCCUUACUGGAUAUUUAAACCCCAGAACUUCAAUAAAAGAAAGUAAAAUGCCACUUUCAAAAAAGAAAAUGUAAAAUGCAUCACAGGUUCCGGGUGUCAAGUUGGUUCUAGUCCUAAGAGAAAUUAAAGUGAUGCAUCACAAUUGAGUUCUCCGUGAUCCUGUCAAGUUGGUACCUGCUUCUAUUUAGUUCUCCUUCUGCUACAUUGCACAGCAAUCUGGAUCCUGGAUGCCGAGGCAAGAGGCUCUCCUAGGAGAUCAUGUGCCGAGACAAAACUCACUAGUGCUAAGUACACGUUGUGCCAAUGUUUUCUGUGUGUCCGACCUGCGUUGGCAGGGGCGUUUUACGUCACUAGUGCUGCGGUCAUUUAAGCUGAAAUGUACAGGCUAGUACUGUUAAGAAUAUAAAUAUACUGACUAGCCUCUUUCUGUAAGUUCGUACUUUUGGUUCAAGUGGCUAGCGCAUCAAUCUAAUGGUGCUAGUUCUUUUCGGUUUCCUGGACCGGUUUGUCUGAGAAGCUACCCUCCACCAGUUUCCUGUAGAAGCCACCACCUAAUUUGAUUAGGUUAUCAAACUAGUUUGGAUUAAAUUACUUUGAAAAGCUAGCUAAAUUAAAGAUGCGGCUUCUCCAAGAAACUAGGUGAGAGCAGUUUCUAGGAGAAGCCAGUUCUAGAAGUCGAAAAGAACGAAACCAUGGUAUUGGAGUCAAGAGGUCUCAAGUUCAACACCUUGCUCACGCAGUAUUAAAAAAAACGAUUCUACGGCCUACACCGAAUCGACGCUAAGGACUAAAAUAGCUUAGACGUGAAGAGGAGUGUUGAGAAUAUAAAUAUAUUGACUAGGCUCUUUCCGUAAAUUCGGACUUUUGGUUCAAGUGGCUAGCACAUCAAUCUAAUAAGUACUAGUGUUCUGUCCCCUCGCAGAGAGUAAUGUUAUGUUUAUCCAGUUUAGAGACUAGAGUUGUUUAUCCAGUUUAGAGACUAGAGUUUGGUACUCCGUCCGAUCUAUAUUAAUUAGCUUAAAUUUGUCCAAAUAUGUAUGUAUAUAUGUCUAAAAAACGUUUAUAUAUAUAUAUAUAUGUAAUAUUUCGACAAGUAAUAUGGAUUAGAGGGAGUACUUAUCUUGUGGCCUUGGAUGUUAGGCCGAAUAUGGUGAGUUACUUGUUCAAUCGCCGUUUCACGGAAAAUUGGGUAGGGGAAUGAAGAAAAUGAUGCAUGCUAGAAAGGCCAAAAAUAUUACUGCAUGCUGAUUUUAAACUGCAUUGCUUCAUGCUGUGCCAGGUUUGAUCCUCAUUUGUCUCGUCUGGGCCAUGGGGCCAUGCUAUUUGCAUACAUGUCACUUUGGAUUCAAGGCAAGUCCUAGAAAUCCUGUUAAGCUGAUCUCUUCUCCUUGACUCGUGUGCAGAAGGCCUGUAGUCCGGUAGGUUGCUUGCGGCCUAUAUGAACCGGAAACGAGGGUUCACCUCAUCAUGUUCGAGAAUGUAAAUUCAGUCGAUGGAUUUGGUUUGGUUGUGUGCGUCACUUGAUGCAGGGACCUUCUUUUUUUCCGAAAAAAUAAGUGGAGGAUUUGGCGUUGGUCAAUAACUGGUUCGGCUUUGAUCUUGAUCUGAUUCCGCCAACACGGUCGUAUAGUUAUUCUUUUAAAAAAGGCGAAUUCUCUGGCCAAGCGAUGUACACAACCAUCACACGGUCGUACAGUGGUGGCAUGACAACUUCUUUGACUCGUGAAACCGUAGAAAGGCGAUCACCUAGUUUCUUGUAUUUGUCUUAUGGAAGAUUUGGAGCGAACGCAACGUCCGCGUUUUCGGAACCUAGUCAUACUGCCCUCGAUCAUCUUGCUCGCAUCGAAAGCACGACAAAUUGAGUACUUGCCGGGGCCAAGCAUCUCAGGUCAAUUUUAACGAGAGAGUAGAGUCGGUUGUCGUCCUUGUUUUUAGCGCUUGUCUUGGAUCUCUUUGAUCUAACUUUUUCUCUAUUAAUGAAACGAGACUUCUGCCUCCAUUUAAAUAAAAUGAAAAUAAAAUGAACCAAACUCCCCCUUCUUGGUGCCAGAAUUUGGGUUGUCAUGUGCAUGACCAACAUGCAUGCGCACGGUGCAGCCUUGUGUUGUGUUGAUAUCGUUGUACUACGAUGUCUCCAUCGUACAGUAAAGUGCAAAUAUUUGACUCGAGCUGUAUGGAAUUUUUAGUCAAGUUUCUACAAAACAUCUAUCAGUUUUUAAAAAGCAAAAAAUAUUGAUGUACAUAUUAAUCUAUAUACCACAUAUGUGUAAAAAAUUACUAAGAAAAUCUGCCAUGUGAGAUAAGUAAAAAAAAUACAAGUUGAUGAAGUGCAUCUAGUGAAAGUCACAUCAAAUUUUCGGGCUCCAUGGAGCCUGAGCUCUACAAGCAAUUUUGCUAAAAUUGGCACUGCACUUUGAAGGCUCCUUUAAUUCAAAAGAUUUUUUUAAAAUAAAUUUGAAUUAUUAGAAUUUUUUCGAUGGAGGCAUUGAAGGCUCCUUUAGUGCAAUUUGGUUGGUUGAUUUGUAAGAUUGAGUCUCGUAGAUUUUUUUUCGAAGUUCUCAACUUUGUACUUAAUUCAAGACACUUAUUAUGGAUCGGAGAGAAUACUUGUAGUUGAUACUAAAUUUUUACUCGCAAAAAAAAGUUUAUACUACAUUUUUAAGUUCUUGGAAAUCGUUUCUUCUUUUCGUGGUAGAAUCAAACAAACUUUCUGUACAAAUUCAAUGCAGUAGGAUUCGAGCGGACCCUGAUCCAGUGUGUUUCAGAUUCCUGCGUUUUAUCAUUUAUCCUGCAAAUGAAAAAGCUCUAAGCAAGUACUUUUUCCCUCAAAAGUAAACGACUGCAGCAUCAUACUCGAAGAAUAUGGUCACAUCCAACAGUUCGUAUCCGAAUUCUGACGAGGUGAAAAUAUAGACACACGCAAUGGAGAAGGCCUGAGUGCUUGGACAUACUGACGACACGAGCGAAAAUUGCAAGAAUCCAGCAGAAGAUGCUCAGUAAAACAAACAGGCAUCGCACAAAUAUACAUGUGGGUUGUAGUACUGCACAAAAAUAUACAUAGAAAACAAUAAAACGCUUAGAUUUGAAUGUUUGAAACCAAUGUAACAAAAGGAGAACGAACAGCAGCGCCUUGCAGCUGUGCUGAGAUGAGAUAACCCAUGUGUUGUUGCAGGGGAGCCCAACCAAAACGCCCUCUUCCCAGCAGCUGAGCUGACAUAACCCAUGUGUGUCAGUGCUGCUGCAGAUGGAUCCGUGGUGGUUGCUGCCAAGGCAAGCAGGCAAGCCAUCGGAUCAGUCCCAUGUUCUUGGCAUCAGAACACCAUCGCCCCUCUUUGCUUACGUUCGGCUGAAGUUCAAUGCUCUGUUUGGUCCAUAUUAAUUCGCUGAUUUAGUAUGAAGUUGUACUAUCAGCCACAACCGUAUGGAUCGGAGGGAGCGGUACUAUCUAUACAGGAAGCAUUACCACCAGUUUUUUCUUAAAAAUUUGGUUGUUUCACAAGUGGAUUUUGAGAUUUUGCUUAGAUAAGGUGUCUGCCUGGAGUUGUUGUGCAAAAAAAAAAAAAAUUCUAUUCCAAAACUUUAUCACAAAUGGGUAUGAAGACCACAGAUCGAUCUCCGUUUUAGAAGGGACUCUUGGGAAUGAGAUGGUCUUUCUUUCUAUGCGUGUCUAUUCACUGUUAACGAUGGUAUGAGAGUUUGUUUUCAUGAGGACACGUGGUUGGGUUCUUCUCAUUUAAAGGAUCAAUUUCUGUCUUUUAUCGAAUUACGCUCAAUCGACGGGUUUCACUGGUCCAUGUUUAGUCGAGGCCCCUCCUAAUAUUGCCUUUAGGAGGACUAUCGUUGGCGCAAGAUUGACAACUUGGAAUAAGUUAUGUGCUAACUUGGCUUCUUUGCAUUCCAAUGACCAACCCAAUGCGUUUUGGGUCUUACUACAUGGGUUGGCUCGCCAUGAAAUCCUUAUGUAAGACAUUAAUCAUUUUGAAUUGCCAAUUUCACCAUAAUGUCAUUUGGAAGCUUAAAUGUUCAUGCUAAGAUAAAAAAUAUAUUUGCCUGGUAUCUUUAUAGAGGGGUGGUGACAAUGUGAUCGAACCCUAAACCCUCAUCCUAUGGGAAUGGUAGUUUCCCUCAUUUCGUUUAUGAUGUCUCCGAAAAUCACUACUUGCCCUGUAAAUUUUGUAAAAAAAACACAUAAAUAUUUUCUGUCUAUACAUAAAUCACAAAUGGACACAUGACAAAUCAUGUAAAUUAUAAACGUCUUUUGUACAAUAACUCGUCUUGUGAUUUCCACAAGGCUUCCAAAUGAUCAUAUUCAUGGCAAAAGUUACAUAUAGGCACAAUUUUACCAAUGCCUAAUGCAAUAUCAAAAGACCACAUUUCCACAGAAAACGUUAAAAAAACAACGAGAAAACAUGUGCUUGGCUUCGGCGUGACCUUGUGUUUUCCUGAACGCUGACCAUGAGAAACUCUGAACACCUUAUCAUUCAACUCCAUGCAUGAUUACAACAACAACGUGAAGCUGUGAACCCAAGAAAAGAAAAAUCAAACAAACGCCAGGAAAGGUAAACCCAGCUCCCAACUUUCAGACAAACUAAAGCCGGCUGCACCAAACAUUCUAUCCAUCACACACGCACACACACGGCCCCUACAGCAAAAAGCUCUGAACCCACAGCACAGCAGCGAGAGAUAGAGUUUAAUGAGGCGCUGAGCACGCAUGCACGGGCACGGACGGACGGGCAUGCAUUGCAAAGUCAGUCAGGCAGGCUGCAAGAACAGUUUUAAGGCAGGGAAGAGGGAGAGAGCAUCGAGCACCGCGCCGAUCGUAAAAGAAGGAAAAACAAAGGCGCAGGAGCGUGAAAUGCAGUAAAAAAGGGGUCGGAUCAUCGGAGCCCGCCGUGUAAUCGCAAUCGAACGCCGUGGUACGAAGAGAUUCCGGGGCGCUUUCUUAUCAGGAAAACCGAUGGAUUCGCGGGCAACGGGCAUGCAUUGCUGCAGCGUGGUGUCAUUUCUCUGGUGCGUGGGAGUGCACGUGAGAGUACUGGUAUUUUCUUAGAAAAAGAGAAAAUAUCAAGUGUAUAUAUACAAGAUGGGAUGGCAGAGAGACACAGCUGAGUAACAUAAUGAGAGGCCGGCCGUAUAUAUGAAGAGAAGCUAGUGAAAAAAAUUGGAGGGAAAAGCCGGACCGCUAUACUCUCCUUCUGGCACGACAGCUUCUUUGCUUUCGAGACAUCUUUUCACUUUCCGCUCCUACAGUGCCAAUGCAGUGGCAGUCGUAGUACACUUUGGAUUGUUGCUGUGCUGGCAUGCAAACAUAGAACACGCGCAAGUACGCACUACUCAUCAGAGGUUUUAAAAUUUUCCUGAGUUUGCAGGGUAUCCCAUGCCACUAUAGCAGCAGCAGAGAUGGAGGGAUCAUGAUAUUGAUCAAGACGUGGAACUGAGCACGCAUUUACUCUUUUUUUCUUGACCACAUCACAUCAGAUCAGCUCAUUGGCCAUGUCAAGCUAGAGAGUAGAAGAAAAAGGGCAAGAAAAGCAGGAGGGGUUGUUGCCUUGUUCCCAUCUCAUCUCAUCCCAUCUCCCCUGGGUACCUACGUGCAUGCAUCUAGUAGGACAUAAAACCCUAUGGUUCCCCUGUCAGAAGACAGGGACAAGUCCAUGUCCAUGUCCUCCUGGUGGAGAAGAAAACACGAGAAACACAUCCAAGAAGAAUAAUCAAAGGACAAACACCGCUAGCUUUAGCUUAGCUUAGUAGUGGUACUAACUUUGAUGGUGCCUAUUUGGCCCCUAGGGCUUAGGUUAGGAGAGUGAUGAGUGCUAGUAGCUACGAGGACACAUGAUGAUCCUCUCCACUCCUAUAGUCCUAUCUUUGUGUGCAAGAGCCUCUCAUCAGGGAUGCAUGGCAUCUGUGCAUGCAUGUGAACCCUUCCACGGCAAAGAAGGACAAGGGGCAGUUGCCACUAACCCCAUUCCAGCCAAUCAAGAGAAAGUCCAUUUAACCAUCAUCUGAUCGGAGCGGCAAUAAAACGAAAACAAAAUCAUACGCCAUCCGUUCAGAAAAGUAUGUCUCAAAUUUGAUUUGUCAAAAUUUGAAUGUAUUGAGACACCAUUUAGUGUAUAUAUACAACUAAAUUUAGAUAAAUUUGCGAUAUCUUUUUUUUGACAGAGGAAUACACGACCCCAUGAACGUUCAUAAAACGGCAUGCAGAAAAAGCAAUUAAAUCACAGGCCAAGGACCAAAAAACAAAUUUCUUCAAGCUGUGUUGGCCGUGCCUGUGGGAAAAAAUCAGAAAGAUUUUGUGAUCCUCGAUCGUGUUCCAUAAUUAUGAUGCAGCAUGGCAGCAGCGAUUCGCACACCCAUAGCAUCACAGAUCUUUGCUAGUACUUGGAUAAAACCGUACACAUACAAAAGAAAGAAAUGAAAUGAAAAAUGGAGACAGAUCGAGGAGGACCACGCGAGGAAUUGCUCUCCGAUCCUCUCUUUCAUCCCCAAGUCUCAGAAGGAUGUUUUCUCAUUAAGUUAUUGCUCACUCAGUAGCUGGCCCUGGCGCCGAGAAGAGAUCAUCAGCUCAGCUCCGUCCGUGCCAGCCCCAGGGACAAGUGUAGCCAGCGAUUGUUGCAGGUUUUGCAGCAGAGGGUAGUAGUACUGGUUGCGUGGCUGUGGGCCCGUGGGUGGGCCAAUGGUUACCAAGAAAUACAGUGCUCCUUUCGUUUUUAAAAUAUAAAACGUUGUAGUUUUAUUCUAGGUAAAAAAAAGUGUGAUGGUUUAUAGAAAAAUAUACUAACAUCAAUAAAUUUAAAAUGGUUUUAUUACAUUUUUCAUUGUAUGCUCCAUCCGAUAUUAGUUCCUUGAACUAAAACCACGACAAGAAUUUACGAUCGAAGUGAGUUUCUUAAUAUUUUUAUCGGAUAUUAUAUAUUUUACUAUAUUUUUUCUAUAAAUUUGCAAUGAACACAUAUUACUUACGCCAAAUUAAGUUAGAGCAUCUUGUAUUUAGGAGCGGAGGUAAUAAUUUUUUUGUGAGCAUAGUGUUGUACUGUUUUGCAUUAAUCACGUGAUUAGAAACGAUUUAAUCAAAUUAGGUUCCGUUAAAUGGCUUAUCGUCCUGUUGAUGAUUUAUUUCCUUUGGGCUAUGGCGCCGCUACUUGACUACUUAAUUCGAGUGUUGUUUUGCACCGAUCGUAUGGUUAGCAACAUAGGUUUAUUUAUUACUAGCUCCUUGAAAUAUUUUGUUCUAUUAUAUCUUUGACCAUUGGCUAACAUGGGUUGUCUCGUGCUAUGCUAUUGCGCUAUUUGAUUGAUUUCGUUGUGUCAAUAGCAACAUUUUUUGGACAAAAAAAUGCAUUCUUAUUGAAAUCCUCUUGUCUAUCAAUCGGCUGCGGUUCAGGUCAAAUUAAGAUACAAUGACCGGAGAAACAUGAGAGUGUAGUGGAAGGAAGCAAGAAGUUGAGCAAUGUUGAUUUACUCCCUUUGUUUCACAGUGUAAGAUGUUCUAACUCUGUCCUAAGUCAAAAUUUUAAAGUUUGACUAAGUUUUUAGACAAAUGUACCAACAUCUACAAAUCUCAGUUCGGUAUAUAAAAUUUGUUAUGAUAUAUUUCUUCAUAGUAUACUUAUUAGAUGUAUAGAUACUAGAUAUUUUCCAUAUUCUGAAGCACGGAGUAGUUCCAUCAACUACCGACUUGUUUUUUUGUGUCUUUUUUUCAACUCUUGGAACUUUAAAAUAAUUUUGGUAUUCUAUUUUCGGAGGCAGAGGUCGAAGGGGUAAAUCUCUUUCAUUAUCUUAGAAGACACAUGGCCGACCCCAUACGCAUGAUCUUGGCCUAACAUGAUACAAGUUGCCAUGAACAUGACUCGACGACUUAUCGAUCUUGCAUACUUUGUGAAUUUUUAUCUGCUCAAGGCACCAUUGAUUCCAAUAGAACACAUGAUCACAAAACAAGCUCAAGAAGCAUGCAACGGGAACACAAUAUAUUAAAAGAUAACCUCCUCGACUUAUUUCCCCAAAUACGUGCCCAGGUGAUUCUGGUGACACUUACAUGCAUAGAAGAAAUCAUUUAAACUUUGAAUGGUUUAUAGUGACAAGUUAUCAAAGUGAUUGAAAAUUAGUUCUGAAACAGAAAAAUCAUUUAAACUUGAAUAAUAUCCUUAUAAAUAUGCAAGAUUGACAAAAAUGUAAUCAAAGAAAAACAAGAGAUAGGGAAUAGGUUUCUUUUCUAUCAUUUUAAAAGUUAAGCAACUUUUAGUGGGUUUUCCGGAGUUCAAAGAACAAUUUUGAGUUUUAAAAAUAAUCAUAUUUAUCAAUAUUUUUAUUUUACAAAUAUUUCUUAAUAUCUUGGAUAAUAAAAUCUAGGUCUUCAAUUUCUUUGCUGAUUUUUCACUUUACUAUAUGUUUGUGUGGCUGAAACCACAUUCUAUAUGCACGUUCUUAGUGAAAUGGCAUUAAAAACCGCCCCUCGGGCUAUUAAUCUGGCCAUUACUUUGACAAAUAUUUGAUAUUUUUGUUAUUGAAGGGUAAAUUUUGUAUGAAUAGUUUAAUUUUCUCUCUAGCAAUGUUUGUGGGGUUACAUAUACCUUUAUUACGACAUAGAUCUGGCUUUAGUGAUUGAUGAAAGAACAUAUAAUAGAUCGACACAACCAAAACGAACAUAAACCACGAAAAUCCUUGAUAAAAUCAAAAGCUCCAUUAUGGUCAUUCAAAGUCAACGUAUCUGGAUUCACCUUUCGAAUCUUGAGGUUUCAUCAUUUAUUCGGUGACAAAAUUGUAUAAUACCAAGCCCGCGCAAGAUGGACUAAAUUCAUAAGUUUUUUAAAGGUCGCAUGAGUUGCCACCUCAGAAAGUGAAACUUAAGAUCGUUGGACGCGUCAUGGUCAAGGACACGCCGCUCGCAAGACAAGAUAUGAAACCGCUCCUACAUCGUUGAAUUGACAAGAAAAAAAUACGAAAAGAGAUCCGUAAGAACCACUGACUCCAUGGAGUAGGCCGUGACACCUACACCAGGCAAGGGCGGGACACAUUCACCAUCCUCAAGAACACACACACCUAACAAGAAAGGUAUGAAAAACUAGACUCCUGAUAUUGAUCCAUGGUUCCCCCCAAUCUCCCAACGCCAGUUCAGCCAUCAGAGACAAGGAAAACCGCCGGAAAUCAAACGAAGACCCAAAGAAAAACUUCCGAGGUCAGCAAGGAAUCUGAUGGGCCAGUUCCAUAUGACCCAUGUCAUGGUAGAUAUGGUCCAAGCCCACUGACUUUUCGUCUAAAAAGAAAUACUUACGAUGGAUGGCUUGUCAGAAAUUACACUAGAUCGAGAUGUAGGAGUACAUCGGUUGACUUGUUCUGCAGAUGGACGGGAAUCCUAACCCCCAACCGAUUCGAAUCUAGAGAAGGACGAGGGAGCGUUGGGUGCUGUAUGUGAUCCAAAGCAGCCCCGGGAGAAAAUUCCUUCUUCUAAAAAUAUAUACUCGUACAAGAAAUUGAUUACAGAAUACACUGUUAACUCUCUACAGUUUAUGUCCAACUCCUCCAGAAUUCAGUUUCACUACUCUGCUAAUAUAUUAAAAUUUACUUACGAAGUAUUACUAGAUAAUGAAUUGGCAAUCCAUUCCAGAAAUUACUCAAUCAGCAGGAGAGCAUUUAGCAGCACUUUUUCAGAAAGCCACACAAACUGAAGCAGUAGUCUCAUCAGAAAUCAGAACGAUCAUGUUUCUUCUGCCCUUGAUAAUUUACACGUACGGUACAUUCGGACUCUCGUACACUUUCCCGGUAAAAUUAACACAGCACAUCAUGCUGCAUUGCACGCACGCAUGCAGCUGAUCAUCGACAAGUCGACGGCAAUUGCGAUGAAGAGCUCACAGGCUGGGCGUCCUCUCGGCAGCUCCGGAGAUGACGGUGAGCAGGUUGUUGCCGAAGGGGUCGCUGAGGUGCGCAGAGAGGUUCUCAACGGGGCCCUCGCCAGUGACGUAUGCCUGGAUGAAGAAACCCAGCAUGGAGAACAUGGCUAGCCGGCCGUUCUUGAUCUCCUUCACCUUGAGCAGCGCCGCCUGGUCGGGGUCGCUGGCGAGGCCGAGCGGGUCGAAUGGGCCACCGGGGUGGAGCUUGUCCUCAAGAUCCUGCCGGAGAAAUUGAUGAAAACCGUUGGUCAGUACAAAGUUCCUAAUUGCAGCUCAACUUAUGUAUAUGUUUGAGGUGUUACUGUCACUGACAAGGCCGUUGAUGAUCCUGUAGUACUCGGCGCCUCCGACGAGGACAACCUCGGCGACGACGGCGAGGAUGAGGUUGAUGGGGAUGCUGUUGCCGAAGUAGUUGAGGGUGUUGCCGUCCAGGAGAAGAGCGCCGGUCUGCAUAUGUGUUUGUUCAUGGCACCGUGAGUUUAAACUUCAGAGUUCUGAAUCUGAAUCUGAAUGUGUGAAUACUGAUGAGCAAUUAC
This 97284-nucleotide long non-coding RNA is filed under the name Brachypodium distachyon (stiff brome). Its description in RNAcentral is "long non-coding RNA (BDIS_LNC004779)". The stretch from base 15770 to 15905 matches the Rfam family "MIR1120/MIR1122 microRNA precursor family". Lineage: Eukaryota; Viridiplantae; Streptophyta; Magnoliopsida; Poales; Poaceae. The record is from RNAcentral.